RNAcentral lists this long non-coding RNA (98295 nucleotides) under Ananas comosus (pineapple). Lineage: Eukaryota; Viridiplantae; Streptophyta; Magnoliopsida; Poales; Bromeliaceae. The record is from RNAcentral.
AUAUAAAUUAGUAAUAUCCCAGACAAAAAAUAAUAGCACUAAGGCUUCCGUACGUACUAUUGUGUUCUGCAUAUUACGGAUAGUCGGUUACGAUAUAUUUUCUGCGGUCCCAUCAGAGAAUACAGAAGCAUAUUCCUAUAUAUUUUUUCUCAACUCUAUUCUAUCUAAUAACGUUAGAUCCAUCUCAAUACCAAACUAAGCCUAAGAAUUAUAUUGUUGAUUCUUAUCCAAAAUAAGAGUUUCAAGACGGUGGAAUUUUAAACUCUCCGCAUUUGUAUUUAUAUUUAUGAAAUUUAAUCCACAGGCCUUUUAAGGAUACUAAUAGUAGAUUAGUUUGGAAUCAGGGUAGGGUUAACUAUGGAGGCAAUAAUAAAAAGCACCAAAUUAAAGUAUUGCUGAAGAUAAGAUUUGUUUUUAAAGCAACCAUAAGAUAACACAUAAUCUAAGCCAAAACAAUCAAAGAGAAUCAUAUAGUUCAAGCAUCUCUUUGUUUUAAACCUCACCCUCUUCUUUUUUUCAUGGUACGGAUUUGAGAGCUAAAAUGGUGCCCAACGUGGCUACUGCUAUUGAUAUGCUUUUGAUAUGGUCUCACCCAAAAAAGAAAAAAAAAUAAGAAAAGACUAUUGCUAUGCUUUUUUAAGGCCUAAAUGUUAGGUCUAGUUGUUGUUGGAUGCAGCAGUAUUGUUUUAUAACUUAUUGUUUAGGAAUAAUUAUCUAUAUACCUCUCAAAAUUUUAAAAAUAUCUCAUUUAUUUUUUUUUUUCUUUCUAAUAUAUCCAUCAUAUGUUUCUCCGUUAUUCCAAAAUACCCCCGCAGUUACCACCCGUUAAAUUAACUUGGGUUAAAUGUUAGUUAAAUAUCUACUAGAGUUAAAAAAAUCAAAAUGCCUCUUUUUCCCUUAAGGGUAAAUAAAAAAUGUUGGUGAUGGUAUAAGGAUAUAUUUGAAAAGACUAAAGAAUAAAAUAUUUUUUGUGCUUCUAACUUAAGAGCAGAUAAGAAAAGUUGGUGAUGGUACAAAGGUAUAUUAGAAAGGAUAAAAUAGUAAUUUUAUAGAAAUAAUAGCUGUAACAGAUUUUAAGUCUGGGAAUAUAUUUGAAAUAGGUUGAAAUGUAAAAAAAGUAUUUUUAAUAUUAAUUUCUAAGAAGGAUAAAUUAGAAAGUCGAAAACUUAAUAGUAGUGUUGCUGCGACGAAAUUUCUUUUUAUAGAAAAAGCGAAAGUCCCAAAAAAAGACUUUUUUUUCCUCUUCAAUUUUAAUUUCCAUUUUCGCCAUUUUAUAAUCUCUAAAUUCUUUUGUUUGUUAAAUGUUCUAGUAAAGAUUACUAAUGAAUUUAUACCACUAUUAAUGUGGUCACAGGGAAACUAUAUAAAAAAUACAUAGCAUGUAAAAUAUUUAGUUCAACUCUUCUCCAUUUUGAUACAUCUACUUGACUUUUAAAAUUUUUAAUUUUACUACUAACCUUUUAAUUUAUUUGAUCUGAGCCACUUAGCACCUCUUUGAUUUCAAAAUUUGAACGUAUCUUUAAUAUAUUCUAUUCAAUUUAAGUAACUAUAAAUUCAUUAAACUAAGCAAUUAAUUUAAAUUUUGUAUUUAAAAAACAUCAAGUUACUAAAAUAAAACAAUUUAGCUUGGCUGCUAAACCAAAAUUUUAAAAGAUCAAGUAGUUGAAUCAAAAAGAUAUAUAUUUCAAAUAAUUUAGUACAUUUUUACAAAAAAAAGGAAAAAGAUUCGUGCAUAAACGUGUUAGUUAGAAAGAAUGUUAGGUAUUCUGAGAUGCACCCACUGUGAAAAGGGGAAUGCUUAAUUAGAUAAGUGCCAAGUGUCGCCUUUCCCAUCCCUAUGAUAUUUUUGAAUUCGUGCGUAAACCAAUCAAAUAUUUAAUAAAAAUUUAUUAAAACAACAAUCUAAAAAAAAAAUUAAGAGCUACUGUAAAAAGCACUUUCUUAUUAUGUGACAACCAUGUGAGCACAAACUAGUAGCGCUAUUCUUUUUAUGGUCUAUCAUAUUUGAAAAAAUUAAGGACUUUGACCUAACUAAUUUGUUGAGUUUAUGUGACAUUUUGGAGGUGUAACAAAAUGCUUUUACCCUUUAUAAUUAUCAUUCAUAGAAAAGAUAAAACAACAAAGUAUGUAUAUAUAUUAACCUUAUUAAUAAAAUAUUUUUAUAAUAUGAGUAGAGCUACUAUACUAUCGGAAUCAUAGAGGAUCUGGUACUUCUGACUUUUUGACCCUUAGAUCAGCUCUUUUAAUCAUUUCUAACUUUUGGAUUAAUACUAUUACCCUAUAAGGACCACUCAACCUUAGGAGUUCUACUCAGCUCUCGGGGGACAGCAAUCAUCUCAACCGUACAAUUCUUCAUCCAAAAGCCAAAAAAUCGAAAAUAUCAAAUUCUCUAUAAUAGCUCUACACUUAUAAUAUUUAGACAUAGUAUAAAUUGUAAAGAUACUCUCUCGUGAUCUAGUUUGGUCCCUAGCCGUAGAGCAUGGGUGUAGUUUGGACCAUUUUGAACAAGUUUAAAAAUCUUAGUUAAGCUAUGGCCGGUUCGGUUUGUAGUAUUUAACAUUAUCUUGAUCCAUUAAUUAGUUAGGUCUUGAUCCAUCGAUUAGUUAGGUCAUUGGGGAAAAGCUCUGCCAACCAACAGUAGAAAAUUACCGACGCCACCGAUAAGCUCGAGAUAAAUGUUAGUAUACCUACGAACUCGGUUGGAGCUUCUGCAAAAGUCUAAAUGAGAGCCAUUCGAAAUCUUUUUUAUAUCUUUCUGAUGUGUAGAUAGAUUAAACGUUUCAAAUUGAAACUUCUACUUCUAGUACUCGGAAGAAAUUGGUUUGAAUUUUUACUCGAGAUGUUUCUAGGCUUCGUAUUUAUUAAAUGUUAGAAUAUUAAUAGGACUCCGAUCGGAAAAAAGCACUUAUUAAUAGACAAAUACAUGCAAACUAAGCCCAUUAAAUCAAAUAAACAUUUCAACUAAGAGGAAUUACAACUUGUUAAGCCUAUUUCUAAACUGUUUCUGCUAGACAUGUCUUUUCGAAAGUAAGAUCAUGAGUAGUCCCAAGUUUAUCAUUAAUUCAUUAAAUCUUUGUGGUUAAUUACCUUCUUUAUAUCUCUUGUUAGUAUAUAUGGUAUGAUUUAUCCGAACUCCACUGGAUACUUAAUCAAUGAAAAUGUUAAGAUAUUUUUUUAAAAUUUUUUUUUUAUCAGAUUGAUCUUUUGGUUUUGGAUAACAUAAAGUAGGUAACUGAAUGGUUGUUGAGACCACAGCAGAAGAUUUAUAGUCCUUCUCAUCAUAUAUUCCUCCUCUUGUGCAACUUUUGUUAGAUAACUAUCGAAGAAUCUUCGACUUGUUUAACUCCAUGUGUUUAAUACAUCACUUUUUAUUUGAUUCUAUGUCCUUUAUUAAUUCACAUCUCCUCUUAUCGUUCAACUCCUCCCCCCUCUAUAAAAAGGGUGGAAUGUUAUAGUAAGCAAGCAUUGUGAAGAGACACAAAGAAGAAGAGAAAAGAAAGUAGAAAAAAGAAGAAGAAGAAGAAGAAGACGACAUGGCGUGAUAUUGGCUCAUCUCGCGCAAGUAAUCUUUUUCGAUUGCAGAUUGCGAGGUGAGCCGAACCAAUAUCACUCAUGUACUCUUCAUUCAUGAUCUCCUCGGUGCGGAAGUAGCUACUAUUAUGGUACUAAUAUCAUCUAUCGGUACAAUAUAUAAUUUGAUGGUUCCUUCCAUACACGCGGCGAGCUCUCCUUCGUUUUCUCCACGUGCUCGUCUUCUCUUCCCUCCUAUCUUUCUCUCUCUCUCAUAUAAUCUCUCUCUCUCUCCUCUUUAUUUCUCUCCUAGGCUGAUCCUAACUCUCACUCUAGCAACUCUCUCUUUUAAAUUUUUCUAUCAUCUCAUAUAUCUCUCUUUAUUCUCCCUCCUCUCUCUCUCUCUCUCUCUCUCUCUCUCUCUCUCUCUCAUAUAUUAUAAGAUUUGCAUCUCUCCUCUUUUCUCUCUCCUAGGUAAUUAUUAAACUCUCUCACUCCCACAACUCUCUCUCUUAGAAUCUCACAAAUUUUUUUUAAAAUGUUUAUAAUUUUUUCUCUCUAUCAAAACAACAAAAUUCAAAAGCACAUAAUUCUAAAAUAUUAAAAAUUUAAAAAUAACAAAAAGAAGGUUGAAAAUGUUAUUUCAAAAUGACCGAUUGUUUUUUUUUUUUGAGAGAUAUAGAUAGCAUGCUAUUCGUUUCGUUUAUUUUAUUUAAAAAUAAACUUAGCUGGAAAUGUAAAUCAACUAGGAUUCGAACUUGGGACUUUGGGUAUCAACUACUAAGCUCUUUGCCACUUGUGCUAAAAACGGUCGAUCAAAAUGACUGAUUGUUGAGAGAUGUUUAUACAUAUUUACUUCACGCAUAAUCUCCUAAUAUAGAGUUACCGAUUGUUAUGAUACAGAAUUGAUUUGAAAAAAUAAUUUUAACAUUUUUUGUUAUAUGAAAUAUUCACAUAAGUACAAAUUAAAUGCAUUAUAUUUAAUUUUUUUUAUAAUAUAUAGAUAUAAAAAUAGUCUGAUGAGUAUUAUGAUUGUGUUUCUUUAGGUAUAAUUUUUUCAAUCUUCAAUUCUUAAUAAUUAUAUAUUAUAUAGAGUCCGGCUACUAUACUAUCGAUAGUACCAAAUGCUUAGUGCUAUUUUUUUCGCCGUAAGAUCUAUCCCUUUGACCACUUUCGUCCGUUAGAUCAUACUAUUCAGCCAACCACCCGCUCAAUCCUAGAGGAUCACUAUCAUCCUAACCGCACAUAUCUUCAUUCAAGAGCCGAAAAACUGAUAGCACUAAGAACUUGGUACUAUUAAUAACAUAGUAACCUAAUUCAUAUAUAUAUAUAUAGUGCGGCUAGUAUGCUUAUGGAAGCACAUAGGCCUCCGUGCUUCUAAGUUGUUUUCGAUGUUGGGACAUUCGAAUCGACGAUCGGCUCCGUUAGACUUGAUUUAGAGUAUUUGAAGUACCUAGAAAAUAAAUUUUGCGAUUUUUCGAUAUCAUUUGCCUAGUGAUCGAAGAGGCUCAAAAUCAACGGCUGAAAAUAAAAAUCUCACAAAAUGUGAUGAUAUGACAUUAAAAAUUUAGAUCAAAGAUAUUGAUCUUAUUUUAUAUAGUAUAAAAAAUUUUCUAUCAAAAUUUCACGUAAUUUGGAUAUUUCUACACCGUUAAACUUGCAACCGGCUCACCACGGCCAUUAAAAUUAUUGAUUUUGAGCCCAUUCGAUCACUAGGCAAAUGAUAUCGAAAAAUCGCAAAAUUUAUUUUCUAAGUACUUCAAAUACUCUAGAUCAACUCUAACGGAGCCGAUCGUCGAUUCGAAAGUCCCAACAUCGAAAACAACUUGGAAGCCUCCGUGCUUCCAUAAGCAUACCAGCCAAACUCUAUAUAUAUAUAUAUAUAGAGAGAGAGAGAGAGAGAGAGAGAGUGAGUGGGCCCACAUCAUCCUAACUUUAUAUUUCUUCAUCCAAGAGCCGAAAAUCUAAUAGCACAAACAACCUGGUGCUAUUGAUUUUUUAGCCAUUGGAUUGAGAAAUGAAUGGUUAGGAUGAUGUGGGCCCCCUAGGGUUAAGUAAGUGGUUGGUUGAAUAGUAUAAUCUAACGGGUAAAAAUAAUUAUAGGAUUAAAUUUAACGGUAGAAAACUCGAUAGCACCAAAUCUUUGGUGCUAUCGAUAGUACCCCAGCCGGACUAUAGAUAUAUAUAUAUAUAUAUAUAUAUAUAAUAAUAAUAAUAACUAUUUGCUGCGAAGCAUGGUCCUAUACUAGUUCUAGAUAAUGCUUGCAUUGUCAGUCUUACCACAACUGCUGGCACAGAGUUAGCUGAUACUUAUUCCACUAAUACCGUUGCCCGGUAAGAUUUGCGGAAUUAUGUUCCACACAUUAAAUGGUAUGCAUGUAACACUUGCUUUACUAGAUUUUCUCCAUUUUAGGACCAAAGAAAAACCAAAAAACUAUCUUAGUUCUCUUUGUUGCAGUGAUUAGUAAAUGUAUAAGAUUAGCACAACCUCGCAUUUUGAUUAAUAGAGGAGCCCAAGAACAAAUGGAUUUUAAUUGAUUUUAAAAGAGUUUCUAAGUUGCAUCGAAAGAAAUGAAACAAUAUAUAUCACCUUAUAAAAAGAAAUAAAAAAAGUGGUUUAGUAUUUUGAAAUCUUACUAAUGGCAAGUAAAGGGUAUUAAGUGUAAAUUCUGUUUGUAGAUUGGAGGCCAUGAGACAAGCUUUCUUAAGCUCUGUUUAAGCCUGUUAAUCACAAAUGCAGUUUACUAUGAUCUUUUGAGGUAGUAGUAAAGGCCCUGUUGAGCAUUCAUGGAGCUUCUAUUAAGGGCAUGUUUGUUUCAACGUAAGUAGACUUGGGGUAGAAGUGAACUUUGAGUUGAAGUGUAGUUGGAGUAAAAAUUAGUUCACUUCUGCUGUUUGUUUCUAACUGUGGAAAUACAGUUCUGCGAGUUCUGUUGUUUGUUUGGUAAGAAGUAUAUGACGUAAAAAGUGUAACUCUCCACCUCCGGUAUACUUACCUUCAAAAUGAUAUCAUUGUCUAUUUUGUAACUUAUAGUGAAUAAUAAAUUAUAAUAAAUAAAAAUUAAUAUAAUUAUAUAUAUAUAUAUAUAUAUAAUGCAACAAAUAAAAUUCUAAAGUUAAAAAAUUAUUUAACAUUUAACAAAUUCAUUUUUCAUCAUUUUCUAAAUAUACAAAUUAAACAAAAAAUAUAUUAAAGCUUACCUAAUCAAAAUUGAUCAUAUUUUAGAAGAGAUAACCCUAACAUAUUAAUCCAUUCUUGUCUUUUUUUUACUUCACCGGAAUUGACUUUGCCCCAUAGGAGGGCGAAGUCAAGUUCAUUAUUUUAGGUGAACUGGACUUUCGGACAUAAUAAAAUUACGGUGAACCAAACAAUGGAAGUGGUCAGUUUUCACCGAAAAUCUCUUCCCCUGUCCCACUUCUACCCCACUUCCCUCGAAACAAACAGGCCCUAAGCGUUGUUCGAGUAAAAGUGCUCGGAAAAACUGUAUCAGCUAUUUUCAGUAAAAUGUUCCGAAAAACGAAAAUCUUUUGCACACCUCUUGUAGGGUAGAAAUUUUGUUGCUAGGGUUUGGUUCCCGCUUACUUCGGCGGUCGGGAUUACCUCUUCUCAUGCAUUCUUCUCUGGCAGUGGAGCUGAAAAUGCUCUCACGAAGCAGGACCAGUGUCGAUUGCUCGGCCGGUCACUAUACGACUAUGCGGCAUCAGGGAUGUCAAACGGCAAAAAAUCAGCUUACGAAAGACCAUGGCGACAGAAACAAAUUCAAUUUAUUACAUGAGUGAAUGAAUAGAGAAACAUAGUCAAUUUUUAGCGAUCGACUCGGAUUCACAUGAAAUGAAGAGUUUAACAGAGAACAGGGCUUACGAUGUAUCACAACUCAAAGGUACAAGACAGUGACCCUACCUUCUUCUGUUGAAGCACUGGUUAAAAGACACAUCUACAAUGUAUGCAUAUAACGUUCCGGGACUAGAGACCAUGAUAUGUAGUUUUAUGACUCCGCUUCGACGAAUAAGCUUGCUUGCGGAUGCAAACCUGCUUCUUUUAAUGUGAGAGAGUGCUUUUCCGGACCGUAGGAUACACGCGGGAAAUUCGAAACAAGGCUGUAUUUCUCGGCUUGUAAGCAGUCCAAGGAAUCGACAUAGUCAUAGAGCGAACUGAUGGUAGCUGAGCUGUGAAACCUCCUCUCUUUGCGCUCUCCGGUCGGAAAACGGAUCAGCACCUACAAAGAUAGCAAUAUUUACAUUAAAAAGUCAUCACCGAAGAUGAUUUUACUGUUCUAAUAUUAGAGCUGUUUAUGUAUAUACCACGUAGAAUUUUUUUUAUUUGCAUAUAAAUGUUUCAGAAACUUAAUUCCUCAGAUACUAACCAUUCUACUUACAAGAGUGCCUGUCAUUGAAGUCUUUUUCUAAUAAAAAAACUCACUUCCCAAGUUUCUGACUUUAUUCUCGCAAUUAUUGGAUGAGUUUGCAACUUAAGAUGUGGUUAUUUUCAUAAGAAACUGCAUAAUCAAUAGGUAGCUUCUGUAGACACUACUUGUGAAAGUAUGUAAGGAAAAUAACAUAGAUACCGCAACACAAACAGUUGCACAAAAAAUAGCAUAUAUGCACUUUGCAUAUAGGUUCAACAAAUAAGUUGACCUCAAGACUAGCUCUAUCAGUUUAUAAUUUAAAAGAACGAAAGGAGCAAUAAAGAAACUGUGAGUAAGAAGGGGUUUAUAUAUGACCUCUCCAUACUACAUAGAAGUUCUUAUCUGACUGGAAUGCCAACAAGGACGCUAUGUUGGACGCUAAUAGCAUACCAAUAAAACUCUGCAGUGAUAGGCUGCAAUUUCAUGGAACUUUUAUCGUCGGUGCAGAUAUGAUCAUAGAAAUCCAAUGUUUUAACCAAAAGAAAAGAAACACCUCUAAUGUAACCAAAUGAGGUCUUGACCCUUAACUGACAGUUAGGAGGAGUAUAGAGUACACAAGUAUACUAAACUAUUGGCCAAAUAGAUCAGAAUUAGUCAAAUUAACAUUUAUAAAGUAAAAAAUAAGGAGAGAUAAAGGUUGAUCUCGGAAAUAAAAAUUUUGGAAUUUGAAAACAGAAGGAAAACAUACUUGCGUAACAUCAGGCCCUUUCUCAGGUUCAGCUCCAAGUGCCAUUGCUUUCUCUUGCCGCCUUCUUGCAAUGGCAGCUUCCUUUUCAGCAGCUUCAUGAGCUGCCCUCGCCAAAGCCUCUUCUUCCUCUUUACGCUUUCGUUCAGCUUCUGCAGCUUCUCUUUCCAAGCGCUCUUGUUCUUCUCUCCUUUGACGCUCUCUCGCCUAUUUCAUUUUUGCAUAGGUUGGCAAAUAAGCCAAAAGAGAAAGAAAAAAAAGAGAAAUAGUGGCACAGAUCUCUCAGAAGGUGGAUACAUAUCAUACCACCUAUGAGGUCUAUGAAAACUAUUAUGACAGUGGUGGUAGAAACACAAUUCAAAAGGUAAAGUAUAUUACACCAGGGCUUCCCAAUCUUUUAAGAAGGUUUUAGCUCGGUCCCAACCUUUCAAUUGUAACAAUUAGGUUGCUGAUCUUCACAAAGGUUUAUAAUCUCAUUCUUAUUAAGAUCCUCCGUUAGAGCCCUUGUAUGAUCGCUAUGUGGCAAGUCCAAAAAUUUUGUAUGCAGAAGUUGAUGACAAGUAUGUUGCUAUUUCUGUCUAAUAUGAUGAACGAAUGUAAAUCAAUUAUGCAUGAUUGCAAUAAAAUCCAAACAUUAGCGACCCAAUUAGAAACUAAAAGGUCAGGAAACCAAAGUAAAACAACGUGGGGACCUCUUUUGCAAUUUAACCUCAAAUUUUGCAAAUGCAAAGAAGUAAACAUACUUGAUCAGCUUCAAGUGCUGCUCUAUAUGCAGCAUCUUGCUCCUCUCUCAAACGCUGGUUAUUACGCCGCUCCUCGGCCUCUAGUCUUGCGGCUAUUAAGGAUGGAGAGUGCUCUUCAACCACCCUCUGAAGGAUUGUGAGCAUCUCUUCAGGAGAUUUAGGCCCCUCAAUCUUAAAAUGGUUAAUAUUAUCAGUCAAAGGACUAAUUAUAGACUUCAUAAUAACAAGCUACAUAUAUAACAGGAAAAUAUGCAAGAUAGACAGCUUAUAUAAAGAAUCACAAAAAGAAGAAAUGGAACGAGAAACAGAAUCCCACUCUUAACAAAUAAAGAAAAACUUUAUGUGCAAGGAUUUAACCAUGAACAAUCAUAAAUUAUAGGAAACCUGUCCGUAUCUAUAGUUGAAACAAUCCUGUUCAAACAUUGCAUAUCAACUAGCUCAAGACCCUAAUCCAAUCCAAGCCUGACCAUUUACAUGCCUAUGGGAAAGCUUAAUUUGCUCAAGAGGUGAAGCUAAUUUUUCAGAACUAAAAGGAAGAUAUUAAAUACACUAGCACAGCAGUACUAUAAAGGCAUAGUUAGUUACCAGCACAACUUUUAGCAGAAAGUGUCACUUUGUAUAUCUUACAGUAAUCUAACUGAUGGAGGAGGCCUAAAACUAAAAACCAAUAGUACGAUAAACCAAACUACAAUAAUGUCUCUUACCACCAAGUUUAUAAUUAACCAGCCAAAAAUUAUUCUUUUCCACCUUGGUAAGCCUACAGCCAACAUAUGAUGUAUUGCAAGUAAAAAAGCUUCACCUAAGCAACACCAUUAAUUGUUCCUCUAUUCAAAUUCUUUGCCUUUCAAAUAACCACCAAGGCACCAACCCUAUAUCUGAACCUUCUAUAAUGCAUAACGAUCAGACAAAAGAUUCACAAAUUUUUCAGGGGAAAUAAAUCAUGAUUAAAUGAAGUAACUCUGUUGUCUACUAUAUCCCUAUUCCUCGACUCGGCAUAACAUGGAAGACAACUCUUUCCAUCUUAAGACCCAAACCAGAACUCUCAACAACUCCAAUGCAUUUCCUUAACCUCACAAAUCAAAAGGUCAAAUAGAUCUAGGACCUGUUCAGCCUGCUAGCAGCACUCGAGAAGGUUUGUCCAAUUAAGUUGUUUGCAAAAGCCCUAAUGGAUUUUUUUCGGAACUUUUAUUUUUAAGACACAAAAGCUCAUCUCUUAUUCCUGUCAGCUAUACUCCAAACCCCUAGACUUUUUCUUGUGCCCUGCAUCUUCUACUUCUCGAUUAGAGAAACUGUUUUACAAGCAGUUAGCACUUCCCCGAAUAGCUAUUAGUUUGAGUUCCUUUUCAAAUAGCUCUACUCAAAUAACAAUUUUACAGGAGCUCCAGCAAGAACAGGCCUCAAAAUUCAUUACAUCAGAAGUUCUUAACAACAUGCUUAUGAUAAAUGUACCAGCAAUCAUUAAAGAAUUAUUAGAACUCUACCCUUACCAACAUAAAGCUAAUUUGGGAAGAGAAGAGGGGAAAAAAACAAAUAGACUACUUGUGCAAACCUGCUGAAGGAGAGCAAUCCGCUGGUUGGUAGAGGCCAUGACGACGGCGCAGAAGGGGAAUCGCGAAGCCUUGAGGCUGUUGCUCAUCUUGAAGCCCUCGGUCCUCCGUAUGCUCCCUCCCCACGCCACGAAGUUCUCGUUCACGAACGCCGCCACGACGGGCGAGCAGAGGCUCCCCGCGCAGAAGGCGGGUACGUCCGGGUGGUCCGGCGAGUGGAGGUAGACGAAGAGCAGCUUGUACUCGCGCUGCGACCGCUGGAGCGCGUCCAUGAACCCCUCCGCCACGAACCGCGGCGCCGGGGCCCCGUCGCCCGCCGCGAAGUCGCGCUCGAAGGCGGCGACGAAGUCCGCGGCCUCGGCGGCGGAGGCGGAGAGGGCGAUGAGGCGGUCGGAGUCGCCGGCGCCGGGGCGGGGGAGGGCGAGGCCGAGGAGGUUGAGGGAGCGGGAGAGGACGGCGCCUGCCAUCCAGGCGCCGAGGCCGACGGCUCCGGUGACGAGGCCGACGCCCCCGGAGACGACGUAAAAGGGGAGGGUCACGAGCUUCCACGCGAGUCCCGGAGGGGCCGGAUCAGCGGCGGCGGCGGUGGAAGUGGUGGUGGUGGCGGCGGCGGCGGCGAUGGUGGAGGUGGGAGGGGGAGGGGGAUUGGAGGAGGAGGUGAAGGAGGAGACGGCGAGCUCGAGGUCCCAGUUGUGGGCGGAGAGGAUCUCGGCGCAGAGAUCGGGGUCGUCGAGGCCCGUGAUGGCCUGGAAAUAGGCCACCUUGUCGCUUGAGCCCUCCGCCAUGGGCUAUGCUGUCGAAGAACGGUUAGGGUUAGGGUUAGGGUUAGGGUUUCGGAGAAGAAGAAGAAGAAGAAGAGGAGAGAGAGGAGAUGGUGUGUUUUUAUUGGUUAGGAUGGAUGAAAAUAAUAAUAAUAACAGAGUGGGAAGGAAUGGGAAAGGAUCUCUUUCUAGAGAAGACGCUGAAAAAGAGAAGUUGCCUCGGAAAGGGGUAAUAUGAGAGAUUUUUUUUUCCAUUUUAGGCCCCCAAAACUUUUACUUCUAUUUAUUUUGGCCCUCCUUCUUUUAUAGUAAAUUUAAUGCCUCCUCCUGAAAUUUUAUAAAUUUAUCAAAUUAGUUCAUUUAUAUUUCAACUUAAACAAAGAUUCACCAAAAAAAUAUAUAUAUAUUGUAAUUUAUAGCUUUAUAAGGAUAAUAAUGAUAUUGAUCAUUUCAAAUAAAAAUAUGCAUGAUAUUUUCUAAAUUUUGAAGGGUAUGUUUGAAAUUCCCCCUAAAUGUUAAAUUUUAGUUUGCAAUCCUUUAUUGUAUAUAUAUAUACGGAUUUAAAGAAUAUUUACAAGAGUUUAAAGAAUAUUAAGCUUAUUUUAAAUGAAUGGAAACUAAAAGAAACUUUCAUACAAUUUUGAAAUCUAUACAGAAUUUAAUCCUAGAUAAAUCAUAUGAAAAACCUCAAAUAACCCUUUCUAGUUUAAUGCAUUUGCAAUGUACUACCCUCUACUUUCAUUUGGUUUAUGAUAUAGUUGUAUAUCAUGAUUAUCAUUUUCACUUUAUUUCAUUAAUGGUGCACUAGAAAUGAUUUACAAAGCCAGCAUUUUAAGUUAUCUUUUAAUUAACUUACUCGGCAUAAUUUCUUUUUCAUGUGAUUAGAGAUAAAACUUUAAUUUUUAUUUUUUUAAAAAAAAAUCUUGUCAUUCGUUAUUUUAUUGAAUAAUAUAUUUAACCUACAAAAUAGUUUAUUUUAUUCAAGAAAAUGAACUAGAAAGUAGAAUAUAUUAUUCCAUUCUAAACAUUCAAUCACAUUUCUCGUUUAUAUUUUUUAUUUAUCAAAAACUACAACUUCUCGAUUAAAUUAAAAUAUAUUCAAAAUAAGAUAUUCAUACCUCCAAACAAGAUCUUUAACUUUGAAUCAAUCUCUACAAUCAAAUACAAGAGUCUUUGGUAGAAGUAUUAGCAGUGUGAUCUUGCUCUACUAUAUUGGCUUCAAUUUUCCUACCAACUUCAUGUGUUUUCCUUCUCAAGGAUGCAUAUAUUAACCAACCAAACCCUCAUGAGUGGUGGCCUCCAAGAAACCUUGCUUUAUGAUGCUUCAUGAAUCAAACAUAUAGGACUGGAGGUUAUGCAUCCAAAUAGUCUCGACAUUCUUACGUGCAUGACAGAUAUCAAAGACGCGCAGAAUCGGUAAAUGAAGUAGAAAUAAAUAUUGACCCCAUUGGAUUUCCGAACAUCUUACUGAUCGAGAAGAUCGAUUUGGUAGGAAACAACACAAAAAUAGUCAUCAACAUUGAUCAUCUUGGCUACUGAGCUAUCCCAACUAUGUCACUUCGUUUUCUCAUAUGUGAGCUCAAUGUAUCCAAAAUAGAAUAGAUUUCAUCUACUUGGUUAUGUGAUUUAUCACCUGCAAGAAACACAUGAACUUUGUCUCUUACCUCAAUCCAACUGCAUCCUGGGCUCUUACGCAUUCCUUUAUCCUUAAUAGUACGCCUUGUUCUCACCAGUUCAUCCCUUUUCCCGGCUAUAGCAUAUAAGUUUGCCAGCAAAACAUAGUUAGCUACAUUAUCUCCUUCCAAUUCGAUGAGCCGAUUCGCCACGAUUUCUCCCAAUUCUGUAUUGCAAUGAGUAACGCAUCCACUUAAAAGCGAGCCCCACACCACGGAAUCGGGCUUCAUUGGCAUGUUCUGAAUAAGAUCAUAAGCUUCGUUUAGCCGCCCGGAACGGCUGUAAAGAUCGACCAUGCAAGUAUAAUGUUUGAGAUCGGGCUUUAUGCCGUAAAAUUUCAUUAAAUUGAAGUAAAAUUGGCCUUCCUCAACUACACCACCGUGAACGCAUGAAGAUAAAACAGAUAAAAAGGUGAUCGCAUCAGGUUUAAUUCUAUUCUCAAUCAAUUGAUUAAAUAGUGAGAGGGUUUCCUCCCGGAGCCCAUGCAUCGAAUAACCCACGAGCAUAGUAUUGUAUGAUACCAAAUUGUGCCGCAGAAUCCUAUCAAAUGUGAAAAUUCCCAAUUUUAUAACCCCACAUUUGCUGUACAAAUCCACAAGUGCCGAACCGAUAUGGACAUCUGAGUCAUACCCACAUCUGAUUGAAUAAGCAUGAACUUGCUUCCCUCGAUCGAGAGAUACCGAUCUUGAACAAAUCGGUAUUAUCAUUCCUAUGGUAUAAAUAUCAGGUCUCAAAUUUUCACUCAGCAACUCACCAAAGAUUUGCAAACCAAAUUCAUUCUGACCAUUCUCCAUACAACCUGCAAUCAAUCCAUUCCACGUGUAGAUGUUCGGAUCGAACCCACUCUCUCUCAUCAUAGAAAGAAGCUCUAGAGAAUAAUUCAAGUUUCCAGCUUGAGCAUACGCAGAUAUCAAUACGUUCCACGUAACUGUGUUCUUAUCAACAAUGCAAUCAAAGGCCAAAUUCGCACCAGAUAAAUCAUUGCACUGAGAGUACAUUUCCACAAGUGCAGCCCCCACAAAAGGAUUUACAUGAAGGCCUCUCGCUAUUGCGUAUGAGUGGAUCUCCUUUCCCUGUCUUAAUGCACCUAAUGCGGCACAAGCCGCCAAAAUGCUUCCCAAAUUAAAGGAAUCAGCUUCGAUCCCUUCCACCAUCUGCAUGUAUCUAAACAUGUUUAACGCUUCAUCGAACCGCUCAUUGUCAACAAGACCCGAAAUCAUCGAAUUCCAUGAAAUAUUAUCCCUCUUCACUCCAUCAAGUUCCAUACGAUCAAACAGCUCCUUAGCCAAUUCCAACUCACCAUUCUCGCAAUACCCAACAAUCAUAGUAUUAUAAGAAACCAAAUUUCUCACUGAGAAUCUCAGAAAAAGCUCUUUUGCAGUGAUCAUAUUGCCACAGCGCCUAUAAACAUCGAUCAAUCCGUUAAUUAUAUAAGAAUUGGAAGCGAGCCCAUUUCUCACAAUGUAGCCAUGAAUUUCCUUACCCACGUCGAGUAAUUCGAGUCUCCCGCAAACAGGCAAUACACUGGCCAAAGUCUGAGCAUUCGGGCUAAUGCCGGAUUUUAUCAUUUGACCUAGUAGGUCAAUGGCUUCUUCAUCGUAUUCGUUCUGAGAAAAUCCACCGAUCGCCGCACUCCAGGAAACGAGAUUAGGCUUAACAUCAGUAGACCGUCGCAUUCUCUCUAGAAACUCCAUUGCUUGAAAAACCAAUCCAUUAGAAGCACAACCGCUUAUUAUUGAGUUCCACGAAACACAAUCUCUCACCAGCAUUCUGUCAAACACCUUUGUCGCCUCUGAAACGAACCCACACUUGCCGUACAUGUCGAUUAAAGCGUUACCCACAUACAAAUUCGAACAAAAUCCCUUCUUUAUCACGAACCCAUGAAGCUCCUCCCCCAGCUCCACCGACCCGAGCCCGCCGCCGCAGGCCUUGAAGACCACCGGAAACACGAAGAACUCCAGCUCGGCUGCCUCCGCCAGCAGUGCCCGGAAGAGCAGGAGCGCUUCUCCGAAGAGCCCGCGAUCGGCAAAGGCGGUGACGAGCGCGAGCCACGCGUAGAUGGUCCGCUGGGGCAUUGCGUCGAACAGGUGGCGGGCGAGGUCGAGGCGCGAGAGCCGCGCGUACGCGGCGAGGAGCCGCGCCUCCAGGAACGCGCGGGCGCCGAAGAAGCCGCGCUUGAGGACGCGGGCGUGGAUCUGACGGGCCAGGAAGGGGCAGCCGCAGGAGUCGACAUCGGAGGCGAGGCCAUGGAGGUGGGGAGGGGGAGGCGUUUGUGCGCGGGUUUCACGUGCGAAGAGCGAGGGUUUUGAAGGGGCGGGAGAGGAGGGUGUCGGAGGAGGCUCAACGGUCGAGUGAGGAGGGGCUUUGCACGUGCGGAAAUGGCGCGGCACGUGUGGGGAGUGGAUUGGAGGGGAUAGAGUAGAGGAUGUCGUUGAGGUUGCUGCAGCCCACAUGCUUUACGAAAUGCAUGAGAUGAUUAUAGCAGUGCAUGAUGUGGAAUUUUGCUGAGGGUCUUUAUAUACAUUUCUCCCUUUUUUUUUGGUCUGUAUUCUUUUUUACACAAUCUUUUUGUGUUUUAAAAGUAAAAAAAAAUAAUAAUAAUAAGACUAGUAUUAAAAAAAAAGAAGAUACCUUUCAAAUGAAUAGAGUGAAAAUCUUAUAUUUACCUAUAGGCAUACAGGUAGCAUUGCUCAUCUUCAAAUAUUUCCAAUGAUAAUGCAAAAACUGUUAUAAAAAGAAACACAGUAUACGGAUUAAAACUCUCUUUUCUACAUUUAAUUUACGACAACAAUAACAAAAAAUGUAAUGUAAAAUUGUACAUCAAAAGCUCAAAAGAUGGAUACAACAAGAGACCUUUUCUUAAAGGAAAUACAAAGCUUUAACCACUCAAAACAUUCCUUUUGUGGCUUUGCUCUUAAAUAGGGAACCAUCUGAGAGGUGGUCUACGAGUCCCGCACCAGAUUAUGCGGUCAAAUGAAUCACAAGGUCCAUGUGCAAAGCCAUUAACAUCUAUGAAUUUGGAUCAACUUAGUUGUUUGAAGUGGUUCAGUCGUUAAGCUUGCACACUGAUAUAAAUUUCUGAACCGCGUUAUGGUACUGGGUUCCCUGCAUGAUGUCAAUAAGAAGUUGAUGUGUGUUAAAAAGCUAUCGAUAUUUCUAAAAGAAUAGGGCUAGAUUGCUGAUUCAGUAAGACACUUCGGCGACUUUUCCUAUGCCAUGCGCUUGUAUAGUUCAUUAAAACAAUUUACUAAAAUCUUGGCCUGUAGUCAUUUUUAGACAGCAUGAACUGUCGUUGGGAAGUACAUAAUGCAAUUAGACGAUUUAAAGAACCGACGAAUGGAUUCAAGAAAAGGAGUGAUAAUAACUAUGAAAAAAAUAAUAAUUAGGAGUACCUCCCAGUAAAGUUGGCUGCAAUCGGUACAUUUCCAGAACUCCAAAUUUCGGUUAAAGAGACAUGGAGGGAUGACUUGGAACCCUUUCGAAGCUUCAAUAGCUUCCUCGAUAGUCAAGGGCUUCUGAAUGAAGUUCCCAUUGCAUUUCGUACAUCUCGACAUGAGUUGGUCUUCUGAGAUCUUCAACUGGAAGGUCUCAAUCACCUGAAACAGCUAAACCAGAUUAAACAGGCUUCAUGAAAACAUCGACUUCUUACCUCUAAAAGAAAUGAAUAUCUUAAACAGCUACGAAGGCUUUACUUUUGUGCAGGUGUGGGUGUGUUUGUGUGGCUGUGGGCUUUUUACUUCAAAUGGAAAUGCAUAUCUUAACAACUAUUAAGGCCUUGCAUGUGUGUGUGUGCGUGCACUUGAAUUUGUUCUGGUGCAAUACUUUCCGAGCCAAAGUUUAAACAAUAUAUUAGCCACCAGAUCAAAGGAAAACUUGCGGUUUACUAAUGAGAGAUCUAACAUUUCUUUGAUAUCCCUUCAAGUAUAACAAAGGAUAUCGAGGUUAAAAAGCAAACUAAUGAAGGUCAAAAUACAGUUCAGAAACUGCCCACCAGCGUACCUCAACUAGCUGGUCAUUCUUGAGAAGACUCUUUAUUUUAUAUACUUGAUUCCCUAUCAAAUACUGAUAUUUCAAGAGCUUGACAUCUCGUGUUAGGAGUACCCUUUUCUCCUUGUAUGCUUGAUUAAGUAACUGCCUACGAAUAACCAAACAAAAUUCAGCAAUGAAUAAGAAGCACUUUUUAGUUUUAUCAAAGAAAAUUGUGAGUCAACAGAUAAGCAAGCAAAUUGUUCUUGCUUGUAUAGUGCAAACCUUGGUUCAGGUUUUUUCGAAGAUGGAAUAGCAGCAUCAAUUCCGACACAUCGCAAAUGCUUGGCUAGACCUUCCACCUGAGAUAUCACUUUAAAUUAUAACGGCAAUUUAACUUAACAAAGAUUUGUACAUAGUACAGAUUUCAAAUACUCCAUCAAAUGGUAACUCAACAAAAACAUGGCAGCUAAUUGGUAUUUAAGUUAAUGUAGGAGCAUAUGAACAAAAAACUCUCACCAUUACAUCACACAAAAACUUUGGGCAUCCGUCCCCACCAACAAAAGGAUCCCAUGGUGGAGGGCCCUGCCAGUCACUGUUGUCGAGUAGUUGCUCUUUGGAUUUUAUAUUUGUGUGCAACUGCUCUUUUCCUCUUCGUCUUGAGGGUCUAGGUUUCUUAUCUGAAUCUUUCAAUACAAUCAUCUCACCAUACUUCCUGAUAACGUGUGUAAUGCAAUCUCCGUCAAAAGCGUAUGAGGUGGGCAGUGUCAUAGAAUGGAUUGAAAGAUUCCCAUCAGAUUCAAAAGAAUCUAUGGUGUCUAUACCAUUUUCAAAAAUAUUUGAUAAUUUUGAUUCCUCGAUGGUUUUAUCGAGUUUAGCAGCUAAAGUGGAUGCAUUUCCUCUAGGGCUGGCUAGAUAUUUACCUGCAAUAAUCAUUAAAAAGUUAUUUUGGGAAACAGAAGGAAAUGAAUCUACAAAUUAACAUGCAUUUGUAUGAUGAAAUAUGAUGACGAUGAGAGUUGAAUUGGAGAAUAUUUGAUUCUGAAUAAUUUAUCUUUCAGUAGUUUCACUAGACUUAAAAAGAAGUCCAUAAAACUUGAUGAAAUCAGUAAAAAAUUAUGUACAUUUGUCAGAUCUAAGUAUUCAAAACUUCAUUUGUACAAUUGCUUGACGAAAUUUGAUAAAGAAAAGUUCAUUUUAGUGAUACUACAUUUUCCCAGAAUUUUUCAUAAAAUUUGAUGAGUUCACAAGCUUGACGAGUUUAAUGACAAAUAACAUGUCAGUAAAAUCUUUGUUCAUGCAUCUGCAUAGGACAAAUGGGGUUAAUUUUGAGAGGUUUUUGUUUUUCCUAACUUUCAAGCCUCAAUUAAUCAAAUUCCAUGUAAUAUUGUCACUUGUUCACUAUAAACAUGGAAAAUGGCAAAAACAUAACAGAGUAAUUUGCAAAUAUCCUCCUACCUACUGGAAGUCAUAUAAGAAACUAUAAUGAUAAUAUCAAAAAAUUAAUGAACAGAAAUAUCAUAUUACUAUUACAUUAUCAGUUAGCAGACUUGUCUAAUUGUUAGAACAAGUUCAAAAAAUUACGAAGCUAGAAAGAGAAGGUAUGUUAGGAAAUUACAGGAAGGUUGAUGGAGAUAUAUACACAACAAAGAAAAAGUUCCAAACUUCCAGCAAAUAUACCGUCAGUGAACACUUUUUGUUCAAAGAGAGAAAAUAUUUCGAGCAAGUAAUAUGCAUCAGCUGCAGCAUAGAGUAUCUGCUCUUCGCUUAAAGGCCGGCAUGACCAGUCACUACAUUGGAGUUCCUGCACCAAAAUAAAUAUGUAAGGAAAAACCAUUGCAUUCAAUAGUCCUUACUACAUUAUAUCGUCAUUUCUACGGCCGAUGCUGCAAUUAUGAUAGAUUGAUAAGAAUAACUGUCACAAUAACUCAGAUAUGAAGCUUAUUUGAAUAGAUCUGCAAUUUAUUGAGCAGACGGAAUUUUUUUUUCUUUAUCUGAAAAAAGCUCUGAAAGACACAAUAGAAAAUUCUAGCUUAUAAUGAGAUGAAAAUGUAAGAAUAGGGGAAAACAAAUUCAACAUACAACGGUCUAUCGGAGUACAUGACAAAAAGACACACGAUACACAGAUAGAUAAACAAUAGAGCAGGGAUAAAUAACAUGAGAUUCAUUUUCUUAGAACAUAUAAGAUCUUGAAUUCUUGAUACAAUAGAGAUAGAAAGAGUAAUGGGAUCAAAACCAGAACCUUAGAUAGAGAAAUGCCCAACAGUUCCGCACAAACAGUUGCCAAGCUUUUAGUCUCCUUUGGAAGCUUUCUUCCCAUAUUUUGACUAUUUAGAUGAUGGUAAAUGGUGGUAACAUCCAGGAAGGGCUCCACCUGAUAAAUGCAUCACACACACACAUCACACACACACACACACACACACACACACACNAGAUGAUGGUAAAUGGUGGUAACAUCCAGGAAGGGCUCCACCUGAUAAAUGCAUCACACACACACAUCACACACACACAAAAAAAAAAAAAAAAAAAAAAAAAAAAUCAUCUCUAAAGCCAUUAAUUUGUGGAAACUGUAAAGAAGAAUGAAAGAUUACGGCACUUUUUUGUCUUCUAAUUUCAGCAUUGCAGUGAUACAACUAUUUUAUCAAAAAAGAAAAAUAAACAUACAUGGACUUAAUUCAAACUCAUGUGCACACUAACUGCAAAACACUAGUAACGAACAAUUUUGUGUAAAAUAAUGAUACAUUUUUAUACUUGACACAAACAGCAAUUGCAAACUACAAUUAUCAAUUCAUGUGAAAAAAAUUAGGUAGAUUACAGACUUCUAACAAGCACUGUAAUCUGCAAUCACCUUUGUUUCAAAUAAGCCACUGAUCUUUAAUUUGUUUCAACUAGUGUUUUAUUUUAAUUAGACCGCUACAUCAAACUUCAUUCGAUUUUUUCUCUUAUAAAAAUAGAUGGUGUGAUAACUAAUUCAGUGGCCAACAUAUGAACAAAGGGCAGGGCAAUGACUCGUUGGUUAAGUAUCUCACAACUACUACUAUAGUUCAAUCAACACAUCAGCACUAAAAUAUGAUUCGACAGUUAAAUCAGUAGUCCCAUCAUUUUCAUCAUAUUAUCAUCUCCAAGAGAUGAUACAGCAGCUAAAUCAACCAACACCAAAUCUCCGUGCUCUCAUUAGAAAACUAUAAUAAAAUUAAAAAAGGGGAAGUUUUGUGACAUAAAUGAAAUAUUUCUAAGAUCAGUAAUGGAUAAUUCACCCUAUCAAAUCCAGGAUCGCAACCAUGGGAGGAGAAGGUGGAGGAGAGGUAGACGAGGUCCUGCUUGAACCGGAACCCUAGCUUGAGCACCUCCGGCGACUCGAACAGCUCCCUCAGGGGUUCCCACAGCGCCUCCGCCGCCACCGCGAGCAGGUCCACGAUGAACACCGGCGACGACGAUCCCCCUCCUCCACCUUCUCCGGCGACGGCGCGGCACGCGAUCUGGAGCAGGGUGACGGGAGGGAACAACGAGGAGGAGGACGAGGGCGAGGGAUCCGCGGAGGAGGAGGAGGAGGGGCGGGAGCGGCGGGGCUUCCACUCGGCGUCGAGGGCGACGGCGCGGGAGCGGCGGAGGGUGCGGCGGAGGAGGGCGAACUCCGGCGAGGCGGCGGAGGCCACCAUGUGGAUCUCGAAGGGAUGAGGAGGCGAGGGCGCAUCCCUGGCCAUGGCCAUGGCGAUGGCGAUGGUGGGGGAAAAUGGUUUUAGGGUUUCGGAUUUGAUUUGUUUCGGAUUUUGAAUACAAUAAAUUAAAAAAAUGUGUUUAAGGAGUCGGCAAUUGGCGGGGGAAAGGAUGUGGACGAGUCGGCGGUUGACGAGAUGGGCGCUAAAGAAAGAAAGCAAAUAACUCUCUAUAAUUUGGUGUAGGUGAAUGGAAGCCGAAACCAAAUCCGCAAUAAUUCAAUACAUAAAACAUUUAUGGUAUUUUUCAUACGCAGAUUAAAUAAUAUAUUUAAUCUUUUCAAAUUUAAAAUUUAAGUUGACAUGUUUUAAAAUUUAUGGAACCUAAAUUGUGCCAUACAAAACACAGACUCCCCAGAUAAAAAAAUUGUUUCAUAAAAGGAGGAAUUAUAAGAUUAGAAAAAAAAAAAAGAAGGAAAAACUCNUUUUUUUCCCCUUUGUUAUUCAUUUAUUUGAACUGUUUCCCUUCAUUUUGUGCAGUCAAGAGUUGUACAAUGUGCAGUUGGUGAACGGUCCUAUCAUAUUUUUAUCAGCUAUGUGCUGGUGCUACCUUGCCUCUCAGAGGUACAAAAUAUAAAUUUCUAACUUUUGCCUUCCUAUGGUUGUUACUUCUAUUGUCUAGAUCAAAUCAUUUGACAUCACUAACUCUUGAUGUGAGCUUAACUUCUCCAGUUUGUAAGUUCCUCUUUUUUUUUCUCACCUGCAUCUUAAGUACGAAUUAGGAAAUGUCAUUGUUAAGGCACCUCAAUUCUUUUGUUCUUUGAUAGUCAUGUCUGCAAUUUGUGUUCUGUUGUUAUGAUUUUCUAGCGACCUCUUAAAUUAGUGUUUCUGUUUCUUGUAAAACAGAGACUAAAUUUGAGGAAUGCUGAUGAAUAUAAAUAUCUGAAGCAGAGCAGUUGCUAUUCAGUAACUGGUGUUAAUGAUUCUACAAUGUUUCACACUGUGAUGGUAUAUCCGUAAUUGCCUCAGAAAAUUGUGUUUUUAUUUUAUGUAUUAUGCACUUUCAUACUAAUUUUUUUUUCUCCAGGAAGCAAUGGAUGUUGUCCAUAUCAGCAAAGAAGAUCAAGAAAAUGUAUUUGCAAUGCUUGCCGCAGUUCUAUGGUUGGGAAACAUUUCCUUUACAGUGAUUGACAAUGAAAACCAUGUUGAAGUUGUUGCUGAUGAAGGUAAACAUUUUAGACUUGCCAUGAUCAAUCUGUGAGAUCAGAUAUUAUAAAUCUAUGAUCUUUGUUACAUUAUUAAUGCUUUUUUCCUUCUUUCAAAAGACUAGAAUGAGGCCCAGUUUGGGCAUACCCAAGCCCAAGCAAAACUGAAUAGGUAAGUUUUAGUUUUGGGUUAUACUACUAAAGCGUAGCCUUGCAAUGGAGAAAUCCGGGCUUUAGGGCUUGGACCGUUCUACAGCUUAAUUAUUAAAUUCUCUAGAGGACCUAUGCUUUAGGGAUUGGCCUGAGUUUAAGAGCUCCUUGAAAUUCCAUACCUUGAUUUUUCUCUUUCUUUGGCUUUCUUUUCUUGUAGUAAGAAAAUACUUGUGUAAUUCCAUACCUUGAUUUUACCGUAUAUUAUAAAAAAUAAUACUGUGCUGCUAUUUGAUUUCUACUUCUCUUUUCUACGGAGCACAAUGGAGCUGACCAGGGCAAUCUAUUUGAUUUCUACUUGUUAGGUACCGUCAUGUUUAAGUCCACUUAUUGUGUUUAACGGCUUAUUUGGAUGAUCAUCCAGAGAGCAGUAGACUUAUUAUUUGUCAUAAUCAAAUCAGUUUAUCAUUGUAAUCCGCUUGACAUACUUAAAACUAAAUCGAAUCUCCUAUAUAUGACUUUUUUUAAAGAAAAAAAUUUCUCACGUAUUUUUAGUUUUGUAGGAGAUACAAGGUUGGUCCUUGAGUGUUUAGCUGUAAUUGGCAAAUAUUUUUUUUUACUUUUAGUUAGUUUUGUAGUUUUUUUUUUGAAACAAAUUUAAUCUCGUAUUUGGUGAACUAUUUGAAUAGAUAGGCUCUUCCCCGAAUAUUAUUCGAGUCUAGUCUUCUUAUCUGCUCUUAGUUAGAAAAGUUUUUUAAUGAUUUAUUUUGAAAUAUAAGUCACUUUUAUGUAAGAGCUGUUCUAGUAGAUAGUGAUGCAUGGAAUUGCCAAUUUAAUUAAUCCUAAUCCAACUGNGAAUUAUAAGAUUAGAAAAAAAAAAAAGAAGGAAAAACUCUAAUACAAGGGGUUAGAUAGGUUCACAUUUAUUUUAUUAUCUCACAUACAAAUAAACAACACCACACUCUUUUAAACAACAAAAGGAAACAAACUACAAUUUGCAUCAUUGUACUAUUUCAAUAUUGCAACUUAAUUUGCAAACUUCUAACUCGAACAAAUUUAUAAUUCUCUAGCUUUUUCGUAAAAUCACAAUUUAGAAUAGCGUUCUAAGACGGAAGUAUUUAAGUAAAGAGUUCAGAGACUAAGUUGCAACAUAAAAAAUAGUACAAGAACUGUUCGAUACAAUUUAUACCAAUCUAUGUAUUCUAGUAGUCUUCUGGGGACAAUGGCUGGCGAGUGAGCUGCGAUGGCGCCGUGUCGGCGGCCAGAAUCACGAGAAACUCGUAGACGAGCCCGGCAAGGGCUGCGCCGACGAACGGGCCGACCCAGUAGAUCCAGUGGUGCCACCACCGCCACCCGACGAGCGCCGGCCCGAACGCCCGUGCCAGGUUCAUGGCGGCACCGUCAAAGGGCCCGCCGGCCAGGAUGUUGGCGCCGACCAUGAAGCCGAUCGCCAGCGGCGCGACGGUGGCGAUGUGGCCGCGCUUCGGGUCGAUGGCGGUGGCGUAGACCGUGUAGACCAGCCCGAACGUCAUGACGACCUCGAGGAGCACCGCGUGCCACUCGCCGACCCCCGACGCCACCGAAAAGCCCAGCGGCCGCUGUAAUAUAUUACAAAAAUAUAUAUAGAUAUGCAAUGAAGACUGACAACAAUUCAAAACUAGAGCAAUGCUAGUACUACAACUACUUUUUCGCUAUAAUUUUACAACCUUUUAGUUUAUACUAAAAUUUUUUUUAAAAAAAUUUGAGAAUAGGAUUAAUAGUUUGAUCGUAGGGAAAAACAGACAGAACUCUUUCGAACUACGUCCGAACUACAGACCAUUUCGAAUUGGCUAUCUAAACUUUUAAAUAGUAAAAUUAAUCAAAAUUUUAAAAUAUUAAAUAUCCAAAUCUAGGUGGUCGUAGUUCAAAAAAAAAUUGAUUUAUUUUUAUCUUAAUAAUAAUAAUACUAUAACCUGUAUUUACUUGUAACUUAGCAUUUGUGCCCAAUUUAUUAUUUCAAUUUGGUCCUCAAUAUGAGAACAUCGAAUCCAUCGUUCAUGAUCAUCAUGCAUUGUAAAACUAAAAAAUCUUAAAGCAAGAUGAAUGGUGGAUUUGUCCCUAGCUCUAACUAUUCUACAUAUAUACGGUUUAAACUCCAAAGAAACCAAUCAUACAAUUAUGCUUUUUGGUAGAUUUUAUAGAGCGUGCAAAUUAAACAGUAGUUGAAAAUUGAUCAAUUUAUUACCAUGCCUCCGGUUGUUAUCCUUAAGAGGAGGGAGGCGACGACGGCGCCGAGGAGCUGCGCAGCCCAGUACAGGAGGGCGUCGACGAGCACUACACCAAAAUUGCCCUUUAGCGGUAAUUUAAUAGCGGCCAUUAUUGGACAGCCGUUAAUACUUUUUAUCAAUAUGUUUUAGCGGCAAUUAUUUUAAAUAGCCGUUAAUUUUAUAUUAAAUAUAUUUAUUUGACCACUAAUAUAAUCCUAACCCUAAGUCUAAUUCGAACCAAAACAAACCGAAGCACGCCUCCCACCCUAACCCUGUUCGCUCCCCACCCCAUUCGCGCCCCACGCGGAGCUCGACCUCGAUCGAGCUCUCCUCUCUCAUCCCUCUCUCAUCCCUCGAUCGACCUCGAUCGAGCUCUCCUUCACCUCUCCUCUCUCAUCCCUCUCCUUCACCUCUCUGAGCUCUCCUCCUAAAUCGCCGUCGACCUCGCGUGCACCGGCGCAACGUCGCCGUCGACCAUCUCGAUCGAGCGCAGCCACAUCGCCGGGUUCAUCGGCACCCACACCGUGCUCCAGCUCCUCAACGAGGGUUUUAGCGUCCACAUCAUCGACAACCUCGACAACUCCAUCGCCAAGGCCGUGGAUCGGGUUAGGUCUCUCGUGGGACCUGAGCGAUCGCGCAAUCUCCAUUUGUAGGUAGUGAGCAUUUUGUACGAGGGUUUUUCUUCGUAAUUUUUAUGAUUCUCUUCAUAUUUUCUUAAUUUUUGAGAUAAUGCGUUGUGCGUGUUGAGAUUAUGGAAGCAAUAAGCAAUCAAAAGUUCUAUAUUUUCAGCUACGGAACUGAAUGUGCUGUCAUACUUAUCAAAGAGUUUGGUUGAUUUCUUCUUGGGCAUAAUAAGUUUCAUUGCAUUUCUUUUAGCCCAAUUUCUUACGUUAUAUACGAUACAUUGUGAAUUUAACUUUUGAUUUUGGUAAACUUAAGUUGUCAUUGAUAUCUGUCGCCACCCUAAUUCCACUGUUAUUCAGCAAGCAACGAAGCCUAUUGUUAUGAAUGCUAAGAAAGCUUGUUCACUACAUGGAGAAAUUCACAUUUUUCUGUUCCGUUGCCGUCUUAUAUAGCUUUUGCUGAAGUUAUAAAUUGCAUCUCCCUCGACUUCAACUGCAUUUCUAUCUCUUUAAAAAACUUCACACCUUUUAUCACGUUAUGACUUAAUUUGUCAGAAUGCAAAGCUCUGACUCCUUUUAUGGUGUUGCAUCUGAUUCCUUUUUAUGGGGGUUUUAUUUUCCGCGGACAUGUGAGUUUUCAAAAACUAUUUCUUACGGCACCAUUCUUUGGAACUCUUUUGCUCUGUCCUAUUUGAAGUCAAACAUCACUAUCUUGCCAUCCACAGGUUCCUGUUUCUCUAAUUUGCUCGAUUGAGUGUUUAGAUUUCACCUUAUUAUUCAAAGGUCAACUCUCUUCUCUCUUCCAUUAGGUUCUUUUCAUAUAUAGAUAUAUAUCUAGAGAGAGAGAUAGUGUGUGUGUCUUAGGNUUGCAUACUAUUUAGCGGCAUUUAUAAUAGUCGUUAUUGUAUAAUAUUUAGCGGCAUUUAUUUAGAUUUUUACCGACCGCCGGAAUAAAUGCCGCUAAAACUUUUAGCGACCCUGCUAAUAGCGGCAAUUGUUAAAAUUGCCACAAAAUAUUUUAGCGGCAAUUGUAAUUGCCGCUAAUUUAAAAAAUAAUUGCCGCUAAAAAGUAAUUUUGUUGUAGUGGAGGGAGAUGCGGCCGCCAACGAGGGCACCGAAGGUGACGGCCGGGUUGACGUGGCCGCCUGAGAUGUUGAUGGCAACCGCCACGGCGACGAACAACGCUAGCGCAUGCGCGAUAGCCACCACCGCCAGCCCGCCGGCCGUAGACGUGUCUCUGUACAGCUUCUCUACAACCAACAUACAACCUUACAAACUGUUAAAUUAUACGAAACAAUGAUAAUUUUUAAAAAACUUAAGCUAUUAUAAAACAGUAUUCAUAAUAUUUAAAUUCAACACUUUUUCUAUCAUACAUGAGUUCAAGACUUAGGCUCAAGACGUAAACAAAUUAAACCGGAGAAAACUAAAUAACUGGACGAAACUUACAUUUUCUUUCUGCUCUGACACUGUGUUAAACUAUAUAAAAAAUCGUUUUUUUCUAAUAGCUUAACACAAAUCAUACUUAACUAAUUCCAUAUUUAUAGCUUGAUGCCAAUCUUUACAGCAACCUUUGCUAAUCCUCAUUUUAUUUUUUUUCAUAUUUUUCUAUAUCAAUGUUAUCAAAGUUAAUCCUAAACAAAUUAAACCUCUAUUAAUCCUUAAUCAAAAGAGUUUAAAUUUUAUCCUUGUUAUAUUACUUCUGCACUCUGAUUUAAUAUAGACAAAUAAUCUUAGACUAUUUCUGAAUUAUUAUUUUGAUUAUUAUUUUAUCUCAUUUGUAUCACAAAUUCCACAAGCUACAUAUAUUAGGAGACGCUUUAACCCCAUUAGGAUAUCCUUGCAUUUAGUACUAAUUAACAUGAAAUUUUUUUAAGAAAAAUUGACUAAUUUUAUUGGCUAAUCAAGUCUCAAAUCUUUUGAAAUUGUGGAUAACAAUGCAUGCAUGCAUGCAUGCUUGGUGCAAAAGUUGUAGCAUGCAUGCACGGGGCGUGCACAUACCGAGGGCGAGGACGGAGCCCUCGGCGGCGAAGACGAAGAUGGCGGUGGCGACGAACUCGGAGAGGGCGGCGCGAAUGGCGUCCGCCCGGACGGCGUCCUCCGCCCGACCUAAAGCGAACCGGCGCGGCGGCAUCACACUCUGGAUCACUCUGUGUGUAUGUACUUCUAGUUAGCCACAAUUCUAGCUAGUUAUACAGCUGUGCACAGCGCUUUUGUUCGAUCUCUCUGCUUCCUCACUCUUUCAGUUGGGCUUCUUUAAGAAGCUGCUCAAUUUUGCUCAGUUACGUACGAGGGAGGAGGGGGGGAGAGGGGAGUGGCACGUUUAGAGAGAGGUGGUGGGAUGUGCAUGGGUGCAACCGCUUCAAGCUUGUGUUCUUAUCUCCAGGUUUAUUUUGUAUUAUUAUUUGUAAUGAAUUGAUUAUGAAAUAUUAUCUUUUAUAAUUUUUUUCUUUUUUUUUUGAGAUAGGUAGCGCGCUAUUCGUUUCGUUUAUUUCAUUGAAAAAUAAACUUAGCUAAAAAUAUGAAUCAACUAUUCUUCGAAAUUAAAACCUCGGAUACCAACCACCAAAUCAUUUGUCACUUGCUCUGGGAAAGAUAGGUUAUACUUUAUAAAUUGUUGAGAAAAGUUCGUUUCAUAAUAGAAGAUGACGCUAUAGCAGAAGCUUAUUCAGCAUCGAGACUCACAAAUGAUGUUUACAUUACAGCUUUGGUGAAAAGCUACGUAAAUAAUAAGCAUGUAGUGAUGUACGAUGGUGAGUGGCACCACAUUAUCUAGACUUUUCAUUAAUCACAUUUAUUUCUCAUCAAAUUUAUCCUUAUAAAAUUAUAGUAUUUCCUUAAAAAAAUUAAUUAGCUUGAGACAUCACGAUGUAACAAUCUUACUGUUGCAUAAAAGACAUAAUUAUUUUUUACGGUCCAAUUGAAAAACGGGUCCUUAACCACGUCUCACAUGACAAACAUCUCAUAUAUAGUGACCUCAGAAGAGGCUGAAUCACACCAUUAAAAUGAAACUGCAUAUAUUGGCUCAAAAAAGCAAUUUACAAAACCCGUAAUAUGUCGAUUUGUUCUUUUUCCUCUCUCAAUGGAUUUACGGAACAAAUAAAAGGGAAAGGAGGAGUUCGAUGCCUGGAACCACUUUCUGCUCUGCCUAUUAACUAAUUUUCGAUAAAAUUUGUUCGACUUGAACACUUUAUUCUUCGGAUUUCAAGUCAUCAUCACCUGAAGCAGCCAAAGAACCUUCUUCACUUUCUUCCGUUUCGGAAUCGUCGACCAUCUUCUUAAUCGACUCGACAUCGUCAAUCUCAGAAAGGGUGUGAAUUCGAAGGGUGUUCGCAUCCUCACUGUUCCAAAGUGAAAGUGAAAAAUGAAUAACAUAUGUUUGAGAGAGAGACAGAGAUGCAACUCGGUUAGUGUCGUACUCUGUUACUCCGAAAAUUUCUUUGAUUAUCAACGAGCUGUCUCGCGAGCAGAACUCCGGAAGCUGGAGUAAGAUACAAGAAGUAAGUCAAUAUGGCAAGCAAAAUAGUAUAUGCGCAUCACAACAUAAUAUGGCAUGAUUUCACUUUACUAUCCCGCGGUUUAAAAACAAAUCACUUUUCGUCCCCCGUGGUUUAUUGAUUUUCUGCAAGGGCAUGCUGUUAAAAUGCCACUAAAAAGGGUAGCAUAGUGCGGCGUUGUGAACCACAAUGUAACAAAUCAAACUAAAUGUAAGGGUGCAUAGCAAAGUCCAAACUUUUUGAAGUUCAAGAAACCUUUUUAGAAUGGACUAAAAUUCAACUGAUGUCUGUACAUUUUUACACAACAUGUAUCCGUCUUUUGCAGAAUCACUACAACAUGAGGGAAGCUCUAUAUAUGAGAAAAAUAGGCUCACCUCAGAUAGAUAAAGGAUCUUCCCAAACAGGGCUUGCACAGCAAGCUUUCGCUUAAAACCUUUCUCUGUAAAUCCUGAAAGGUCCAUAACUACCGGCCCUGAAAAACCAAAAUUGAUAACUAAAAUAUGAGAUUUUACAAAAUUCAUAGGCAGGAAUAUUUCUUCACUGUUUGAGGCUCUUAAGCUGUAGUAGUUCAAAAUUAGAUGGAUUGCAUUUUGUGCCAUUUCACAAGUUUAGAUGGUAAUAAGCACAAAAGGAUAACGAGACCAAAGAUGGAAUAAGUAGAUCUAAAGUUUCUUAAAUAAAACUUUGAUACACAAAAUGAUAUGACAGGAUUGUAUUCAACAUUCUUUCAAAGAGGAACUAGACAUUAGGAAAAAAAAUUUAAAAAAGAAAAAUAGCACAUAAUACAACAUGAAAAAGAAAUUCUCGAAUGAUAAGUGUCUUAUGGUACAAAGCACUUAUAAUUAAACUGAUUCUCCUUCAUAUAAAGUUUAGUUCGUCUAAGUUUACAUCAUAAUAGCAAAUUUUCUACAAUUUCGUCUGCUGAUUGUAUAAUAAAAUUAACCAUGAAUAAGUGCAUGAAAGGAGAAGAAUGAAGUAGAAGAGAAUCAAGCAGGCAAAAGUAGACUUUUAUGUUGAGGAACUCCAUUUCCAGCAUUUCGGCAGAGUAAAACAGUGUUGUUUAAAUAGUUUUGUUUAAUCACAUUCUGGUUGUAAUUGAAUUUGACUGACGGUUUAAGAUCGUAUUCGUCCAUUCUUGUAACCCAAACAUGACCAUUUGGAACAAGACUUACACAUGAUUCAAUCAUCAUUACCAUUGUCGCACAUUUAGAAAUUAGAAGGGAAAUGAGAAUGACUAACUAAGAAGUUAUUCUUUGCCUACUUCACAUAUAGUUGAUCAGCAAUAGAUGGAGACAAGCCAUCCUUCUUGCCCAGCCACUCGCUACCCUACUCCCUUUCUUGGGACGAGGCCAUGUAAAUAUGACAGCCUCAAGCCCUAUGACUUCCAUUUAUAAAGUCCAAAAAGUACAAAAAAGAAAAAACUCAUUUUAUCAACAAAGUAAGAUUCAGAACAUUAUCCCUAGUGGUCGCUAUAUAAAUUGAUAGAAUUACCUGUAACUAGAAAAUAGUUAGAAGUUUGUUCAGCAAACCACAGGGAUAACUGUAAGUAAUAACUAUAUACAAUAUACCUAGUUUGAACUUGUCAAAUUUCAAAAGUUGCAUCACAGGACAAGCAUUUCUUGAAAAGUUUCUAUAACUAAAGAAUAUUUAACCACAUGAGUGCUGGCAAAACAUAGAUAGCGAUAAUUACCUUUCUCCUUAACAAUUCGCCUUGCAGUCUCAUUUAAAACUUCUGCAACCUGGGCAUCUUCCAGCAUCGAUGCCUUUCGAAGAUGUAUGAGAUCGACAACCACAUCAGGAUUGAAUGGUUUCUCAUUCAAAGUGUAUCUGAUGUACUUUCUUAAAAGGUCGUCCAUAGUAAAACCUGUCUGAACACAAUUACAAUACGGCAUUAGCUGUUAAAGUAGCUGGAGGGCACAACGAACUACAGGUUUUCUCCUUCCAUAUAUCUAUACCAUCCAUAUAAUGAUCAAUAGCUGAUGAAACUGUACUGUACUAUUGAAUACUAAAUCAUUGAAAGUCCUAGCUUUGAUACUUCAUACUACUAGUAUUAACACCUUAAUGAAAUCCUCAAUUUUUGCCAACAAAGUUCAAAGAUAAAAAAUGAUAACUCUUUUGUACUACAUUACUUGGAAAGUAAAAGGGAAAAAAAAGCAACUAAUCAAUACCUUUUGCAUAAGCCCUAUAAGAGCUGAAUGAGUUACAUCUUCCUUGCCCUUUGAGAACAACUCGUCUAUCGAUUUCAACAAGAACGCAUUUUUAUUCACCUGCAAUAUGUUUAAGAACAAAUCAUUUCUACUACACGAAUGUACAAGAAGAAAGCCCCUGAUACUAGUCCCAAACUUCAUCCAUUGAAUUUUUAUUUUUGGGUAAAUUACACCUUUCAUCACUGAAUUUAUCAUUGCUUUUCAUUAGAUAACCAAGCCUCAUUAUUUUCUUUUCCUUUUUUCAGUUAAGGCAUUCAGCUUCAAAUUCUGUUUCAAUCGGGUUACUCCAUUAAACUCCAUUCUUGACGUGAACAUCUAAUUUACUAUCAAUAUAAGACAUAACACUAAAUUUUCGGUUAAUAUAACUGCUAUAUCAUCUUGAGACUAUAAUUAUUCAUCACAUCAUCUAGGUGAGUUGCCAAUUGAAUCAGAAAUCACAGAGACGAAUUAGUAACUAUGUUGCCAUCUCAAUAGCGACGUGGAUCGACUCAGCAUUCACUCUUCAUCGUUUUGUUAGAAAAACUAUAUGGAGUUUAAUGAAGUAACCUAUUGAAACAUUAGCCGAAACAAUAGAUAUUUGGUCCCCUAAUGAAGUUUCAUCAUAGGUUCAUGAUGAAUGCCAUAACUUGCCUUAGAUUUUGGGAAAGUAAUAGUAAAAUUCAAUAGAAACGAUAAACUAAAGAAUCAAAACCCUAAUUCAGGUACAGUACCAGUCUCUUGCGCUUGGCAUUUGGUGACGUGAACUUCCGAACGGUCUUCACAAAUGCGAAGACGAAGGAGAGCCCGACGUAGGCGAGGGGCACGGCGAGGAGCCACGGCACGGGGCUAUGCCCAACCCUAGGCCCGGGUAUGGCCUGGGUCACCGUCCCGGUGAACUCCACGAGAUCCAGCGCCUUCUCCUGGAUCCACGGGAGCUCCUCCUCCACCUCCUCCACCUCCUCCGCCCCCGCCUUUGCCGGAGAAGAAGAAGACGCCGCCUGGGUCGACUCCUUAGGGUUCUUCGACUGUUGCGGCGGCUCGGGGUCGUUCUCCCUCCCCCUGGCGCGGGCGAGUACAAGGGGGGAGUGUCUUGGGGCGAGGGGGCGAGGGGGGAGAGAGAGGAAGGGGGUGCGGAGGGGGAGGUUGGGACCUCGGCGGAGCGCGGCGGCGCCGUCACCGGAGAUGGAGGAGAGGGGGAGGAGGAGGGAGGAGGAGGACGACGCCAUGAGAGGAGCAGCGAAGCUUCCUAGGGCUUAUCGAACUGCCCCUGCUAUAUAUCGUAUUAGCGUAUGAACUCUACUCCUACGAUCGCCGAAAAAAUUUUAAAAAAAGAUAAAUAUGCAUAGAAAAUAUAUAUAUAUGCAUAGAAAAUAUAUAUAUAUAUAUAUAUAUAUAUAUAUAUAUAUAUAAAUUUUGACCUCUUAUGAUUCAACUAUUCAAUUUUUAAAAAAAUUAAUUUGGACAUCUAAUUUUUCAAUUUUUUUUAUGAAAUAAGCCAUUUGGUGGCUUUGGCACAAUUUUUAAACCUAUUACUUACUUUAAUUAUAUUGUAGUUGCAUCAAUAAUGUAAAUUAUGCUAAUCAGCUUUGUAAAAUUAAAUGAUGCAUUCAAUUUUAAAAUUUAAGAGCUAUUAAAAUGGAUCGAAUCUAUUGAAUUAAAAGAUUGGAUAACUAAUUAAAAUUUUAAAAUAUAAGAUAGUUGAAUUAAAAUGGGUCAUUGCUUAAGCAUCUACUAACUAGCGAUUUUAUAGGCAUGUGUCUGGCAACAAAAUCACAAUUCAUAUAUUAAAUUUUAAUUUUGUGAAUUUAAGGUGGUGAAUUGUAAUUUGCGAAAAUUAGCUUGUUUUUGCAUGCUCUAUAAUCUAUAAUUUUUUAGGGGGUUGACACUACAAAUAAAAAUUGAAUCAAGCUAACCAAAAGUUUGAGGAUACCUAAAAAAUAUAUAUUUUAGAUUAGAUCUAUCUAUAUAACUUACUCAUAUCUAAAUUUAAACUUGAAACUCACCUCUGAAAAAUAUACUACUAUGAGACUUCAACUAUUUAAAUUUAUAUCUAUCCGACUAUCUGAUUAUCUUUACAUUAUCUAAUUUUGUCUGAUAUACUUUUUUCAAAUUUUAAUUUUAUUAUAAAUCAAAGAAAAUUUAAAUUAUUCAUUGUAAUCAACUGUGCGUACUAGACGAAAAUUGUUACCAAGAUACGUGGAGACCACCUAAAGGUCCUCAACUAUAGGCAACUCUGAAAUCGCCCCCUAAUUAAAUUAUUUUCCUUUUUCCACCUGAACUUCUUUUGGCUGGCUCUGAUACCACUUGUCACGGGGUUAGCAUUUUCGCCUCAAAAUCCCCGCGCGGCGCUCAAGUGUCGCACACUCGAGCCAGCCUUCUCGAGUCCCUUACACGGACAAGUCUCCCAGACUUAACAGCGGAAUACCAAUCCAAGCAUUUUGCCAAGCUUGCUCCUCCCCGAGACUUGCAGCCCGACCCUUCGCCUGUAAUCGAACCCCUCAUCGGACUCCUCGAGUUCCCAACGAGCAACCCCAAUAUCGAGGUUGGCCACCAAGCUAGGUGCAUCCUGUUUUGUCAACCAAACCCUCCUCGAGAGUGCUCUGUAGCCGAAUGCCUUGUUGCCUCUCUCGCCAGCCCAAGGACAUUACAAGUUCUCCCCCAACCUGUACAAUAUUUUUUGUCACAAAUUUAGCACAUAAUAUCAUAUUAAUUAAUAAUUAAUAACUACCAAAAUUAUUAACUUAAUUAAGUAUAAAAUCUAAAAUAAAAAAAAGGGAAGUUCAGGAGUCUCAGUUUUACAAAUAGUAGUUUAGAGCCUAGUUCGAAAGUCGCUAUUGUUGAGGGGUCUCCAUACACUUUUACCUAAAUUUAUUUGAGAACAUCGCUAACCUUUGUCUAACGAUGUUAAACAGAGACCAUCGCUCCCCAUAUAUAAAAAUUAAAACCCUGAAACCCACCACCACGUAUUGUAAACACUAAACCCACUGAAGCAGCUCACCACCCUGGUCCCUCUCCCUCUCGCUCUGCGCUCUUCUUCUCGUUCGCUCCCCCUCUUCAUCCUCGCUCUUCAUCUUUCUGUCUGUUUGAUUCUCGCGCUAUUCCGAUGAGGUGAGAUAGGUUAAUUUGUUGUAAUAAUUCUUGUUCUUAUUUCAUUAUUAUUUCUUUUUUUCUUUGGACGACGAAUUAAUCCGCAAUGUGAACAAGAAAUCCGAAUUAUUGUUUUCAGCUUCUGAUUUAUUCACCUGGUAUUGUGCAGAAUUUGUUGUAAUAAUUCUUGUUCUUAUUUCAUUUUGGUUUUUUUUUUUCUUUGGACAAAUUUUUUUUUGAGUAAACAAGGAUAAACCCUAUUUGGGUUGGGUCUCAUAUAAUGCGAACUAAGCAAACUAAGCAGCCUGAUUUAUUCACCUGGUAUUGUGUAGAAUUUGGUGUAAUAAUUCUUGUUCGUAUUUCAUUUUUGUUUCUUUUUUUUUUUGGACGAUUUUUUUUUGAGUAAACAAGGAUAAACCCUAUUUGGGUUGGGUCUCAUAUAACGCGAACUAAGCAAACUAAGCAGCCUGAUUUAUUCACCUGGUAUUGUGAAAAAUUUGUUGUAAUAAUUCUUAUUCUUAUUUCAUUUUUGUUUCUUUUUUUCUUUGGACGAAUUUCUUUUUGAGUAAACAGGGAUAAACCCUAUUUGGGUUGGCUCUCAUAUAACGCAAACUAAGCAAAAUACAUCUUCACGAAUUUUUCUUUGGACGAAUUGAUCCGCAAUGCCAACAAUAAAUCUGAAUUAUAGUUUUCAGUUUCUGAUUUAUUCGGCUGAUUUAUUCACUUGGUAUUGUGCAGAAUUUGUUGUAAUAAUUCUUGUUCUUAUUUCUCCGCAAUGCGAACAAUUUAUCUGAAUUAUUAUUUUCAGUUUCUGAUAUAUUCGCCUGAUUUAUUCACCUGGUAUUGUGCAGAAUUUGUUGUAAUAAUUCUUGUUCUUAUUUCAUUUUUGUUUCUUUUUUUGUUUGAACGAAUUGAUCCGCAAUGCGAACAAUAAAUCUGAAUUAUUGUUUUCAGUUUCUGAUUUAUUCACCUCGUAUUGUGCAGAGUUUCUUCUAACAAAGAGGCAGGUUAAUUUGUUGUGAUAAUUCUUGUUCUUAUUUCAUUUUUGUUUCCACUCAAAAGAAAACGCUCACCUCGAAUCUUCCUUUAUUUGUAGCAGUUCAUUUUGUUGGAUUUGGAACCUCUCGAGAAUAUUUAUUGCCUCAGCUUUUUGCAAUUUUGAAUUUUUAUUAUUUGUGCUGCGUACUAGUGUCUGCUGCUCUUCUUCUUUGUCUUUUUUGUUUCUUUAAAUCAAAGUUUGACUGAUGGCCAGUUUCUUAAAAAUCCGAUGCCCUCUACGUCUAAUUUGUACUACUAAUGACAUCUCCCUAAGAGUGAAAUUUAGAAAUGACUAUUUUCUUACAAAGACUGAAAUUUUGUACACAUGUGCAUUCUUAGCAUACACAUGUUACAUUCUUUAUGUUUUACUUAGCUUUGUUAAAUUUUUUUAACUCUGUCAAAUUUUUGUAAUGGAAUUUCUAUUAUGUGAAAGUUUAUGUUUCUUCUGAACAUUUGAUAGUGUUGCACUUCGAUUCCUCUAAUUCAUCUGGCAUGUUUUUUGUUCUUAUGAUUUUGUUAAAACUAACUACUUCGACAUGCUAGUAUAUUGUCCUUUAAAUGACUUCGAGGGCAUUUUGACAACUCUUUGAUCUUUGAUACUAUUUUGCCAAGGUCUUUAAUAAAUAUCUUGUGUAUAUAUAAUAUAAAUAGAAUUAAUUGUUAUAUUAACAUAGCUCUCUGCACCAUAAGCUUGUUUCCUAAAAUCCUCCUAACAAAUUCGAUUAGCUUUAAAUUGGAGCUUCUUCUGUUUUUGGUCCUGAAAGAUCUUUCGAGGUUCCUGCUGCAACAAAAAGUUCAGACUCUUUUCGGAAGCUUCUGUAGUUAGGAGGUUCAAUUUUUAGAUGAUUGACUUCACUUCUAUAGCAAAAUGCGUAGCAAGAUUUCCCAAAAAGGAAAAGGAAAAUCUUAUUCUAGAUUCAGCAUUGUGGUAUUGGUCUAUCACAACCACAUUAAGGUAGAAAGUAAAAUUUCGCUCGCAAUUAAAUUUGAUAGUUAAUAUAAUUUUAGUAAGAAAAAUUAUCUUUAUUUAUAGUCGAAUAGAUAAAUAUAACGAUGUUGCUAAUAGAUAAAUAUAACGAUAUUGCCCGGGAGGCAAUAAAUUCAAAAGUAAUCGCAGUUACGAACAGAUAGCUUACCAGAGUCAGUCAUGCAUAAAAUAGGUGAUAAAAUUUUGGCACUGGAUUGUAAAACGCCACAAAAAUUUAAGGUUGAAGUGGAAAGGAAUACUUCUCUCGCUAUUAUGUUUCGAACUAUUAUGUUUCUAACAAUUAUUCUUGCUUGCUUGUAAAAGAAAAAAUAGCGGUAAAAGAAGGUUGGUAACUUUUUUAUGCCACCAAUUAAUAUUUAUGACUGAUAAUGACAUCCUAAGAUCAUAAUUUGAGCAGCCGUGCUUAUUCUCAAAAAAAAUAUGUGGAUUAAGAUAAAUGAUUAAUGAUAAUCUCUCAUAUCUUUAUGCAUAUUUGGUAAUAAAUGAUAUUUUGCCCCUUUAUAAAAAAUAUUCUUUAUUUGGUAACGAAUAUAUCAACAAAAUAUUUUUUAUGCUUUUUUGCUGAAAAGAGGUGAAGACUUGGUCCUCGGGUGACACUGACGCGAAUUCUAAGGUUAUAAACAAACUCAUACUGGAAGUUCAGGAACUCUCUAUAGAACAUAGCAAUCUAAAUUUUCUCAUAAAAAGGGGAGCACCUUAAUCACGAUUUCGUUGUAUAAUUCAUGAUUUAUAGAGAGGUAUCUUGAUCGAGUUUCGAACACUACAUCGACCACCGCAAGUAUGUGUCCCUCAUGAUGCCACUUCUCAGGUCAACAACAACGGACCGCAGCAAGCACCAAUGGCGACGACAACAGCAGCAAUAAUGAGCAAUGCACUAGAAGCAAGCAAAUUGAUUCUAAAAUUAUAAACAAUAAUUUUUUUAUAAAAAAAUUUCGGUAAGAAAAAAAAAAUUAUGUUUGUAAUCCUUGAUCUGAAGGAAAAAUUAAUUUUUCGUUAAUAUUUAUUUGGUUAACUGCUUGUUUUCGUUUUUCUCUUUUUUCUGUUUUUUUAGAUAAAUCUUUUUUUUCUUUUUUUCUUUUUUUCCUUUUCUGUUUCUCUUCCCAUCUGAGAGGUGGUUCAUCCCCUCUGUGUGUCUGACCCUUUUUGCUUGAAUCUGAACGAAUUGGGCGUGGGUGGUUUUUAUUUUCUCAGGUGAUGUUUUUCUUUUUUUUCCUUAGUUUAGUUUUGCAUACUAUAUAAACAAGAGGUCUAAUUAAGUCACCAAACUUCAAUUUAUUCCAAUUUGAUAUACUAAACUUCAAAUUUUUUUUUUGUUUCAAUUUUAGUUACUAUUUUUAAUAGGAGAAUCACAUAGCAAUUAAUUUUGUAAAUUAUUAUGUUGUCAUUCGUCGAAUUUGAGGCGAUAGCUAAUUCACUUGAAACAUCAAUUUGAAUAAGUUAAAAGUUUCGGUAAUUUAACGGCGACUUCGAAUUAAGUUUAGUGGUUAUUGGUGUAGUUCAUCUUGAACUUAUGGUUUCUGUUUAGGGUUUGGAACUUGCUCACAAGCUGUUUGAUGCAAUGUCAACAAAAAAUUAGAUUGAAUCAGCUAUUGCUUUGAGCUUGUGAAUUCUUUGAGGAUCAUCUAGGGUUUCCAUUUUUUAGUUGCAGUUAUCUUUGCAAAGAUAUUUCCAGUUUUAAGAGCUACUUCCUAAACUCAACUGCCUUAAGAUGUUAAGGGUGCAUUUCUCUGUUAUCCUGAUUCCCGCAUAUUUUUUUUAAUAAAAAAAAAAAUUCAAGGGUCAUUUGUUAUAUGGUUGUUGAGAAUCAUAAGAGUAUUUAAGUAGUCUUAAUUUUUGAAGUAGUUGAAAUUUAUUAUCUUGAGAAAAAAAUCAUGAUACUCUUGAUCACCAUUGUAACACUAUUUAUCCCCAUUUAACUUGUUUCGACAUUCGAACAGGCUCUAAUAAUUUUUUACUCAUUUGCAGAAGUUUGAUAGUGUGGAAAGCUUGCUGGAGUAUUUCGACGACCUAGACAUCGACACAUCUGAUUUAGGGAUAAUCCGAGAGGAGAAUAAUGGAAUUAUGAGCAAUAAUUCUGUUAUAGCUGAAGCUGGGAACAAUGGAACCUACUAUAUGGUCCUAUCCGACGACAACGGAACGAUGAAAAACAAUCUCAGUAUCAUUAUGAACGAGAAGAAUGGAAUGAUGACUAACAACAAUACUGCGAUGGUUGUACAUCAGAACAAUGGGGUGGCAAAUAAUCAUGGCGGUAUUGUCAUGGUUGAGAACAACAAAGAGACUAGGAGCGUUGCUCCUAUCAUUCCCUUGAGUAAUCCCAGCAACAAGCAUGUUGAGCCAGUGCACAACUUUAGUCGUGAAAAUCCGGCGGUCGUGCGUUGGUCCCGAGAAGAAGAGUCUAUCUUGAUGGAAAAGCUUGCUGAGUAAGUCCAUAGUUGGCUUCCUAACAUCAUCCUUUGGUGAUGUUCGUCAUUUUCGUUUAUCUCCCACAAAUAUGUCUUCUUCUUCAUACUGCCAAUCUGUGUUUAAAUGCUUUACUCCUGCCUAAAGCGAACAAAUUCAAAUAUAGAUGGUUGACUUGGAAAUUAUAACUUAGAUUUUGCGUUCUACGUGCAAUAUUCCACCUCACGGAAGAGUAUUAUAAUGCUGGCUCUAAUUGAAUUUUAAUUUGUAGUAGCUUCUGGAAUGAUAUAUGGAGAGCCCACACUUCCUUCCGAACUCUUUACCCCAACGUCUAUGUUAAUGUCGUGAACAAAAAUCUUAAGGGAAAGGACCCCUAGUUACCGGGGCGACAUCAACCUUAUUUCGCAACUAAAAGAGUCAAUUUUCGCGAUCUCUCUAUAUAACAAGAAAGAUGAGGUUUGGUGGAGGCGGACUCAGUUUGAAGAGUUUACGGUCAAAUUGCUCUAGGUGGAGUAAAACGAUAUGAACUUUAUUCGAAUAUGGACGAUUAAAUACCCCUUGAAAGUUAAGAUCUUCUAUGGUUAGUACUAAGAAGGAAGGUGCUCACUACGGACACAACCUUCGAAAACGUGAGUGGAGUGGCGAGGAACGCUAUGUUUUUCGCUUGAAUGAGGGUAAGACUAUGGAUCACCUCUUUAUGGGAAUUGAAUGUAUUAGAGCGCUACUGUAGGGUUUCCUCCCAAAUAGCUCAGUACUUCAAAAAUGCACUUCUGCCGAUUUGCUUUGGGAAGCGAGUAGAGAUAAAGGAGGAGAGCACCGGCACGAAGGGAGUUAGCAACAAUCGCCGUACCAUGGUGGGUAGUUUGGCUAGAGUGGUCUUUCGUUUGGUUCGGGUAUAAAUAAGAACUGGUUAUAUCGAGAAUAGGUAUAAGAAUAGAUUUUCGUAGGAACAAGAGUAUUUUUUUAUUUGGAUGAAAAUGGGAGUAUGAGCUGGAACUAGAAAAAUUAUGUUUGGAUGAAAAUCUUUGUAUCAGGUGAAAUAAUUGGUAGUUAUAGAUAGAAAAUAGUGAUUUCGCCCCUAUAAUUGAAUUUAACAUUUAAAACUAAUAAUUUUAAAUUAAAAGUUUUAACCUUUAAAUUUUAAAAUUUGAAAUUAAAAUUAAAACUUAUAAUUUUCAAAAUUUAAAUUUUAAAUAUCAAAUUUAAAAUUUAAAAUCAAAUUUAAAUUUGAAAGAUAUAAAAUAUUAAAUUUUAAAUUUUAAAUCUAAAAAGUUAAAUUUAAAAUUUAAAAAUAAUAAAUAUCAAAUUUAUAAUAUAAAUAUUAAAAUUUAUAAUUUACAAUUAUAAAUUUAAAUUUUUUAAAAAUAAAUUAUAAAUUUUAGAAAUUUAAAUUAAAAAUCACUCUCUCUCUCUCUCUCUAUAUAUAUCCGGGAGCGGGUGGAACAAGUGUUCCAACCCUCCCAAAUUGUGUUUGGGUACAAAGUUAUCCCCCCUCUUGUACCUAAUUCAAAUAGGGUGUUAGAAUACCAAAUAUUCAGUGCAUGUCUUAGUAACGGAGAUAGGCUUGCUUAGACAUAUUUGGGAUUUACUUUGCUAGUUUUUUUUUUGGAUAUUGAGGCCCAAUUGCCUUAAUUUGUAGUCCAGUUCAUCCUCCUAAUGAAUGAAGCGAAUUUUUAUCUCGAUUUUUAGUCUAGAAAAGUAUGACCAAAUGACAGAUUUUUUGGCAAUCACUGUAACUACUGGACAUUAUCGAGAUUGAAUAGAUUUUUGCCUCAUGAUCUGAAGAGGCUCUACUUUGCUAGAGAGAGUUCGAACAAUUUGUUUACAUAAUACGUAUCUGAGAUUUUGCACGCUUCUCGAGACUUCUAUAUUAUGGAAGGUGUUCAUAUAUCAAAAUUUUUAAAAAACCUAAAAAAUAAAAUAGAAAUAAAAAACCUUUUUUUUUUUUUGUACCAUCCAAAUUAAUACGCAUAUAUAGAAAAUUAAUUUUCUUUUUCUGUCGAACCAAACAACUGAAGCUAAAAAGUUUCUUUUCUAGAAGAACUUUUCCUGAAAACAGUUUUCUACUGUUUUUCAAGGAACCAAACAUGCCCUGCUGCACUUGCAAUUUAAAUCAACAACAUUUUUUUCUCCUACAUUUGUAGAGGUUCUGAGAUUUAACUUAGGGUGUGUUUGAUUCUUCGUAAAAAUAGUCAAAAAAAACUCUUUUUUAUCCGAAAAUUAUUCUUGCUAAGAGAUCUUUGAUUCAUUUGUCUUCUAAAUAGCGUAUGAUUUAUAUGUUUUUUUUUUUUUUUCCAUCAAGACUGCAGUUGCCUUGAAUGAAAUAGUGGCAUGCUACUUUUUCUCAAAAAAAAUAUUUUUGUUCGUUUGUUUAGCAGUAAAAUUGCUUUUCUCGUAAAUUUUUUUUACAUAUUUAAGGGAAAAACUGGGCUUUUUCUAUUUCCGCUAAAACUCGGCAAAAAAACGAAAAAGCCCUCUGCGUAACAUGCAACCUUUCUCUUAAAAAAAAAAGAAAAAAAGAAAAAAAAGAAGAGAGAGAGAAAAAAGAAAAAAAAAAAACUCCGCGUGUUCACGCCAAAAAAAUUACGCGGUCCGCCCACAAAGAAACCAAAUGUGUUAACGAGUGCAACUACAAAUACUAGUGAUUACUGCAUAGACCAGGUGUAUUCAUAUAUGUACACCAUAUUUUCAUCUAUUUUUUUAAAAAAAAUAUAUUAGUCUAUUUCAUUUCUUAUACAGCAGUUUUUUUAAAAAAAUUUAAAAUUUGGAGCAUGGUGCGUAGGUUCAUGGGUGCACGGGUGCACAAUUUUUUUUUUCGCGAGUAUAUAUAUAUAUAUAUAUCAUGUUGAACGGUGCCGAUCGUCGAUUUGAAGGCUCCAUCAUCAAAAAUAAAUAGGUGGCAAAAGUGCCGAUUUGCUAUCAAUAGUAUUCUAGCUCUAUUAUAUAUAUAUAUAUGGGUCCGGCUACUAUACUAUUAUGAGCACGAUCGCCCUCGUACUCAUAAGUUGUUUUCGAUGAUAGAGCUUCCGAAUCGACGAUCCACACUGUUAAACGUUAAUUACAGCAUUUAAAACUUCUAGAAAUCAAAUUUUAUAAUUUUUCGUCAUCAUUUACCUUACGAUCAAGAGGUCACAAAUUUGACAAUUUUUAACGGCCGGUAUGGGAUACUUGCUAUUCUAACGGUGUAAAAGAAUUAGAAUUUAUUGAAUUUUUUAUAGAAAAUUCUAUUCACUACAUAGAUAAAGAUCAAUAACUCCAAUCUUGAAUUGAAGGAUCCGAUCAUCCUUUUUUAGGACGUCGUUCGAUUUUGACCAUUCAUUUUAUGCCCACUUGAUGGAUUUUAUUAUGAUUUCGAAAAUUUACGAAAUUUAUUUUCUAGAAGUUUCAAAUAUUCUAGAUCAUAUUUAACGGAGUGGAUCGUCGAUUCGGAAGCUCUAUCAUUGAAAACAACUUAUAAGUAUGAGGGCUCUAAUACUAAUGAUAGUAUAGUAGGCAUGGCCUAUAUAAAUAUAUAAUGACAUGUAUAAUAUAUAGGGAUAAUUACCAAUAUAUCUCUCAAAACAUCAAAAAUAUCUCAUUUAUUCCUUUUGUUUCUUUCCAAUAUACCUCUUAUACGUUUCUCCGUUAUUCCAAAAUGCUCCUACAGUUACCAAGUUAACUUGAGUUAAAGGUGAGUUAAAUAUUUAUCAGAGUUAGAAAAAAUUAAAAUAUUUCUUUUGCCUUUAACUUAAUGACAAAUAAGAAUUAUUAAUGAUAGUGGAAGGGUAUAUUUGAAAAGACUAAAAAGUAAAAUUACUUUUUUGUGCCCCUAACUUAAGAGCAAAUAAAAAAAGACGGUGAUGGUAGAAGAGUAUAUUUGAAAAAGUAGAAUAGUAAUUUUGUAGAAAUAACAGCUAUUACUAGGAUAUAUUUGAAAUAUAUUGCAAUGUAAAAAAUAUUUUUUAGUUUUAAUCUUCUAAGAUGAGUAAAUUAGAAAGUGAAAAAUUUUUCAAGGAUAUAUAAGCAAUUGCUCUAGUGUAUAUUAUAAAUUUGCAAGCAUUUAAUUUCCAAAUAAUAAUAAUAAUAUAUAGUGUUAUUACUAUUUUAUAUAAAUAACAUAUAAUAUAAUAUAAAAAAUAUAUAUAAAUAAUAUUUUCUUCAUCUUUUCCUUUCAACCAAAUAAACAAUGAUGCAAAAAAAUUUUUUUCCUAUAAACCAAACAUUAGAAGGCUUAAUUUUUUUUUUUUUUUUUUCCAUUGAACAAACACUCCAUUAUGUGGAUCCUGUUCUUGGUCUUUUUCUUUUUUUCUCCCCCUAAUAUGAUCAAUAAGAAAACACACCGCACUUCAACUCAUGAGAAAAAUUAUUCUACUUCAUUAAGAAAAUAAAAUGUUAUAGUAAAUAAUAAAUCACACCAGAUAAUAUAUUUCAAAAUUAUGUAACAUUAUGUAAAUAUAUACACAUGUGCAAGUAGUAGACUAUUUAUCAUGUGAAAACUAGGGGGUGUAAACCAGCCUAACACGAGCAAGCUGAGGUCGGCUCGUGUUUGGCUUGUAUAUUAAACUAGCCGAACACGAGCUGGCUCGUUAAAAUAUCGAGCUGAAAAAUUCAGCUCGUGUUGGCUCACGAGCUGGUCAACAAACAAUAAAUUAAAAUAAUUAGAUUAAAUAUAUAUAAAAAUAAAUUUAUAAAAUUUUAUCCAUUAGAUUUUGAUUUAAUAGUUGAAAAUUUACAUAUAAAUAAAUAAAUUUUUAUAAUUAAACUCGUAUUUAUAUUUUUAUUUUGGUAAAAAUUAAAUAAUAAAAAUAUAUUAUAUAUAAUUAUUUAUUUAUUUAUAAAAAUAUAAAUUAAAUAANUAAAAAUUAAAUAAUAAAAAUAUAUAUUAUAUAUAAUUAUUUAUUUAUAUAUAAAAAUAUAAAUUAAAUAAAUUAUAUAAAUAUAAAAUAUAUGUAUUCGAGCUGUUAUCGAGCCGAACACGAGCAAGCUGACCCCAGCUCGUGUUCGGCUCGUUUACUAAAGGACCGAGUCGAUCUCGAGCUCAUUUCGAGCCGAACACGAGCUGGCUCGCGAAUAACGAGUUGGAUUGUCACUCCUAGUGAAAACAGUCAAAUAUUAUCGGAUAUUUGAAAAAGCAUAUUCGCAUCCAUAUUUUUUUUCAAUGCAAAUUCAAAUACAUAUAUGUGUCAAAUGUUAAAUUUUUUUAUUAUAUUCGCUAAAAAUGGAUUCAAUUUUUUUCAAUGCGAAUUCAAAUACAUAUAUAUGUGUCAAAUAUUAAAUUUUUUUAUUAUAUUCGCUAAAAAUGGAUUCAAACGUGAUCAGAUAUUUCUUCGACAUUAUAUAAAAAAAUAAAAGAUUUUAAAAAAANUUUUCAAUGCGAAUUCAAAUACAUAUAUGUGUCAAAUGUUAAAUUUUUUUAUUAUAUUCGCUAAAAAAAUGCGAAUUCAAAUACAUAUAUGUGUCAAAUAUUAAAUUUUUUUAUUAUAUUCGCUAAAAAUGGAUUCAAACGUGAUCAGAUAUUUCUUCGACAUUAUAUAAAAAAAUAAAAGAUUUUAAAAAAAUUUUAAAUUUUUUAAAUUUUUUAAAUUUUUUUUAAAAAAGUAAUUUGUUCAAUUUCAUAUUGUUAGGAUUUUCUCAAUCAUCACGGGUAGGUUUGAAAAUUUUAAUUUAAUUUAUAAAAUAAAUUGGGUUUGGAUAUUGUAGUUUGAAAUUUGGUUGUUAUUCUUUUGGUAUCAAGAAAUUUAAGAGAAACAUCAUACUAAUACAAAUAAUAAAAAACAGGAAGCUAUAUAAAAAAGAGAAAAGGAAAAAAAAAAUUUCUUUUUUCGGUUAGCAUGUUUUUCUAAGAUUUUUUCAAGUAAAUUAAUCUUCAAAGACAUGACCAUAUACAUGAAUCAGAAUUGAUGAUAAUACAUUCAGCGGCAACGACAUAUAAUAUUAAAACUUUUUGUCGAAAAGCCCACGCGGCGCUCGUUCAUCAUCUGCACAAACAAGCUAGUCAAUCCGUUCCGAAGCACAACUUCGUAAAUUGGCAAUUACCGUGAAUAAAGAGAAAGCACGCAAAAGAGUCUUAUAAAUUAGCACAAAUAACGAAUAUUUUAUUGAUAACGAAAAAAUGGACUACAGGAGAAAGGCACAUGACUCGACUUGGUCGGACAUGACCGAUGAUAGCAAAAUGAUCACCAAGACACUCCACAUCUAGCGAAGCCGGAUAACUGCUUUUUAGAAAAUUAAAAUUCUGUAAAAUGAGUAAUUAUAUCAUAAAAAAUAAUAGAUAUUUUGAAAAUCUAAUAAUUUAAAUAUAUCAUUCUAUCAUCACCAACUGUUCUUAUUUAAUCUUAAGUUAGGAGCUAAAGAGAUAUUUUAAUUUUGUAAUCUCUAAUAGAAAUUUAACCUAGGUUUAAUCAGAGACAACUUAUAAUGAUUCUAAUAGCAGAAAAAAUUUUUAAAUUUUCAGAAGUAUAUUAUUAGAUAUUAUCCCUAAAAAGAAAUAAUUGUUCAAAUUUUUUGGUUCGGAUUCAAAUUUUGGAUUAGAUUCUGUUUUGGAUAUAGAUUUUCAACAUCCGUCGGAUUCAGAAUAGGAUUCGAAUUUCAGACUUGAUUAUCGGAUACGGAUUAAGGUAUAUAAAAAUUCGCUCCAAAUCCGAUCCAAUCCACAUUAUGUCUAAUUAGAGUAGGUAAGUUAGCAACAACCGUUCGAGAAAAUCGACCAAUCAAAAUUCAACGUGAAAGAAGCGAAUAAAAUCCGAUAACGAAUUGGAUUCGAUUAGCAUUACUCGCGCACCAAACGGUAACAAAAAUAUAUAUAUCCACGCGCCGUAAUUAUUAUUAUUACUCUUUCAUAAGGCAUCAACAUUAACAUCUCUAUUUUUAUGCAAUUUAUUAUUUAUUUUCCUAUACGUCAAAUCAUUGCAUCCGUAUAAUUCUUAAUGUAAGUACAAUUUUUUAUUUUCGCUCUUUAUUUUUGUCCCUUUUUUUUUUCCUUUAGGAGGUCUCGGAUGCUUCCACUUUAUAAUAUUAGUUCAUUUUUCUAAUGAAUGGAACCGUUAGUUUAUUAUCUUUCUAUCAAAAAAAUAUAAUUUUUUAUUUGGUUUUUCAGAAACAUGUAAGUAAUUUUUUUUUUUAGAAAAAAAGGUUUUUAUGAAAAGCUCUUAUUAUAAUUUUUUCCCUUCGAACAAGUAGUUUUGGAAAUUAUUUUUUAUUUUUUGAAGCCACUAUUUCUUUGAGUUUAUGAAUUCUUAGAGAGGGUUUCUUAGUUGCUGUUAUUUUUCAAAAACGGUACUCUUCGCUAGUUAUCGUGCAAAAUUUCAUCAAACAAAGAAAUUCUCGAUCUUUUUAUUAGCAUAUCCCCUGCUACUUCAAGUUCUCUCUCUUUUUUCUUUUUUUUUAUAAAAAAAAGAAAUAUCUAAUGUAGUUGGAAUGUAAAUAAAGAUGAAUAACGAGGAGUGGAGUUGGGAGCAGGAAGAGCCUUUCGUCCGCGCGCUCGUCGAGAAUCAAGAGGACAAUGCCGACCGGUGGGAGAGAAUUGCGGCCGGAUUAGCCGGAAAAACUGCGGAGGAGGUGAAAGCUCAUUACGAUCUUCUGGCCGGGGAUAUCAGUCUGAUCGAAUCCGGCCUCGUUCCUUUACCCGAUUAUGUCGAUGAUGAAGUGCAGGUGGCCCCCGAUCAGAAAAAGAGCAGAAAACCGAGCACAAAGUGGACUCUUGAGGAGCACAAGUGAAACACUUCCCCUUUAUUUUUAUGUGUAAUUAUGUGUUAGCAUAUAAUGUUACAUAAUUGCAACGGGCCGUUGGACCCAGAUCACCGGUCUAAAAUGUUUAAGCCCAGUUAUUAUUACUAACAUGUAGUCCUUAUAUAUUCUAAUCAGAAUUAUUCUAUUGGGGCGGUACGAUAAUAAUUUUGUGAAUCGUUGCAUGUGUUUCUGAUUCUUGAUCUGAAAGAAGUUGACUAUAUAUGAACUAGAAUGUUUUAUAAUUGUUUUCUUGACUUCCAUUCUUUUCUGUCAAAACAUACAGAUGUAACUGAAACUGUAGCACGUUUUAAAAACUUGUACUUGGACUUUACAAAUCAAAAUCUUAACACCUGCUGCUGAAUAUUCAGUUACCUUUCCAGUGUUUCAUGCUCAUACAUGCCAUCCAAUUUCUGAUGGUGCAGGGCAUUUCUCCGGGGGAUCGCAGUGUUACGCAAGGGCGAUUGGCGCGGUAUUUCUAGACAAUAUGUGCCGGGGAGGACACCAAUACAAGUGGCAAGCCACGCGCAAAAGUACUUCGAGCGCCAGGGUAAGGAGCAAUCGAAGAAGAAACGGCGAAGCAUUCACGAUGUCAGCCUCGAGACGCUGAUGCCGGCCACAGCCAACGAGCCGGUCAACAGGCACCCCGCCGUCCAGUCUAACGGGUCCAGCAAUGGACAGCCGAUCCACCAAACCGAUCGGCCAGCCAACGGAACCCCGACCCUCGACAUUGAUACGUCGACGAAUGGGAGCUCGACGCACCGAGCUCCCCAGCUUCGCGACCCGCCUGCACCUGCACAUAGCACUCCAAUCAAUCUCCACCCGCAGCAGCUCACUCCCGGUAUCUUCAUCCCGCUAUUCAGAAGCGACGAUCCACGUGCUUCCGCGUUGAACAUCCCUCCAUUAGCGUCUCGAGCGCCCGAUACGCCGACCCAGUCAGAGCAAGAGCCACACAGACCGCGAGGUUCGCUCCACAACCCCGUUUCUUAGGAUUCGAUAGCAUCGUUCCCUGUCGGACGUCGCUCCGAUUGCCCAUCGAAUGCUUAAUACUUCAAUCCAGAUACAGCAAAAGUGGAUCUCAUUCCAUGUAUAGCAAAGUAUAAACAAUAGAGAUUAGUCCCAGUUUAAAUAUGAGGUAGUCAUUAGUAUGGACCAUGAUUUAGAUGGUCCAUAGGGUAUAGAAAAGGCCAAAACUACAGCUUACAACUCACAUGUAUAUAUAUAGUCACUAGUGGAGCUUUGUCCCAUUUUGGAAUCAUGUUUUAGGUGAUGAUCCAUAGGAAAGAGAACUACAGUAUACAACUAACAUGCAUACAUAGUUUUGAAACUAAUAAAGUUUCGAAAAAAUUGGCGUCUCUAUUGACUUGUGCACAUAUCUACACUCAGUUUUUCUUCUUCUCUCUUUAAGUAUAAAAGUAUGAUGACUUGUUUGCAAAUUUUCUAUUUUGUUUACUGUGAGAGAACAUGUUUGAACAAUUCUGCAGUUUACUCUUAACUCUUCUGUUGUAAGUGGAUGGUGGUUAUGGCUUCAUUGUUUGCAGGAUAUGCAUAUACAUGCUCAUAAUAGCCACAAAAACAUACUUCUUGUAUGAGAGAGAACCUCAUUAACAGAGUUGCUUGGAAUUUUAGUUCCCAAUUGUUGAAAAAUAAUAUGGUUUGAUUAGAUGAGCAAUGCCUCAGAAUUACAGUUCCAUAUAAUUUGCCCAAAUAAACAAACCCCAGUUCUUUUAAUUUUUUUUAAAAAAAAGUUAAAACAGAAGCGAAGUAAUUUAAAAGAGAGCAAUCCAUAAAAGCAGGAAAUAUCAAACUUAUAUUUAAAUGAGAAACUACAGAGAAUCAAAAAAAAUCACUAGUACAUCUUUUAUUCUACUUUGGCAGGAAAAGGUUAGGAAAAAGAAUUCCACAGAGCAGAAAAAAUUCAGUUUGCUAAAAAGUAGUGCUCACGCGAAAAUUACAAUAUAUAAGAUGUUGAUAAACUGAAGCUAAUGUAGUAAAUUUACAGAAGAAUUUUCCUGCUAGAUGUGACUCAAAUCUUCUUCAAGAAUUUCUGAAUUGAGAGACGCUAAUAUUAAAGCAUCCUACCGCGACCUCCAUUUUGAUGUUGCUCGAUUACUUAAUCUUCUUCAAGAAUUUCUGGAUGUUCAUGCCAAAAAUUGGGGCCGAUAAUGUCAAAGUGUCCAAGAACAACCUUCUUUCGAAUUCUUCUGACGGGAUUUCUGCUCUCAUCGAACUUCACUAUUUCUUCAACCUAGAGUUCAAGAUGCAUGAGAUUCACGUAGUUCCACAAAACAUGCAACAUAAAAUAUAGCAAAAUAGCAUUCCAAUAUGCAUCCUACUGUAUAAAGAUGCAGAACCAUCAAACACUAGGACUUUUACAAGUGUACCUCUCAGUUAGUCCUUAAUUGAUUAAUGCAAAAGUCCAAGCAGUUUUACCUUAUCUCUGUAAACACAAGACCCUUUGCGGAACAUAGCUGGUACUUUGUCGUAAUUAACACCAAACUGUUGGAAAAGAAGCUCAUUCUUAUCUUUUGACAGUGUACCCUGUAAAUUGAGUAUGACACAAAGAUCUAGAAAAUGAUUAUCGCUCUUCUAAUUCAAUAAAGGCAUCAAAAGAGAAACAACAAAGAAAAGUUAGUUAUAAAGUGUAAAUGUCACUUAUAACAUAUAACUACAUAAUUGUUAAGAUAUAUAGGUACAAAAUAUUCAGCACAGAUAAAAUAACAGAAUAGGCAUUUCUAUCAUGAAAAUUCAGUAUCACGUCACAAUUUUCAUAUAUUCUUAAUGAAUAAAAAGGUAUUAAUAACACGAAUUACAAUAUUACCGACUAAGUUCAGACAAAAAUUGGAUUCUUUUCACUCCAACCUAGUUAUGGUAAGUCAACAAAACUUUCUAACUUCUCUAUCUAAAGAUCUCUAAGGGAUCUAAGGUAUCUAAAAUCCUUUCAAGUCUAAUCCGUGCCAAAUUUUUAUCUUAAUAAAAUCUAAUCUACAAAUGAUAACCUGGCAAAUAUUCUUCAUAAAGAAAAUUCUUGACACACCUUUAGCAUUUCUUGUGCUUCCCUUUCUGUUUUCCCAGACUUAACUAGCAUCCAGAAGCAAGUAUUGUAUUGAUUGUUAAUAUGACCUGCAAAGUGAGAGAACAAGGCGUCAUCAUGGUCUGACCUUUUAGGCUUUGACAAAUCAGCUCUACCAAUAUUGUUUACAGAAGUAUCAACUUUUCAUUCCUUGUGGGCAUAGUACACGCAAGCUGUCUCUUAACAGAGCUUCUAUUGUUUUAAAACAUGUUUAGCUUAUAGUUGCACUUACAGUCUACUUGCCUCCACGAAAGAUAAUCUCGAAUGAUCUUCGCUCUUGGAUAGCAUACAACUCGCCCAUCAAAAAAUGGCGGCCUUUUCAAAUCUUUGUGGGGGAAGAACUCUUUCCACUUCAUCACAUAAACAGCAGUGAAGUAGGAGACAGUGAGCGAAAGUAUUUUGCUGCAAUUUGAUUGGAUUUAGGAAUUCAAAACUUGCAACUCAAUACAUGUAGACUUUAGCAAUUGCAACUAUCAAUUAAUUUAGUGCGCAAAAUAGAAAUUUCACAACUCUUUAUCUUUCCUGCAGGAAUUCAUCACAUGUAAUGGAAAUAGAUAAUGGCUUUUACAUGGAAAUAUUCAUUAUGAGAUAACCUUGCCCGUCUCUGGUAAAAUUGACUUGCCUCCUUCAGUACAAAACUGCCGAAAAGGGGAAACCACAAAAUCAAUAACCAUCACAUAGUAAAGCAGAAAUUGUACAUAAAUUAAAUCAUUGUUAUGAUAUUAAAGUAAAACCAUUUUCAGGUCAUCUUAGCUCCAACAGUGGAUAUAUACACAGCCACUGUUUCAGUGGAGGCAUAUAAUGCCUCAACUAUGAUAAAGGCUGGUUCUUCUUCAUCUAACCAAAGAAGUUAACGGAAAAGUGAAAAACACAAUACCUAUAUUCAUCGCUCACACCGUAAGCAAAUACAAUAUCUGGGAACUGCUCAAGCAUAGAGACUGCACACGCAUUCAUCAGGUUCAGGGCAUUCUCAUCGUUGGGUUUCUCAAAUGCAUGAUCUGCAGAAAAUCUACAAAAGAAAUAUAAGAAUUGCAUUAAUAUAAAAUCAAUCUAACAUGAUAUUGCCAAUCCACUGUAGCGAUAGACAUAUUCGAUGAAUGGUUUAUAGCUGGGAAUGUCUCAAUUACUGAAGUUUAGUGAGCAUGAAAAAGAAAGAGAAAAAGAAGGAAAGAACGGAACCAUAAGAACAGAGAUCGCAAGCAGUAUUCAAUAUAAUACGGAAGUAGCAAUUUCCAGGGAGUUUUCUAGCCUGCAUAGAAUACUUUUUCAAUGAUAGCAAGACAAAUCUAACCAAUUUAAAAAAAAAAAAAAAAAAAGUCUUACUAAUACGGUCCUAUUCUGCAAGAUCUCUUUAAAACUACAAUAUUAGAGAUUUAGGUGACCCAAUCGAAUCAGCAUGGAACAAAGACCAAAAAUAAAAGAGGAGCUCAGCAAAAUCAGUACAAUUUUGCUGCUAAACUUGGCAAAAGCACACAACUUUGUAGAAGAAGAUGAUAGAGCUGUUUGAAUGUAUGAAAAUGCAUUAAACAAAUGUCAAAUAUAGGAUUAGAAUUGGCUCCCACUUUAUCGUUGUAGCUUCAAACGUAAAACAUUUCUUACACUAAUACAACACAGAUGCUAAAAUUCCAUGUUUAAUCAGAUGAACAAUUCCAAAUAUUAUGAACAUCAAUUUCUCUCUACAAAAUUGUGCGAAUCGGGAAAAAGUGAGCGCUUACUGGUGAAAAUGGCAUCCAUCAAUUCUCACCACAAUCCAAUUGCAGCGUGGCAAUCUAUCAUCAGUCUCGAAAUCCUUCACAUACUCAAAUUUGCUAUUGGCCAUUGAAGAACAUCAAUCCUAGAGGGAAAAAAAAUUUUAAAAAAAAGUUUAAACUUUUUACACGAAGUAAAUUGAUUAAUGGUAAAAUAUACAAUGAAUGAAAUUUCUGAUUGAAACUUCAAUGAAGAGUAGAAUGGAACCCUAAAAAGGGAUUUGCUUCAAUUGAGCACUACAUAAGUGUGAGAGAGGGAGAAACCCUAACCCUAACCCUAACCCUAGGAAGGGAGCGGCGGAGGCGGCGGAGUGUUGUAGCCGUUCAAUUGAUCGUGAAGAAGGAGCGGAUCGGCUACAAUUCGGGUUGUAUGCCAGGUUACUGCGUGAAACGUGGUACGUUCUGAUUGGGUAACAAUGCUGAAUCGGUUCCUAAGUGGGUGGGACUGGUUGGACCAACUCCCGCCCAAAUUCGACCCAGAAAUGAACUUCGGGUUCGGAUCGGCCUUAAGCACGAAAAUUGAUGAGGCCUUGAGGCCCAGCAUUAACUUGGUCCAGAGCCCAAAUCCUUGUUGGGCCCCAUUGCCCCUGAUAUAUUAUUAAGUUAAAACAACCAUUUUAGGGGACCAAAAAAAAAAUCAUGUCCUUAACAUCUAUCCUAUAUGACUUACAGGCUAGGCCUGCUAUACUCUUCUGAAUAUAUAUAUAUAUAUAUAUAUAUAUAUAUAUAUAUAUAUAUAUAUAUAUUGUAGAAAAAGCUAAAAUUUGUAAGUAAAAGUAUAUGGGUAGGGGAUGCCAGUUCCAUUGAAACGUAAAGUAAUGGAGCUUUGAAUUUGAAACUUUGAAUACCAACUGUAGGGAAGCGUGAUUUGCUCUGAUACCACUUGUUGGAAGAGUGAUUUGCUUCGAUAUCAAUUGUUGGAACUGUUAUUUGUACUGAUACCGAUUAAAUAACCCAAGAUUUAAAAUAGAACAAAAUAAUAUAGAGAAGAGAUAUUGGAGGAGGAAGAAAAUAACUAAACUAAUAAAAAGCAAUUCAUUACAUUCUAGGCAACACCUAUGCAGCCAUAUCUACUGUGGCUUAUUUCUCUAAUUAAUCAAUGCCUAACUAUAUAUAGUCACCAAAUCAUAACAGAUGAUAAAUCUAAUUUUACUUUAGAUAAUUACAUAUCCUAAUCAUAAUCAAAUAAAGAUUUAAACUUAUCUCUAAUAAUAUCUUAAUUAAGUUUGGAUUAUUAUUUCCAACACCAACUAUCAAAAUUUUUGCCACCUGGUUAUAGUAUUAUGACUUAUUCUUAUAUCUUAUUUAAAUAGGAUUGUAGUUAGGAUACAAGAGAAAGUAUCAGAAAAGAAAUUAUUUUAGGAAGUAUCACAAUAUGCAAAACACAAUAAUUCAGCUAUGUUAUAAUUUUUAUAUUUCCAUCAAAAAAAAUAGAAAUAUAUAUAGGAUCCGGCUACUAUACUAUUAUGAGUACGAUUGCCCUCGUACUCAUAAGUUGUUUUCGAUGAUAGAGCUUCCGAAUCGUCGAUCCACACCGUUAAACAUUAUUUACAGCAUUCAAAUUUUAUAAUUUUUCGACAUCAUUUACUUUACGAUCAAGAGGUCACAAAUUUGACAAUUUUUAACGGCCGGUAUGGAAUACUUGCUAGUUUAAUGGUGUAAAAGAAUCGGAAUUUGUUGAAUUUUUGAUAGAAAAUUCUAUUCACUACAUAGAUAAAGAUCAAUAACUCCGAUCUUGAAUUGAAGAAUCCAAUCAUCCUUUUUUAGGACGUCAUUCAAUUUUGACCGUUCAUUUUAUACCCACUUGAUGGACUUUAUUAUGAUUUCGAAAAUUUAUAAAAUUUAUUUUCUAGAAGUUUCAAAUAUUCUAGAUCAUAUUUAACGGAGUGGAUCGUCGAUUCGGAAGCUUUAUCAUUGAAAACAACUUAUGAGUACGAGGGCUCCAAUAAUCAUAAUAGUAUAAUAGCCACGGCCUCUAUAUAUAUAUAUAUAUAUAUAUAUAUUAAUUUUUACUCAAGUUUUUUUUAAAAAAAAUUAAUAAUGUCAUAUAGUCCUCAAUAUCGAGCGGAUUCUUAAUCUUUAUUUAAAGCCAAGUGAGUUUGUUUUACAAGUAAAGGAGACGAUAAUUGAUUUAUGCAAGAAUUAAUAUUUUUAAAAGGACAAGAGCUCUGGCACGUGUGAUUUUAUUAUUGUUGGAUCGUCUCUCGCUUUGAGAUACACGUGCUAUAUUAGUGAGAGACACUAGAGAGAGAAAUGGAGCCUGAUUGGUUAGAAAUACCACUUCAGUAGUAUAACUUGUACAUUUUAAAUUUUUUAUGGUUCAUUUUAGAAUAUAUCAGUUAUAUUGCUGAUAUCUCUUUUGUAACUAAUCAAUUUUUUUUAGAUUCACCUAUUCCAUAAUAAUUACAUAUUAAAAAAAUAUUUUUAAAAAAAAAUGAUUUGGUGAUAGAAGAGGAGUGUAAGUAUUACAAGUAUUACAGGAUCGAUCCCGGACGAAGAUCCUAGCGCUCCUUCUACUCCGUACGCUCUGUUUGGGUGAGCACGAUUUUUUAAUUUCACACUAUUGUACUAAAAAAGAUUUUAUGUUCCAAAAUUUUAUUUUAACUAAUUUCAUAAAUUUUUGUAUUUGUUUUUUAUUUUAUUUUUGAGAGAGAUAAAUAGUAUGCUGUUCAUUUUUUUUAUUUUUUAUUUUUUUACUGGAUUGUGAAGCAUCUAGGCUUCCAACUUUUAAUUUGAUUUUGAUUUUGAAUUUAUCUUGACCCAUGGCACAUUAGGGCUUAUUGGUUGAUAGCAUAAGCUCUCUACCAUUGCGCACUAGAAACUCAGUUAGAAAUAGAGACGAGACUGAUAAUAUAUUUUGUCGGUUCUUUAAAACAUGUUAGGAAGUCAUGAGUCCGAUUACUAUACUCUUAUAAGUACGAUCGCCUUCAUACCCAUAAGUACUUUUGAUGAUAGAGCUUUCCGAAUCGUCGAUUUACACCAUUAAAUAUUAUCUAGAGCAUUUAGAACAUCUAGCAAUCAAAUUUUAUAAUUUUUCGACAUCAUUUUCCUUACGAUCAAAAGAUCACAAAAUUAAUAAUUUUUAACGGCCGGUAUGAAAUACUUGGUAGUUUAACGCUAUAAAAGAAUCGAAAUCGAUUGACUUUUUGAUACAAAAUUCUAUUCACUACAUAAAUAAAGAUCAAUAACUCCAAUCUUAAAUUGAAAGAUCCGAUCAUAUAUUUUUAAGACGCCGUUUGAUUUUGACCGUUCAUUUUAUACCCGCUUGAUGAACUUUAUUAUGAUUUCGAAAAAUUACGAAAUUUAUUUUUUAGAAAUUUCAGAGUCUAGAUCAUAUUUAACGAAGUGGAUCGUUGAUUUGGAAGCUCUAUCAUUAAAAACAACCUACGAGUAUGAAAUGCUCUAUAUUCAUAAGGGUGUAGUAGCCCUAGCCUCUAUAUAUAUAUAUAUAUAGAGAGAGAGAGAGAGAGAGAGAGAGAGAGAGAGAGAGAGAGAGAGAGAGAGAGUCCGGCUGGGAUACUAUCGAUAGCAUGAAGCAUUUGGUACUAUCAAGUUUUCUGCCGUUAGAUUUACCUCUUUUAUCAUUUUCAUCCGUUCAAUUAUACUAUUUAACCAACCACCCGUUCAAUCCUAGAGGGCCCACAUCAUCCUAACCGUACAUCUUUAAUCCAAAGGCAGAAAACUUAAUAGCACCAAGUUAUUGGUAUUAUUAAUAGUAUAGUAGCCUAGUUCUAUACACGUAUUCAAAAUGUAGUCCACAUGAAGCUUUCUUACCAAGAGAUAAGGUUCACUGCACAAGUAGAGAGAUAUCCAGCAGCAAAACGAAUUAAGCUCUCCAAGCCAAAUUGGAGAUCUAUGGCAGCCAGAUCAUGCAACUCUAUGAUCUCAAGACUUGUACCUGAUCCUUUGAUGCUGCCUCAUCUCCCAAACACAAGAAGCAGCCUCAGCUUCUCCAGCCAAUCCUGCUCCGAAACACGGGCUACUGCAUUGCCGUCGAAUCGAGUUGAAGCCCCUCAUGUGAGUUCUAUCAAGCACUUAAUUACUGCUUUUCAGAAUAAAAAAGCUGUUCCAAAAGUCUUAGUAUGAAAUACAAAUGAUCAUCUAUGGGAGAACAUUGGCUGUAGAUAUAACUUCUCUGAUGUUUUUGAUCGGAAUUUUUUUUUUCUUUUCGAUCUCGACAACAUUUGAAGAAAAACCCGAAAAAGGCGUCAAGAUCACCGCGCAAACUAAUCUCCGUCCCGACAUCGGGGGGAAGAUGGCAAGAUAAGUGGUGCAGUGAAUUUGCAUUCACUAUGGGAGAGCUUCAGCUAGUAGAUUUACUAGAUGAAGAUAAAGAGAAGGAUGCAGAGGUCUUUGUUAGCCUCUCUGUUCAGAAGGUAAUUAACUUACUUUAUAAUUGUGGCACCCUAAUUGCCCCGCAUCGAAUAAUGUAAUAGCAUAUAAGAAGCACACUAGAUUUAGAUCAAACGAGUUAUUACUGCUAUUAGACUGGUCAUUAUAAUAACAUUUUCUAUCUAAAGCAAUCACGCAAAGCUUACAUUUAACCUUUUUCCUUUUGUUUUCCAGCACACUGGUUUUGGAUUCUCAAUAGAUGGCCGAAUUGUGACUUCCUUCAGCAGGAAAUGCAGCUGUUGCUUUUCAUCAUACUGCAGAAAGGUAAAUAUAUAGUUAGUAACUAAAACAUUAAAAAAAAAAAAGCAAAGAAAAAGAAAAAAGAAACCAUGAUGUUUUACCGUAGUUUUAGCAUGAAGAGAAUGGAUUAUAUUCAUCAGCACAUUUUGUCUUACAGAUUGAUGCCCCAUUCAAUGUUUGGGUUCUACCUUCUUCCAAGAACAGUGAGCUUGAGAUGCCAGAAAUUGGUGGAAAUGAUCCAUCUGUAAGUCUCUCAGGAAAAAACACAUCUCUCUAAUUCUGUCUAAAUGAUGAGGAAUUUCUCUUAGCAGGUCAUCUAUGUGAAACCUGGAUCAGAAGUAGAUCUUGAUUCACUAAUCAAGGAUACAAUUCGCUUAACAGCGUCAGCAGAGGUGGCAUGCAUAGCCCCUAAUCCCCUAUCAAAAGCUCUUCAAUAUAGUGGCUAUACUAAUACAAACAUAUAUUUUCAGGACACCUGCUCAGAAUCAUGCGCGAAAUCAGCAGUUGUAUGGCAGUGUACGCAAGAAAUCUAUCUAUCAACAAUUAUAAUCAGCCCUUUAAAUCAUGAAAAUGGGUUUCGAACCAAUUUUUGUAUUUGUUUGCAGAUACGGAUCGAAACAGGGGCUUCGAUCAAAGGUGGUCGAGGCUGCUAGAGUUGAAAAAUGCACUUAGAAGUUGAAACAAGUCAGUUCUGCUACUGAAGGCCAAACAAGUCCAGAGAUUAUAUAAAGAGGGAGAGUUGUUAGUAUGAUAUAUCACUAGUACUUAUACAAAUGUCCCCAGAUUCAGCAAGAAAGGGAAAUUUCUGAUGGAGAAAAUUUGAUGUGCUUCAAAAUAUUGCCAUCAGUAUAUAUUAGAUUCAAGCAGAAAAAUAUCAAAGUUAGAAGCAGAGAUUACAUAUUGUUUGUGUUUGUAAAUAAGGUCAAGGGAUAGCUAAUGAGAAGGCUUGUUCAAUGAUCUAUUGCAUAUUUUUUAAAAUUUUCUGAAUCUGCAAAAUAAGAAGCAUACACAUGUAUACUGUUUAUAGUGUUCCUUUAUUUCCCAAUUGAAAGAGCUUUGUUAUUUCCCAAUUGUGCAGGAUACAGACAAUGCUAAGACUUUGUGGCUUCUUAGAAGUAGAAACCAACCAUUAUGCGAACCCAAAAACGAGUUCCAGAACUUCUAAUCAAUGCGAGACCAACAAUUACAAUCAUUAGCCCCAAAGCAUGAACUUCUAACUGCAGCAAAACCCUGAAGAGCAAAUUUCAGAUCCACUUGAUUCGAAAUGCAAUAGACCUAAUUUUUAGACCCACUUGGUUCAAUUGAUGCAUAUUAUGGAACACAUACUGAGCAUACUCAGCUUUCCGGGCACAGCUUUUCAAAAUAGCAGCAGCAACUUCAAUAAGUCCCUCCAGCUUUUGAACAAAGCAAAAUUUUAAAAUUAUUUGGCAUAGUAAUCAUUUCUUUGCUCCUUUCUUUUUUCUUUAUGUGAUUAACUGCACUGACAGAUAAACAACCACCAGUUAGCGGUAAUCCAAGAGUAUAAGAGUCCAAACACUUGAGUGUGUCUUCAUAUAUAUAUAUAUAUAAAAUAAAUAAAUAAUGGGUUGUUGUCCAAGCAUCAAAAAUCUAGUCAUGAGCCAACAAUAAGCACAAAGGAACCAUUUGUACAAAGAGAGAGCCAUAAGAUUUAACAGUUGUAUCAAGAAAAGAGCUUAGCUUAACAUAGUUACCGUAUUCACUUAAGCAUUAGCAACAAAAUAAUGAAAGCUUCACAAACAGAUUAUACCCAAAUAUCAGAUGGAUCAUUUGAAAUCCAAAGAAAAAUGAAAAAAAAAAAAUCCAGCCCAACUUGCAGCUCAUUGCAGCAUAAUAUUAUGCCUUGAUGUUGCAUUUCAAUGUCUAUGCAGGCACACCUGAAAUAUGUAGCUACAUAACAAUUAAAACUGAUAAAAUUAUAUAUAGUAGAAGUCUACUUACCUGACUUACCUUUCUCCAGUGUCUUGAACCAAAUGAAGCAUUUCACUCUCAGAAAAAUAGUGCGAUUUAAUGCUUUUAGUAAAAAAGUCGCAAUACUUUGCUACUAAUUAUUUAUAUUCAUGUUACCAAUUAUAUGUAGUUCACUCACCUGUCUUGUCCGGUGCUUGGAAUAACAAAAAACAUUCGGCAGUAAAUGUAGCUGCAACAAACUUGCACAAAAGAGAGAGUAAAAUAGCUAGUACUUAUUCAAUAUUCAGGGAUUUUAAAUAUAUCUGUGAGCAUAAUGUUAGCGAAGUAACAGCGAAAAAUGACUAAAUCUAGAUUGAAUCAACAAAUCCAUGUUAAUGCCAAAUUUAUGCCAAAAAGAAAAGAAAAACAACAACAGUUGUAACUAUUCUUAAAAUCCUUGCAAGCACAGCACGGCAGCGCUGGAACAUGACUACGCAAUUGGAUGGAAGAAAGGUAUCACAAUUAGACCCAUCUUCUACUAAGUGAUCACAAAUCACUAAAAGGGUAAAAUGUAUCAAAUAGUUCUACCUCCCCAAUAUUGCAACUUAAUCCUUGAAUUUUCUACUUUGGCCAUGUUUGGUCUCACUGGAGCUACUUGGAAAAUGCUACUGAGUAGAGCCAUUUAAAAAAGCACUAGUAGCUUUUCCAGUGAUAUCCUCUGUAACAGUUUGAUGCUGCUGCAGAAGCAUAAGCUUCAAAUUGGACCUUUCAUUACUAGGAUUGGAAAGCUCAUUUCAGGUUCUUACCCCAGCAAAGCUCCAGAUGUCUAUCUGUUGUGUCAACUUGACCUACCUUCUCUGUUGUGUCAUAAUCAUGUUGUUUUUGUGUUGGCAAAUCAACUCGUGAAACACAACAAGAUAAUUUCCUAUCAUAAUCAGGCAGAGACAAACCCACUUAAGGUAAAUCUAGACCCAUUUAUUUCAUAUCGUGUCCAACUCAAAACAUACAAGACAAUUAAUAGUAACCUCAGCAAUUGCCGUGACAAGAAUCUAAGAUCUUCAACACAGUUAAAAUGGGGCAAUACCAUCUCCAUAAAAGUAAGAUCCCUUCAAAUGAUAACUUGAGUUUUAUGAACAAAACACAUAAAAUGGGAUAUUGCCAUCUAACUAAUAGAAAUAAGAUAACUUCUAAUGUUAACUGAGUUUCCUAGGCACAUAUAUAUACUUGCAGAAAAUUAGCUAAAAUAGAAUUGACAACUCAACAAUUACAAUUAUGUUAUACCAUUUACAUAUACAAUUUAGAAGGAACUGCUAUAAAAAUAUGUUCUAGCAUAACUGCGUGAUAAAUUUCUCAUGAGCAUAAAAGUCCGAUUCCUCAAUUAGCCAUCGCAAAUUCGUAACCUACUAAAAGGCGUGUACAAUAUAUAUUAAACUUACAACUAUCUCUAAAGAAGGAAAAGACAGAAGAGAAGGCAAGCAAAAGUCUAUAGUUACAAGAACAAGCCAAUAUUUCUGUAAAAAAAUAUGGCAAUGAUAUUUUUCAAACAAAAAUCCCAUUAUCAGAUCAGAAAACUGCCUGGCAGUUGCAUAUUGGCUAGAAGUAUUCAUGGAAAAAAGCAGAUGGCAGGUGACAGACACUAUGAACACAAAGUAAGGUUUGAAACUUUGUCAGUGGUUCACUAGCUUAACUAUUAACUCCACUUGUUACUACGCAACCAAUAUUAUUCCAUGUGAAGUUCAUGCAAAAAAUAAGAAUUAGAAACUUGAUAAAGUUCAACUACGCAAAAUAUCAAGAAAUAGAUAAUAGGAGUAAAUUGAAACUUCAUAAAACACAAAAAAGAAAGUAUGUCAUCUCUCCUCUCCCUUUUGCUUCAAUCUUUCUAUCAACACUAUACUAUUUCCUGUCUUGUUUUUGCAGACAAUAUUCAGGCAUUUUAAAAUUCGAUCGCUUAUAAAUCCAUGCUUGUCUUUCUAUCGACUUCAAAACUGGGGCCUCCUAUUCAAACCAAGUUUAUGACUGAACCCUUUAGUUACGAAAACCCAAAAUCUCAGUAAAAUUGGCUCUAACUGAACAUCAAUUCACAUGCUAUAUUGCACGCCAUGACAUAUAUAUUCCAGCAGAUAUUCAAACAUGCUAUUCUUGAACCUGUCAAAGGCCAAUAUUUUGGUUCUGAAACUUCAACAUCUUCUUUGUAGUGUGGUAUAUAAUGAAAUAAAAGGAUCAAAAAAAAGCACUGACAUGCUACUAAUAAUGUGUUCUGACUUACUGAUUACACAAACUAUGGUUACCAGUACGAAGCUUCAUUAAGUAAUCCUAUAAUAUACCUCCAUAUCACUCACAAAGACCGAAGAAGAUAAUUCAGAUUAGCAUCCAAUCAAAUACAAAUUUUUGGCCAAAAUUGAAUUGAAAUAGAAUUCAACCCUCUAAGCCAAUAUAUGCAAUUGUCCAUUUUACAUUUCAAAACGACCAUUCAAACCAGUUUCUCAUUUUGUACAUAUAUCACGGAGCACAUCACACUAGCCAUAACUAACGUCAAUACAGGAUUUUCAUAGUUCACCAGUCCAUAACCAGAAAUCAGUAUGUAAUAAACAGUUAAUAAGAUCACCAAUAAGCUAUCUUCGUUGAAUCCCAUCAUUUUUUUCCAUUUUCGUCCUACAAUGCUUUUAGCUUAGUAAAAGAAAGCAGCUCAUAAAAUACAGUUAAACUUAUCAAACCUCAAAAAUUCUUCCAACAUCACCCAGAUUGAAACACUGGAAACAAAUAAAAGAUAAGCAUCCUUCUGACAAUAUAUAUUUGCCUCCAGGCAUAAGAGCAACUUACAUCAACUUCAAUUGGACUUUCCAGUUCCCCAGUAAAAACAUCGAGGGCAAAAAAAUUUCUUCGAUGAAGAGCAUCCAUUAAUUCCAAAGAUUUACUGUAUCAAAGCCAAACAAAUGAGGAAAAGAAUAUCAACAACUAACUAUCCUGUUAUGAAACCAUUAGUUCUCACAUCUCCUUGCUGUUUCAUCAAUUCAUUUUGGAUCAGAAACUGAUUAUACUGUUCUGCUUUUUCUCUCAUUUAUUCAUGAAUAACUUGUCAAAUCUUUCCGUCAAAACAACAGAACCAUAAACUCCACCUCCAGCAAAUAGGAAGUCCAUAUAUCACCAAAUGAGGGCAGAUUAUUCAUUAGAAGUAACAGAUUUUAUCCCUGCCUCAACCUCAAGGGGCUUUACAUCUGAUAAUGAGAUCAUUCAACUGAAAUUAUACAAAGUACUUCCAAUCGUCUUUAGCAGAAAAGGCAUUGCCCAACUACAUCCACAUACAAUACUUACGAACCUACUUUUAGGGUUUAAUUAAAAGAAAAUGACAAGAAAAACCCACUACUUCAAAAUCUAGCUAUCAAAGUUUAAAUAUUAGACGAUUGCAUUGGCAAAAGAAAGAUAACUCCAAUUGUUUAGAGAACUCGCCUUCUGAAGCAUCAUCCGUGCAUAAGUCACUGGCAAGAAAAUUAAGGAAACAAAGUGAAAUGAGACCUUCAAAAAAUAAUGUUCAUACUGGUUUCCCCAGACGGAUUAUCCGUCAGCAUGUGAUAUUACCAUCUAAUAGUAGUAGCCACUGCCAGAGUGUUCACCCCUGUACAUAGAUGAGUAUGUGCUACCUCCAUACUGCAAAGUAUAGGAAAAUAAGCAAGAAACUUGGAGGUAACUUUGAUAACAUACAAAUAAAAUUUAAAAUGUAGACAAUACCUGAACUAUAGGGAAGUUUGAAAUGGAUAACAGAACUCCACAAAUUUUGGUUUUACUACCUAAUCUUUCAUUACUUUAUAAGUCAGAGAAUUCCAUCAAGUUCUGUUAGAGCUGAACAAUUUUUAUCCCAUGUAUGAGAAUAUUCUGUCAGGUAACAAUAAUCCUCCAGGUCUUAAAAUAUUCCAUAAAAAAAUAAAUAGUUGAUGAAGCAAUAUUAUAUGGUUAGGUAGUAAAAUCAAAAUCUGAAGGUCCAAUUAACCAUUUCAAAAUACGUUAUAGUUCAAGUCUAUACAUUUUUACCUAAUGUAAAAUGUAUAGCAAUACUUACAUCUGAACCAAAGUAAUCACGUGAAUACAUGCCACCCAUUCCUAGCGAAUCUAGAGCACAAAAAAGAAGUAAGCACUUUUCACAGGAACAUUGGAAAAACUCAUAUGUUAUUCCACUUAAGUAAGAAGAUCUCGACCUCGAUAAUGGCUUCCACCCAACAUUGGGUCAGGAUGAUCAAAACGAGGACGUACUCUUGAAGGCUGCAAAUAACUGGACUCGUAUUCCUGAAAGUAAAUUAUAUAACACAAGUAAGCUAACCUGAGAUGGACGGUAACAAAAUGUUCAGUGUCUAGCGUAAAGAGGAAGAACUAACCAUAGCUGAAAAUGGCCGCUUGACACCAUGGCUAAAAUCUCCAUAGAAAUAUGGAUCUUCCCCCAGAUGGGUAGCACCAUAAUGCCUGCCAAAAUCACCCUGUGGUGGAAACUGUGGCCUUCUUGGUGGAAAUCCUCUCCCCCACCCUCCAUCAAAGGCACCACGUCUCCCUGACCCUGAACCCCAUCUACCUCCUGCUAGUGCCAAAAUUUAUUGUAAACAUCUGAGAGAUUUACUAAUAUGCCCUUAUAAAAUAAUUUAUUUUCAAGUACAACAUGUCCUUUGGAAUCUUGAUACCUUACAUAUUUGUGUGCCUUAUUACUCUUGCACAUAAAAAUGUUCCUACUUAAUAAAACAUUUUAUUAAUGCAAAAUCAACUCUACCUAAUAAGAUGAGUCCCCAUGUUAAGACAAGGCCAUUUUAGCCAAAACAAUGAAAUUUAAAAAGACAGCACUUUCAGCGGUAUAUAUGAAAAUCCAUAUUUUACAAGGGCAUAUAUGUAAAUAGAUGAAUUUCCAGGAACAUACAUGUAAAAGACCACAAAUAAUACUCGAGAUAAUAAACAACCACAGUUAGUCUUCUCUCACUCAAGAUCAGAUCCUCUAUUUACCUCGAAAACCAAAUGGCCGCCUCCCUUGGAAGUUAAAACUCGAAUUUUCAAAACUGUUAUCAGCGAUAAACCUUCCAGUUCUACCGCGUCCAUGUAGAUUGAAACCUCUGUUGCCAUGAAAUCCUGCCCGAUUUGGGAAAGACCUGCCCCUACCAAAUCCUCUACCUGUUGAAACAUGUAGAUAUCAAUGCAUGGCACAGAAUGUAACAUAAAAGGUUGGGACCCCCUCAACUCUCGGCAAUUUUGAACGAACCCUCAAACAUUCUUUUUGUUGAUUGGCAUGCUGUCAGUUUGUGUUUGUUUUGUUUUAAGUUAGUUCAAUCAGUUGAAUUGUGAAUUCCAUUACAUUUACUGACCCCAUUAACUGUCAUCUAGUAACUAUUAACAGAAUGCGGUAAAUCCAUCAGCAAAAAGAGCGCUCAAAGGCAUUGACUUUAAUCACCAUUAACUGAUGGAAAUAAUUAAAAUCAUAACAACCAAAGUUGACUGGCCUAUAGUUGAGGGGGUGUCUGUAAAUCUCUAUCUAAAAAGUACAUAACAUAAGGUGAUAUUUAGGACUUACCAAACCUAUUAAAACCACCUCCAGAGUAUCCAAUGCGAAACCCACCACUCAUCCCACCCUUUACAGCUUGAGUUUUGGGUAAAGGAUUGGCAAGCCUAGCUCGUGCUUUCGUCUGGAUGCUCAUAAAAGUCAGUAGAGUUUCAGGAACGAUAAAAGGUUAUACAAAAUGUGAUAGUCAACAUCUAAGUAGUUUUUGUGUGUUUAGCUCUACAAAAACUGUAUCUCUACUGCAAAUUAAAUAUCGCACAACAUCAUUACUUAGUACCCUGUCCAAAGGAAUGGUAAUAUGAUCACCUAUUAAUUUGUUGCUAAUGUGUGUUAUUUAAAGGAAAGAAAACAUAUAACAGCCCAACAUGAAAUAGAAAAUCAGAGAUAGCAGCAUUGUGAAGUAUUGGACAUUCUUUCACUUUAGAUAGGCCAUGCAUAAAAUAAAAUCUACCAAGAAAUUUACAAAAACAUUGAAACAACUGGUGAUACAAGAUGCAAGUAAAAUCAAGAGAAUCUCUCAAGAAAUCUAAAAAGAAGGGAAAACAAAAAUAGUAGAAAUAGUAAUAUUUACAAAAGAAUUUAAAAAGAAUAUUUGAGAACAACCUGCUUUAUUUAUCACGUGUUCGCCCAAUCUUUUUUAUUACAGAGUCGUUGAAUUUAUUUUACCUUAUAUUAUAAACGGUCAUUCUAUUGCCAAAUUAUUGUUGGGAAACAGUUUAAAAUAGUCAUAGAAGAACAAAGCACUUAAUGAAAACACUUUCCAAAAAAUCAAUAAUACACGUCCUAUUCCAUCCUAGCAGGAAAUAAAAGGCAAUUAUAUGAGAUUGUAAAUGUGUCUCAAGGUAUGAUUAAAAUCAUGUUAUCAAAAAAAAAAAGUUUAAAAAAGAAGCAAAAAUGAGCUACAAAUAUUAAUCUACAAGCCUCGACGAAUAUAGAAUCAAUGGAAUAUGUCGUAGGACAGCAAUCUAAUCUUUGUCAUUCUAUGAUACUGCUGAUUAAAAAAACUAACCAAAUAUGUCUUUUACAAGUCAAUUACCUAAACAAAAUCAUAAAGGCCAAGCCCAUAACUAUAUAGGAGAGAUCAUGUUGAAGAAAAGAAACACUGAAAUCUAUCUUGAUACCCUAUUUAAAUGUUGGUAUUAUGAAAAAGAUGCAUGGUGCACCAAGAUUUCAAAUUUAUUGCCCAUACUUAUUCACCAAAAAACUCUGAAUGACUAGAACCACACAACAUUCGAGUCUUGCAACAAAGGGCAGGGUUUACCAAUCAAAUUCUUAGACCAUUGAAAGUCUUUAGUGAUCAUUCAACAUAACACAAGUGAAUGAGGAGUUAUUUACCAACCCUUCCCUCUCACUGGCGAAUACUAAAUGCAAUCUGAUGGUUUGAAAAAUGAAUAAUGUCGUCCAAAAUCAACUAGUCCACAUUAACCAAAGAACCUGAAUUUUCAUGGCUAGGGUUUCUAUGAUAAAAACAUCACACUAAGAAUCUUAUCGGUUCUUAAUAUGACAAAGUAAAAAUAAUAUCAGCUCUCAAGUACCUUGGACCUGCCAUCAUCCCCCAAGUCAGUGUCAUUUAUGCCUUCAAUGCAAGCAACAGCUGCUUCAUGAGUAGUGAAGUUUACAAAUCCAAAGUCAUUCCUCUUGGCAGUGGACAUAUUGCGAGCAAGCACAACACGCUCUAUCUCACCGUACCCUUUAAACUGCUCUUUGACACGAUCUUCAUCCCAGUAUGGUGGCAACCCAUCAACAAAGACAGAUUUAACCUGUAUUGACCAUAAAAAAGAGAUGUCAGAUACAAACAACUGCAAGGUGAGAGAGAAUGACUGAAAAAGAAGAGCACAAAGACUGACUUAGUUAUUUAGAGGCCAAAAGAUUAUGGAUUUCUUCAACUGGAGAGUUUUGGACUGGAGAGGGUUAAUCUCUUUUUGUUCACUUAGCUUGAAAUCAUCUACUGUAUAUAAAUCUACCUCGGUAAGUUCUUAAUUUUCAUAUACAUCUAAAGAAAGUGCAGAUUCUUACAGAAGAUAUACUGAUGUUGAGUUGGGGGAGUUGUCGAACUCAUGGUAUGAAGUUAUUCUUAUAUUAAAUAAAGCCUUUUCUAAAGAGGAGCAUCAACAGAAAUCUUGAAGGAUAUACAUGAAAGUUCAUAUUUUCAGGGUUAUGUAAAUAGAUAAUUAUGUAGUCCUAUAUAUGUAACUAUAUGGCACAGGGGAUAGAAUACCUGAGCCAUGACUUCUGGGUCCGGUUCACGUAAUGGCUCCGCGAAUGCAACUUUUGCAGUCCUCUCUGGGUGCCCAAAAACAGCAUCCGGUUUCUGCAGACGCUUGUAAGCAAGCAUUGCAUCAGCAUGGCAAGAGAACUCGAGGAAAGCAAAACCCCUACUCAGACCCUCAUUUUGGGUGUCCGCAACAAGAGUGAUACUUUCAACUCCUUCUAUCCCAUAAUCUUGCAGCUUCCUUUUAAUCUAAAAUAUGAAAAACAAAUUGAUUACCACCAUUAGAACUUGAUAGAUUGUACUCUUUAUAAAAUAGGAAAAAGAUAAGCCUUACAGCCUCCUUUGUCCACGUAUUGCAAAUGUUGCCUAAGAAUAGUGUGUCGUUGUCUUCGCUUCUAGCAAUGCCACAGCGCUUACCACGUAUCUGCAGAGCGAUAACUGGUAAGUAAGAUUAACCAUACAAAUGAGGGUGAAAUAUUAAGAUCGACAUGUGUCGAUACUAUUGUCAAUUCCAAUUAGUAAAAUAAAUGGCUGCCUUUACACCGAUUCGGAGAAGUUUAAAUAACUAACACUACCACAGGAAAAUUACAUAAUAUAAAUGCACAGAUCUCAAUAAUAUAUAUCCAAUAGAUAUCAUUUGAUAAAUCAAAGAACAACACCAGCAACCUCAGAAACUUCAGAAAUCCGCUUACAGCUUUCUAAUACCAAAUACUGAAUAGGCAUUUCAGAAGCAAGAAAAGCAAAACUUAUUCUCUGCCAAGUACAAUCCAAAGAAGUGGUAACAACUGCUUUGGGGCACAAUUUAUCUGGUCACACCGGUAUAAUCAAGGAACUUCUAUUUCCACCAAAUCAUAUAAUAGUGCUAUUCAUAUUUGGUCCCCAGUUAUCCCCAUAAUUAUCACACAUAUCCUCAUCAUAAGCAUAUCCAUGUGAUCAUUGCAAUUAUUCCUCCAGCAUAAAACCCAUAUAAAAAUGAUUUUGUUCUCUAAUGUUCAGGAUAGCAGGCUAAGAUGAGGUUAAGAUAAACUAAAAUAUAUGCAAAGAGAACAGAUCAAAGAGAAUAAUUAUCUUACCACAGGACUUUUCAAUUCAGCGAGUGCCCUAGCUGCUUGUUCCUUACUCGCAAACUUCACAAAUGCAAACCCCUUAUUCCUAUUAGUCGCAAAAUCUUUGUGAAGCCUGACCUCAACGACCUCUCCAAUAGGCUCAAACGCCUUCCUUAUAUCCCCCUCCACAGCAUCCCGAUCCAACCCACCAAUAAAUAUCUCCUGCUCUUUCUUCAACUGCCUCCUCUUCGCCAUGUCCGAUAUCUCCAUCUGCUCGUCCUCUUCAACCUUCGCACUUUCUUCUCCUCCUCCUCCCUCCCCUUCUUCCCCUUCUCCUUCUUUUGUUUCCUCCUCAGCCAUGACCUCCUCUUCAAUAGGCUCCUCGAAUUCUUCAGGGUCUACCUCCUCCUCCUCCAUUUCUUGGAGUCUUUCUAUAUCCAUCGCUUCAUUACUGGAAGGACCAUUUUCUGUUUCAUCAUUCUUAUCUGCUGCAGGAGAAGCAUAAUUACAAGUUCACAUUCGGCACAACAGAUUAGAGAAGUUCAACAUUCACCGAGAAUCAGCUAAUUCAGGGAGAAAAUAAGGAAAAGUUUGACUAGGAAAACCAUAAACAUAUGAACUAAGGAUUCUGAUAGUAAGAACUUGUUAUUUUCUUUUUAAUUAAAAUCCAAAAAGAUAGUAGAUGAUCUCUCUGGAAGAAAACAAUUUAUGAACUUACAGAAAAUUCUGUAUACAAUAUAAAGCUUAUAAACAGCUUCUUGUCUUUGUUCGCAUGCAAGUGUUAAUAAACUGUUAAAAAUUUAUUAUGCGAACCAAAAAUUCAAGAAUUAUUCAUGAAUUUAGAAAAAAUUAGAGAAUAUAGUUACCAUGAGCAGAAGUGCCCUUUUCUGGUAUCUCCUCUACUUUGUCCUCCUCCUCGGCUUCCUCCUUUGAUUCCUCCUCCCCCGCUUCCUUAAGAGCUUCCUCCUCCUCUUUCACUUCCUCUGUCGCUUCCUCUGUCACCACUGCUUCCACCUUCGCUUCCUCUGCCACAGCCACUUCCACCUUCGCUUCCUCCUCGCACGCUUUCUCCUCAGCCUUUGCCGCAGCCUUCGCUGUACCCAAUUUGACUUUCCCAGCAGCUUUUUUCGCAGGGGAUUUCGCUGGAGAAGCCAUCGCCGCCGCCGCCGCUGCCGGCUUCUUCUCACCCGACGGGGCAGGCACUUCCUCAACUGAGUCAGGCAUACAAACAAACACUUUCAAGACCACAUCCUACAAAUCAAAAGCCUUGAUUUCUUUAAAAGGGUUUCUACCUUUCUGCUCGGGGUUGGGCUCUGCCGAAGCGGCUGAUUUCGGCGUCGCUUGCUUGCCGCCGCCGCCUUUCCCGGAUCUCCCUCCGGAUUUCGGCGUCGUCUUGGGCGCCGCCGCCGCCUUCUUAGCCGCCGCGGAUUUGGGGGUUUCGGAGUUCCGAGUCCUCAUGCUUCCGAAAAGCCAAAACUCUGAUUCGAUUAUCGCACCUGCGGAUCAAGAAGCGUGGGAAAGAGCGGGCUUUUGAUGAGAAAGGUGUCGUCUUUGUUGGGGAAAAGGGAUCGGAGAGGGGUCGAAUGGGGAAACCCUCCGAUCGAAUUCGAAGGAGAUGUUAGGGCAAACCUGCGAGAAAAAUCUUCGUUCGAUCGACGAGAGAGAGAUGAGCGAGCUCGUAGGGUUUUUCUUUCCCCGCCAGAUAGUGGAGGAUCGAUUUGCAGGAGCACGGUGAUUAGUAAAGCACCGCUAAUAGAAAUUCUCUUUUUUUCACUAAUUGGAAAAAAAAACCCCUUAUAUUUUAGCCUAUUUAUUAUAAACCUUUGUGAAAUUAUUGAGAGGUGAGAGAUCUAAGUUUGGAGCUAGUGCAACUUUUGGUUUACUAUAUUAGGAGGUUGUUUGGCUUAGAUUUAAAAAAUUUAAUGUCCCUAGAAUUGAUUUUACUUUUAUAAAAUUAUAAAUUAGAAAAAAACUCAACAUUAAAUGUAAAAAAUGCAUGAAGUUGUGAAUUUGCAUCUUAUUGUCACACGUAUCGUAUCAUCUAUUUUUAAUAGUGACACAAACUCAAAAGAGUAUAUAAUUUUAGAUUAUUUCAUAAAUUAUGUGGAAGCCGAAAUAUCACGAGAAAUAAAUGUUAUAGUCUUGAAGAGCCAAAAAGUCAUGAGAAACUUCAGAAAUUUUAUAGAAAUAAAUAUGGAUGGUAGCAAAAAGACAUAAAUAAAAGCUUUUUAGAGCCACUUGAUUUUUUAGAUUAGAUUCUCUAGAAACAAUAAAUGAUGCAUCUUUAUUUGUCAUAAUGGCAAUAGGUUUAUAAAUAAUAAAGCAUUUUAGAUUUUUUUUUUCAAAUUUCAAAAGCAUAUCUUUCAUUUUUGUAUUUAGUUUUCAAGAACUAGUAGGCCGAGACUAAUAAAAUUGAUAUAAAUUUGUCAUCUUCAAGAAAAAAAAAACUGACGUAAGCAGCAAGUUAAAUUAAUUACUGUGCGUAAAUCGACCGUCCCUAGAGCAAGUGGCAAAGGAUUUGAUAGUUGGUAUCCAAGACCCAAGUUCAAAUUCUAGUUGAUUUACAUUUCAAGCUAAAUUUAUUUUUAAAUAAAAUAAACGAAGCGGUAGCGUGCUAUCUAUCUCUUUAAAAAAAAAAAAAAAGAAUACGUAUCUGGAAAGAACUAUUUCAUUCUUGAAGGGAUAUAGAAUUUUUCGCAAUANUUUUUUUCAAAUUUCAAAAGCAUAUCUUUCAUUUUUGUAUUUAGUUUUCAAGAACUAGUAGGCCGAGACUAAUAAAAUUGAUAUAAAUUUGUCAUUUAAAAAAAAAAAAAAAAUACUGUGCGUAAGAGAUUCCUCAACAUAUGUGAACUGUAGGUACUUGAACUAAUAACUUCAGCCUCGGACUUACAUCUAAACAAAUGCAUCCUAAUGUGGGCAGGUUAGAAAGUUUGGAAUUAGAUAAAUAUUCAAAAAUUUUGAAAGAAAAAAAAAAUAAGGGAAAACUUCAGAAACCCCCCCUGUGGUUUCAUAAUUUCUCACUUUGCUGCCCGGUGGUUUAAAAUAUAUCAAUGCCCCCCUGUGGUUUCAUUUUUAUCUUUUCGAUAGCUUUUUCGUUAAUAUUUAAUUAAAUUAUAUACAAAAAAACUUCAGAUACCCAUAUAGAUUUAUCAAAUAUUCACUUUAGUAUCCUUUAAUUUUAACUUUAUAACUGAUUUAAGAAAAAAAAAUAAUAAAAUUGACAAGAAAAAGAGAAAAAAAGAAACUACAGGGGGGCAAAGUGAGAAACUACGAAACAACAGGGGGGUUUUUGAAGUUUUCCCAAUCUAAAUAAUAAUAUGAACUAAAAUUAAUUUAAAAAAUAAAAGAAAAUAUUGUCACUACGGAUAUAAAGGAUACAACCCGGUUGUCCAAAUGGAGAGCCUUUGAGGAUGACGAUGGGGAUCUCCGCUCAGUAUUAUGCGCACGCCCGCAUACUCCAUCUCCUCCUUCCUCUCAAACCCCCCUUCUCCUCCUCCUCCUCCUCCUCCUCCUCCCUACUACGCCCUAAUCCCUCUCCUCUCGCAACAACAACAACAACAACAACAACAACAACAACAACAACCUCAAGGGGCCUCCUCUGCUGCUUCUCCUCCCAUGGAAACCCUCGGCGAGGGCGCGAAUCUCGAGGCGGCGGGGGAGGCUCCGCGGAGGGCGAGUCGGGGUUCGUCGUUGCGAGCUUCUACAAGUUCGUGCUCGUCGCGGACCCGGAAGCGGAGGUCGCGAAGCAGCUAUCAUUUCUCCAGGUUCUGGGCUCUCGUAAUCUUGUUCUCAUCACCGUUGAGAUCUCUUUUGUGCUUAAAUCUGAUUUCCUGUACUGUAAUUAACACCAGGAUAUUUUAAUUUGGUUCUUCCUGUAGUUUCUUUUCUUAUUUCUCUGAACCUGUUAUGACAAUUCGCAUUUAUAUUGUUCUUUCCAGGAACGUAACAUACAUGGUCGCAUAUAUGUUAAUGAGCAAGGAAUUAAUGCACAGGUGAUUUCUCUUCAUUGAUCUUUAAUAGAUUUUGAUAUAAUUUGAUGCAGUAAAUUCACAUAUAAUAUUUGUUCCACAUGUAUUCACCAUACUUAAUUCGAACCUCAAUUCCUCAACAGUACAGUGGUCCAACUACGGAUGCGAUGGCUUAUGUUGAGUGGCUUAGAGAAGAUCCGCGUUUUUCUGAUAUCUUGGUUCAACUUUCACCGGCUUUAAGUGGGCAUGCUUUUCCUCGACUUAAACUGCGGUAUAAACCUUCACUUGUUCAGGCAAGCCAUAUACACUGUUUUCUAAUGCAUAUUUGUUCAUGUGUUUCUAUUCUUGAAGCAUUAAAUUCUCCAUGCUCUUAGUAAGCACUUGGUGAAGAAGUAUGAGCACCCUUCUUUACUUUUAGUAAUUUCAAUGUCUGGCCUUGACUCUCAGUAGGAACUUGUUCUAAAUGAAAUAAUUGGAGCAUGACUGUGCAUUUUUAACAAAAUAAUAUCAAGACCACAUUUUUAGUUUUGCCUUUAAGAAGCUGGAAGAUUGGUUGAGCUAUUAGUCAUGAUGACCUAUAUGAAUUUUGUAAAAGGAGGUACAUGUUUGGUGUAGACCCACACACUCUGUUGUGUGCUAUAUUUUGCAUAGUUUUUGUGAUCUAAUUAAUGCCUUCAAGAUUCUAGUGAGCUGAUGCAGGAUACGCACGAUAAUUUUAUGAGAAAUACGUGUAGGCUUAUAUUGUAGAUUUUUGUGGAAUUUGGAACUCAGGAGCAGCUACAGUUUAGAUAAUUAUUUUAUAUACGACUCUAAUAUUUGAGUGUUAUAUUUCUGUUUAUAUUCCUGUGAAGCUAAAAUGUGCAUUUACCUAAUGUAUUCUACUUCAGCAUUUUACUUCCUAAAUGAUGUUCUCCGUUUUCUUAGUAACUGCCGUAGGGAAACAGAAUAAACUUUUGACAUUUGUAUCAUUACUUCGUAUAUCAAUAUUAUCUAAUCUCAACCGAAAUUUCCAUUAAAUUAGAACCAAUCAACUUAUAUCAAAUUCCGCCACAAAAUUUCUGGUCAUGGUCGAGCAGUUAUAUUUGUUUUUUCAUAUUUUUUUACUUAUUUCUUGAAUGUUUAGCUAAUAUAUGUUAACUUCAGUUAGAAGGAGGAGUUUCACACCUUCCUUUGGUGGACCCUUCAAUGAGAGCUACACCAUUGACUCCGUCUGAAUGGAGAAAAAGAUUACAAAAUGGUAGAAAUGUUGAUAUAUUCUCCAGCAACAUAGAUAGCUCAGCCUCUGAAAAGGAGUUUCUAUUACUGGAUGUUAGAAAUGGUAAGAGUCUUCUUCAAUUUUGCUAUUAAUUAUAUGGUUUAGGGAGCAUAUAGCAAUACCGAGGUAUAAGCGGUAGGCCUGGCGGCAUACAACAGGGUUGUUCGGAUUCAAUCCCCAACCUUUCAGGUGGAAUUUGAUAAUGCCAUCCUAGAGGGCUUAUUUGAUCCGACCGACUGGAAUCAAUUUUCCCUACCCUUCGUGACCCCCAAUUCAUCCGAGUCACUAAAUCCUCCUUCCCCAGCAUCACUCUCCUAUCUAAUGCUAUCCAAUCCAUUCUCAAGUGCUAAAACCCACCAGGUAACUAUAUAUUGUUCUAAUUAAGUUUCUUAUUAAUCAUUUUGGAAUAGGUUAUGAAUGGGAUAUUGGCCAUUUUCGAGGAGCUGAGCGACCAAAUGUGGAUUGUUUCAGAAGCACUUCUUUUGGGCUCUCGGAGCAAGAGGUAUGAUCUCUUUUAACAAUAACUACUGCUGCAUACAUGCAUGUGUGGAAUUAGCCUGGAAGAGAAAUAAUACUCCUUUAGACACACUUUUGUGGCAACAGACCAAGCUGAACAUCCCCUUGGAACAGCCUAAAAGAGAACAUCCCUUUAGAUAAACCCUUUUCUGCUGGGGAAAAAGACAUAGGCUUUAGAGUGCGCCCCUUAGCAAUUAUACUGUCUGUUGAAAUUCUGUCACGAUAACCGACUGUCCCUCGCGCAAGUGGCAAAAGGCUUGGUGGUUGGUACCCGAGGUCCCAAGUUCGAAUCCUAGUUGAUUCACAUUUCCAGCUAAGUUUAUUUCUAAAAAAAUAAACGAAGCGGGUAGCAUGCUACCUUUCUCGCAAAAAAGAAAUUCUGUCAUGAUAGUUAAAAUCUCCAUGCUAAUAGUGAGUUAAACAACCCACUCCUCAAAGACUUUUGGCGUAGUUUCUGCACCCGUAUUUUGACUUGAUAUUUCCCUUUUUUUCUUUUCCCUUCUUAGUUUAGUUAAGUGUUUUUUCCUUUUCCUUUUUUCCGAGGCCUCGGUUGCCUCACCUUGUAGCCAAGUUCAUUUCCUAAAUGAAUGAAGCGGUAGCACGCUACCUUUUCUCAAAAAAAAAAAAAACAACCCACUCUUCUGUGUAUGUAACAUUACCUAAUCCUUGUAUAGACUGUAAGGUAGAGAUUCUCCAUGGUAAUAGUGAGUUAAACAACCCACUCUUCUGUGUAUGUAACAUUACCUAAUCCUUGUAUAGACUGUAAGGUAGAGAUUCUCCAUGGUAAUAGUGAGUUAAACAACCCACUCUUCUGUGUAUGCAACAUUACUUAAUCCUUGUGUAAACUGUAGGUUAGAGAUUCCACUCUUGCCACUUUUAUGUACAUAAUUUUUUCUUUGUAAUUUUUUGGCUCAAGCAUGGAAUUUAUUUCUCUCAAUUCAGGUGGAUGCAUCAGACCCUUUGACAGGAAUUGACAAAGAACGUACAGAUAUACUGAUGUACUGCACCGGUGGCAUACGCUGUGAUGUAUAUUCUACAAUUCUUAGGUAUCAAUGCAUUUAUAACAUCGCAAUCGUUAACGUACGAUCCCUGAUCCUGUGCUAGUAGGCAUGCUGUUCUCCCUUUAGAUGGGGACUGUCCCAAUUCGCAGGGAAAUUUUAGUUCCGAAUAGGAAGAAGCUUUUGAAGAACAUUUGCAUGAUAAGUCUUAAGUUUAUAAAAGGCGUGGAUGAAAACUCAGAUUCUGCACUGAAAUAUGCGUAUGCAGAUAGAUGAAUUUGCAAUAGUACUAGCUAAAUUCCUCCUUGCUUUUCUAUUUUUCGCUUUUUCAUUUUUUUCCCCCUCUUCGUAAUUCCAGGCAGAAGGGUUUCAAAAACCUUUACACUCUGAGCGGGGGUGUGUCUAAUUAUCUAAAGAGCGAGGGCCCAGCAGAAUGGUUGGGAAAUCUCUUUGUUUUCGACUCACGUCUUUCCUUGCCCCCUUCUACUUAUAACCCUGAGAAAGAUUCCGAAGGCGAGCCACAACUGGUUUCUGAAAGCACCAUGCUUGGAAAGUGCUAUAUAUGUGGAUCACAGCUUCUUGAUUUCAGGCACCGCAAUUGUGCAAAUCUCGACUGCAAUCGGCUUUUUCUGUAAGCUAUUUUCAUUUUCCGUUCGGCUGACUUACUAAUUUGAGAGUAUACUCCGUUUUUGUGAGUAUUUCGUGUAGAAUAGUGUAAGGGUCUGUUUAGCCAGGUCGAGUUGAGCUGCUACAAGAAGCCUAAAUGCUUUUUCAUUCAAAACAACUUGAAACUCUCCAGCUGCAGCUGAAAAUAGACGCUUCACGACUAGGGCUUAUGCUUUUCGCAUCCCGUGUGCUCAUUCUUUUGCUUCCUUUAAGGCGGAAGCUGCGAACUUUUUUGUUUGCCAAGCAUCAUUCUUCUACUUCGCGAGCAGAGAGACUAUCCCAGAUGGCCAGCUGAACGAGCAGAAAGACGGCUCAAAACGGCAUCAAAACAAUGGCUUAUUAGUUGUCUGCCAUCUCUUUCAGGUGUUGCAGUUCAUGUGCGAAAGAGUUGAGAGGCUGCUGCGGUGCGGACUGCGUCGGUGCUCCUCGACUGCGACCCGUUUUACUCGGACGUCAGAGAUACCAGAAAUGGCACAUCUACCGGGACGGCGAGUUUCCAAAAGAAAUAACAGCUUAAUGCAACGUUCCUUCUCCGUGCCAGUGCUCUUGCAUCAUGUCCUCACCAAAAGAAGUUGAAGCUUCUUCUAACACACACUAAAAAUGAAAAAGAUUCACCUUCAAUGGAAGGUUUGGUAAUUUCUUUGUUAAAAUCCGAUUCUGAUUUUAGACUUAAAGUUUAAAUUUGAACUUAUUUUUAAAUUUAAAUUCAGAUUUUAAUUUUUAAUUUUUAAUUUUGAUUAAAUGUUGGUGCAUCGCGAAUAGAAAAAUAAUUUGACAUCUUAAAUGUUGGCGUAUCACUAAUCAAAACACAUUAAAUUAUUUUCACAAUAGUAAUACAAUAAUUUUUAGUCAAUUAAAUUGGGUUCUAAUUUAAUUUUAAAUUUAAAUUGUUAAUUUUUAAUUUUGAUUAGAUGUUGGUACAUCGCUAAUAUAAAAAUAAUUUGACAUCUUAAUUGUUGGUGUAUCACUAAUCAAAACACAAUUACAUUAUUUUCACAAUAGUAAUACAAUAAUAUUUUGUCAAUUAAAUUAGAUUCUAAUGAUUGUAAUAAUUUUGAAAGUUCAAGUAAGAAAUUAUAACAAAUUAAAUUUUAACGAUCCCACCCUCAUAGUUUGGGGACCACGCGUGCAACUUUAUCUAAACUUGAAUUCGAGUGGGGCUAGUUUGGACUUUGGAUUGCUAAAUAGAUAUGGUUUCGAAUACAAAUACAAAAAUUAAAAUUUCGGCGGAUUCAGACUUGAAUAUGGAUUUUGUCUGUACCUGAUUCGAACGUGAAUCCGAUCUGAAUCCAAAUAAAUUUUACAUUACAUUACAUAAUAUGUAUGAAAAUUGGAUGUUAUAUUUGAAUGUGCAUUUUGAAAACUUUGAUUUUUAAUAUAAUAUUUUUUGAAAUACGGUAAAAAAGGGUUUCGGGUUGGAUUUAGUUUUGGAUUGAAUUUUUAAAAUCCGUUACAUUCUAGGUUUCAUAUUCGGAUUUCAAAAUUGAUUGUCGGAUUUGGAUUGAGGUUUGCAAAAAUCCGACCCGUUAACAUUAUCCAUGUAUCGUCCAGCUUGUAUAUAUAUAUGUCUAAUUAGAGUCGAUUAUUAGAUAACUACAACCGUUAAAGAUAAUCAACCAAUCGAAAUUCAUCUUAGCAGAUAAAAUCAUAUAAUUAUCUAAUUGAAUUCGACUAGGAUUCGAUACAUCACGGUACAUAUAUAUAUACAUAAUAUAAUAAUAAUAUUUAGUCACGUACCUAAGGAUUACAAAAUUAUAAAUUAAUUAACCGUUCUCCUCUCUCUCUCUCUCUUUCUUUUUAUCUCCUCUUCUAAGACAUUUAUAUAUUUAUUUAUAUCUAAAUUUACUUCUCUACCCAAUCAUGGAGAUUCCGUCAAGUCCGUUACCUCCUCCGUCCACUUCCGUCUCCGACCUCGACCUCGACUUCUUCAGCGGCCUCGGUGUAAGCACAACUUUUUUUUUUAUUUUCUAAAUUUAAAAAAUUUCUCUUAUAUUUUAGCACUAAUUUUAAUUAUUUUUCCGCAUUACGAGCUACAUUAAUUGAUAAAUUAGACGGUAAAGUUUUACUAAAACGAGUUAGCAUGUUACAUUGUCCUACAUCUUAAUAUGUGUCUAAUUUGCAAUUCAGAAAAAAAAUAUGAAAAAUGUAGAUAAUUGGAUAUUUUGUUUUUCUAAUACUAUCGGAAUUGAUAGUUGAUUAAAUAAUUAAUUACUUUUACAGAAACUUUUUGAUUGAAUUUAGUAAUUAUUCUGAAUAGCUUGACCUAUUUAAGAUAAUAACAAAAUAUGAAAAAAUAAUUGGUGUAAUUUUUCAUGUAGGGGUAACUAAAAGAAGCACUAAAGUGCAAGGAGAUUUUUUUCUUUUAUAAUUUAGUUAUUUGUUUAUAUUGACGUAGCCACAUAUCUUUAGUAUUUGUCUGAUAUUAACAGGGUAAAUUACACUUUUGGCCUUCAAACUAUGUGACCUUUAUUAAUGUUUUGGUCAGGUUAAGAGACUAUUUUGAUAAUUUUAGGAUAAAUUUGAAAAUUAUGAAUAGUAGUCAGAGGUAAAUAAAUAAGAACCUCUAAUUUAUUGUAAUUUCUAGUUCAAACUUUUUAAGUUAUUACUAUAAUUAAGUCCACAAUCUAAUUUAAUUAAAAUUUAUUGUAAUUUAUAGUUCAAACUUUUAAAGUUAUUAUUAUAAUUAAGUCCACAAUCUAAUUUAAUUAAAAUUUAUUGUAAUUUAUAGUUCAAACUUUUAAAGUUAUUAUUAUAAUUAAGUCCACAAUCUAAUUUAAUUAAAAUUUAUUGUAAUUUAUAGUUCAAACUUUUAAAGUUAUUAUUAUAAUUAAGUCCACAAUCUAAUUUAAUUAAUUAAACAUAAUCAUAAUGUUAAUAUAUAAAAGUGAUAUGAUAAUAUUAUGAUUUAUAAUACGACAAUAAUUAAGAUGUUAUUUCGUUAUUAUAAGUCCGGCUACUAUAUAAGUAUAGAUCUCUUUAUAUUCAUAAGUUUUCGACUGUUAGAUCUAUCACUUUGAUCAUUUUUAUCCGUUAAAUAAUACUAUUCAAUCAACCACCUACUCAACUCAAAGGGGCGAAAAUUUAUGAGUACAAAAAACUCUGUACUCAUAAAAGUAUAGUAGCCUUAGUCCGUUAUUUAUUUAUUUAUUUAUUUUUUUUGAGAGAUAGGUAGCACGCUACCCGCUUCGUUUAUUUCAUUUAGAAAUAAACUUAGCUAGAAAUGUGAAUCAACUAGGAUUCGAACUUGGGUCUCGAGUACCAACCACCAACCCCUUUGCCACUUGCUCUAGGGAUGGUCGGUAGCCUUAGUCCGUUAUUAUAUCAAUAUUUUGUCAAUAUUUAGUAAGUCCGUUAUUAUAUCAAUAUUUUGUCAAUAUUUAGUAAAGUAAAUUGGUUUGCGAAAUUUGAUUGCAUCAAUUCAGAAUGUUCGACUAAAAAAUUAUAAUAAUAAAUUAAAAUUUGAAAAUCAAAAGUAUCACAUUUAUAGUUUGAGGACCAAAAGUGUACCAUUAGUAAAUUUUUAUUUGUAUAUCAUCUGUUUCAUUAUAUUUGUUUGGAUCAACAGGAAAGUUUAUUUACAUUAUAAAUUAGAAAAUUAUGAUCCAAACUAAACAUCAAAAGAAAUUUUCAACCAAAAUUUCCGGUUGUUGCAAUUUUUUUUUUUUUUUUUUGCAAAUCCUGCUUUUUUGCGUUUUCUGUUUUUUCUGUUUUAUCUUUAUCUAUGGGUUUUGGAGUUUUCUUAUCAAAAAUAUUGCUUAGGGCUUUUUUUGCUUGAUUUUUUUCAGCCUGAUGAAAUUCUUUUUUUNUUUUUUUUUUUUUUUUUUGGCAAAUCCUGCUUUUUUGCGUUUUCUGUUUUUUCUGUUUUAUCUUUAUCUAUGGGUUUUGGAGUUUUCUUAUCAAAAAUAUUGCUUAGGGCUUUUUUUGCUUGAUUUUUUUCAGCCUGAUGAAAUUCUUUUUUUUUUUUUUCCGUAACUUAGUUUGUUGUAUACCACAUAAACAAGAGGUUUAAUUAAGCUAACCAAACUUCAAUUUACUCCAAUUUGAUGUACUAAACUUCAACUAUUUCUAAUAGGGGAAUCAGAUAGCAAUUAAUUCUGCGAAUUAUUGUGCUGUUAUUCGUCGAAUAUGAUGUGAUAGCUGAGUUAGCUGGUAGAGUAUGCCACACUGAUACAUCUAUUUCAAUAAUUUAAAGUUCUGGGAAUUACGGUUUCUGUUUAGGGUUUGGAACUUGCUCACAAACUGUUUGACACAAUGUCAGCAAAAAAUUAGAUUGAGGCAACUAUUGCUUUGAGUUUAUGAAUUCUUUGAGGGUCAUCUAGGGUUUCCAUUCUUAGUUGCAGUUAUCUUUGCAAAGGUAUAACUUUUCGGUUUUAAGAGCUACCGAGUGGUUGUUGAGAAUCAUAAGAGUAUUUAACUAGUCCCGAUGUUCGAAGACAUGGUAGUCAAUUUGUAGGUGAAGUUUAUUAUCUUGAGAAAAAUCAUGAUGCUCUUAAUCCCCAAAACUGCACUAUUUAUCCCCAGUUUACUUGUUUCGACAUCUGUACAGGCUCUAAUAAUUUUGCACUUGUUCGCAGAUGUUUGAUGAUACGGAGCGCGUGCUGAAGUAUUUCAACGAUGUAGACAUUGACCGAUAUAAUUUAGGGCUAUUCCAAGAGGAAAAUAAAGGAAUUAUGAGCAAUAAUUCUGCUGUAGUUGACGCUGGGAACUAUGAUAUGGCCCUAUCUUACGGCAACGGAAUGAUGAACGACAAUCUCAAUAUGCUUAAACACGAGAACAAUGGAAUGAUGAACAAUAAUUGCGGUACUGUCGCGGUCAAGAACAAUGGAGAGAUGGUGAACAUCUUACCGAUUGUUCCGCCGAGUAAUUCUGGCAACGGCCAGGUUGAGCUGGCGCGCGGUUUCCACCAUGGAAAUCCGGCGAAUGUGAAUUGGUCCCAUGAGCAGAAUAAUGGAAUUAUGAUCAAUAACUCCGCUAUAGUUGGGAACACAAGAACAAUCGCCAACUCCGAUGCGCUAGUCCUACAGAAGGACAAUCGAGUAACAAACAACAAUGCCGCUAUGGUUGAAGUCGCGAACAACGGAAUGAUGAGAAACAACUGUAGUGUUGCCACAGUCGAGAACAAUGGACCGACAGAUAACAUUUCUCUGAAUAUUCUGCCUAGUAAUUCUGGCAACGGGCAUGUGGAGCUAGUGCAAGGUUCCUGUUGUGGAAAUUCGAUGAAUGUGGAUUGCUCUCGUCAACGAAAUAAUGGAAUUAUGAACAAUAGUUCUCCUAUGGUUCAAGCCGGGAAUACCUGCUGUACUGUCCUACCUGAGGACAGUGGAAUGGCGAACAACAAUACUGUGAUGGUAGUACAACAGAACAAUGGGAUGGCGAAUAGUUAUGGUAGUAUUGUCAUAGCUGAGAACAACGGAGAGACGAGGAGCAUUGCUCCUAUUAUUCCCUUGUGUAAUCCCAGCAACAAGCAUGUUGAGCCAGUGCACAACUUUCGUCAUGGAAAUCCGGCGGUCCUGAGUUGGUCCCGAGAAGAACAAUCUAUUUUGAUGGAAAACCUUCCCAAGUAAGUCCAUAAUUGGCUUCCUAGCAUUAUCCUGUGAUGUUCGUCAUUUUCGCUUAUUUCCCACAAAUAUGUCUUCUUCUUCAUACUGACAAUCUGUUUUUAAAUGCUUUACUCCAGCCUAAAAGUGAACAAAUUCAAAUAUAGAUGGUUGACUUGGAAUAUUUAACUUAGAUUUUGUGCCUAUGUGCAAAACUUCAGCCUCUAAGUGAACUUUAGUUUGUGGUGGCAAGGUCACAUUGAAGCAUUUGACCUUCUUUAGUCUUGAAUUUGAUUUGAACAGGAAAACAUAAUCUCUCUCUCUUUUUUUUUGGUACAAAUGUUCCUUCUUUAUACUUGCAUGCAGUUUUAAGGCUUGAAUAGAGUUGCUCAAGUAAGCACCGAUAAUUUUUUGCCAAAUUUGUCAUUAGAGCUUUCUUCUGCAAUUGUAGAAGGUGGAAAAAGCUGUUGGAGGGAUUUGAACUGAAAAGUUACUAGUGCUUAUCAUAACAGUAAACUCGCCAUCGAACAACACUAUAGAAUGUCCAAACGGGCACUAUUUCAUACGAAGAAUGCAUACUCGUUGUAUCGUUUGCUUUCUAUUGCUACCAUGUCCUAGAUAUCCUUUUCUCUUAAUCUUUUUUAUUUUCUCCCUCACUAUUUCCCGCUAUGCUUAUUGUGCGACACUUGUUUCUCUGAGCUUUUCAGGUAUGAGAACGAGCCAGCAUUGAUGAAAUAUGUUAAAAUAGCAGCUAUGCUUCCCAAAAAGUGUGCAAGGGAUGUUGCAAUGAGGUGUAAGUGGAUGGUGAGUACUCGGCAUGUCACAGUGCGCUUCUAUUUUUCAGAUGCAUGGAAUUUACUUUUUCUUGGUCAUUUACCUUUAACAUUUAUACAUCUCUCAAUGUUUGUUUCUUUUGUGAAUGGUCGAUAUUUGUGUCUCAUUCAUGAAGUUAGCAAAUAAAAGCAUGAAUAUCAAUUUCUAAAAGGAUCAAAUGGUUUUCUAGCAUAUAUUGUUUCUAUAUCAAUAUAUAUACACACUCUGUACUACAGUGUGGAUACAUGGGUAAUUGGCCAGAGUAAACCAUUGGCAACCUUGCGUUCUUAAGUAGUAUAGGAUCACAAAACUAUCCUCAUUUUGCAUCAAUACCCAGUGAAAAUUACGUCGACUAUCAAAUACCAGAUUUUUGGCUGACAUGUAAAAAGUGAGGGUAAUUUCAUGAAUUUCUAGUAAGCUUCUAGUGUGCCCUGUUGGAAUUUUGCGCAAAGGGCAUACAAGAGCUUUUCUUAAGGAUAUCUGGGCAAAUUUUAACUUUAGGGGUUUAUAUGCACAUUGUCAUGCUGAAUUAAGAUCGAGAUGUAUAUAGAACUACCUGAUAAUUCAACUGCAGCAACUCUUCUUUUUGAAAUUGUUUUAGGAAGUUCGUUAAAUCUUUGCAACAGCAAGGAAGAAUGUUGAUGUUUUCUUACAUCAAACUCAGUUUUCUUGAGUAAAGAUAAUCAGAAUCCUUUUAGUAAUUUUCUUAGAUGUUGCUAUGAGUUUGUACUUCUGACUAAGUAGCUCAAAACAGCAAAUAUCCUUUAUGCGUCCUAGUAAUCUCUAACAGUUUCAACCAUUAUAACUUGUAGUCUGCUUAUUGCACUAGUGAAAUUUGUAAUUGUGUAAUAAUGCCAUCUAACAUUUUGAAGGAAAAGAAACAAACUGCUGAAGAACAUAGUGCGGGAAGGAUCAGUGAAGAACAUAGUGCGCAAAGGAUCAGCGAAGAUAAGAAGGUAAUGAUCAUUUUCAAGUUUCAUGAUUGUCAAAUUUUGAAGUACAAAUUGCAAAUGAGAACUCUCUUAUAAUUCUUAAGAAUCUAAGGGUCAAGGUUUUUUUUUUGAAAACAAAUUAAUAUAUAGUUUUCUUUUCUAUGAGUUGGCCUAUUAUUUUACACAUGUUUCAGCUAUUUCUUUCUUUAUUAUUCAUGAUUGACUGUGGGUAAAACUAUAAAUUCAACAAAAAGGCCGGGACAGCUGCCAAACUAUGUGUUUGAUUUAAACCCAAAUUAGCUUGUUAACUUUGGCUAGAUUCUGUCAAACUAAAUAGUGUCUGUAAAUAUGUUGCAAGAUAUUUUGUCAAAUAUUAAUUUUGCGGGUGCCCAUACAUAGCUGAGAAUUUAUUGCACUUAGCUUUUGAACAUAGAUCGUUCGUUUGUAGUACUCUUGAUGGAUGCUAAUUUUGAAAAAAGAAUACAUACAUUCAACUUAUUGUGAAAAAACUCAUUGAUUUGAAAUGUUGCUUCCGUUGUUUCAGGGAAAGAAGGUUGAUACUUCUCAAAGAACCAAUAAUCUGCCCAGGCAACGAAAAGCUAAGGCUCCUAAUGCAACUGAGAAUAAAACAGGUUGGUAGAUUUUUCUUUUGAGUUAUUAGUUGAUUCAGUAUCUUAUUAGAUCAAGUGUAGCAUUUUAUCAGAUACAUAUUUUGACCUAAUUUCUUGUUCGUUUUCUCUUAUUCAUUUUGACUUUUAGCUCAAGGUUAUUACUUAUAACCCUUCGUUUUGAAUUCAGUUUUAUACAAGUAUAUGCAUCCACUAGGCGCAGCGAGUAGUGUUCAUCUUUUCUUCGGUUGUGAAUUAGAAGUUUCAUUAGGCAGUGAAAAUUCGGAAUCAUAAAAAUUGACGACCUGAUGAUUUCAGUAAGUGAUAAGUUUGUUUCCUUCCCUGGGAAAACAUCAGAAGUUUGACCUUAUAAAGAUUUCCUUUGUAUCACUCAAUCUAAUUUUUCACAUUGUGCAGAUCACCAUAAAUAAUGAAAUUUCACGGAAACAAGUUUCUAGCGUUUUGUUCCAUGAGAUGGGACUAUUUUUUAAGUUUCUAGCUUUUCGGAAGUGGAAUUUGAUUUAAAAUCUUCUCUAGAUAGUUGAUUGUUUGUCAAUUAGUUAAAUCAAUUGAGCAGACCUCUUUUGUUUCUUUUUUUCCUUUUGUAUCUCUUUGGUAUUCAUUAGAGCUUGAUAAGUGCUAAUUAUCCUUCUGUUUGAUAACUUCUCCAUUUCUUUUUAGAAGUUUCAGUUCUUUUCAUUUUUCCUGGCAUCCUUUCAGAAGAUUUAAUUUCGCGUGUUUAAAACACUGUUUAUCCUAGUAUAUUUGUUCUACUGCUUAAUGUACCAUGUUGUUUAGCAAAUUAGUCUUUAUUCACAACCAAUGCUGUAACAACCCGACUCGCUAGUAAUUAUAACUCGUUGGUCCCACACCAUCGAUCCAAAAUGCUUAAGCUUAGUUAUUAUUACUAGUGUCUAAAAUACUUAAGCCUACUAAUUUUUACUAAUGUACACGGCCUCUUAUAUUCCCAAUCAGAGCUCUUUUCCUAUUCGAUAUGGGAUUAUUGGGGUAUUAAAAACUCCCCAAAGUUUAGAUCCUAGCGUCCUAGUCAGGUCCAAAACCAAUCACGAAUAUAGACCUCAUUCAGGUCCUGACAUCUUCAUCAGGUUCAAAAUCCAAUUACACAUAUAGACCUGAAUUAGUAGGCCAUGUUAGAUGCUAACGAUGGCUUUUAUGAGUUUAAGAGGUGGCUUCCAUCAAACCCAUACACUUUUGGCUGGUAUUUGUCUCCAAUACCAACUAUAACGGUCCGACCCAUUAGCAAUAAUAAUUCGUUAGACCCAUAUUACUGUCCCAAAAUACUUAUGUCUAAUUAUUAUUACUAGUGUACCUCUUAUAUUCCCAAUCAGAACUCCUUUCCCCUUCAGUGUUGGACUAUUGAGGAUUUACAAAUAUUUUCUAAUUGAUAUUGUGUUUCUCAUUGACUUAUGUUUGUUUUACCAAGUUGCUCAUUGGCUUAUGUCUUUCCUACCAAGUAUUGUCUUUUGAGUUGUUUAUUGAUGUCUCCAGGUUCCAAAAAGGAAAUGGAGCAAAUUUUGAAAGCAACCAACAGACUUGUUGACCAGCUUGAAGCAAAAAUUGGGGCAGACACGGUAGGCUUAUUUGAUUUGUAUUAGAGACGUAUAAACAAUAUCUGUUACUGUUUUUUUCCCCCAAAUACGUUAAAUGUUCCUUCACAUCUAUAGUUUUUUCCACACUGGAUGCAUAAGUUUCACUAGCAAAGUUGCAUGUUGUUAAUGUUUUUCAUUCGAAUCUGUUCAUUUCUCAUGUACAGGAUAUCAAAAAGCUCAUCUCUGGAAUCAAGAAAGGCAUCCGAGCUGCUCUAAAUGGGUAAUUCUGAAAACUUAUGUACUCGAAUUGAGAGUACUUACUCUUUUAGUGGGGGUUUUGAUCUCGUUAUCUAAAAAAACAUUUCUUUCAUUAAACAGUGCGAGUCAGAUGACUGAUAAAUUUGAUGACGAUGCUGCAUGUCCUGAUUGAUGCAGAACCAGCUAAUUCCUCGUUACCAGGUGAUGCCGAGGUAAACUUCCAGUUGCCCCAUGGUUUAAUACCUGCAAUGCUGGGAAUUUCGACUUAAUGUAUGAAUCCUUACAUUGUCAAAACCAGUUUAACUUUAUCGAAAAUUCAUACUUGUUUGGAAGGGUUAAAAACUAUAGAAUCUUCCAGGCAAAUACAGUGUCUAAAGAGCGUGCCUCAGGCAUCUGCCUAGGUGCGCACAAAGCGCAGGCCACCGCACCUGGCAACGCCUAGGCAGGUGACCUCACCUCGGCGCGCGCUUUGCGAGCCUAGGCUCCAACAGCCCAAUGCGCCUUGGUGCGCCUUGGGCAUUUUCAAACACUGGGCUUAUAUAGGCGCAAUUGAUUUUUUCGAACUAAAAAUCAUUGUUUAAUUCGAAAGUGCUAAACAGUUUACUUUCACUUUAUCUUGAUCCCAUUUUGCUUUUUUUUUUUAUCUUUUCUUUGGAAGGUCAACGCAUCCAACAACACUCAAUACCAAGCUGCUGCAGUAUGAAAAGAAAUAGGAAUCUGUAGAUACACAGCCACCUUGCACAAAUACCAACAAGAGUCUGUAAAUACCCCAAUACCGAAUACUGAAUCUGAAAGAAAAGAAAGAGGCAGAUGCUGGAUAGGGUUGCCUCAAGUAUUAGUUUUAAUUUUCUUUUUGAUUCUAUAAUUUGUCAAUUAUGCUUUACAUAAUAUGAUUUACAUUAUAGUUCGCAGAUUAGUGUUCUUUUUUUCUUUUUUUUUUUGUAAUGUUUAGCAUUUAGACUUGGGAAAGAUUAGUGGUACAGAGCAAUUGCUCUGUAAAUAGCUAGCAAAAAUUGUCGAGGGAGAAGGAGAAAAAACGAAAUUUACAGAGACUGGCUGGUACUGUCUUUCUUUCUUUGGUUGAAUUUAUAUAUAUAUAUUCUUCUCAUAUUCUCUCGAAGAUCUCAUCUAGAGUUGCUGCAAUGUUAUUAUAGCAUUCGUGCACUCGCUUCUUGUCUUUGUCCCUCGCCGCAUAAUCUAGCUGCAAUGUGAAUAAAUGUAAAAGAAAGUCACUUGAAAUUCUUCUUGACAGAACCUAUGGACACUUCUUUCGCCAUUUGUAAACAGAUGCUCAGACUUGCAGCUUCUGUUUUGUAUUUGCCUUCUUCAACUAGCAUAUUGUCUGAUAACAAUUUCUGACAGAACAUACUGAAACUCGUGUGCUAACUUUUCUUGUGGAGGUUGCGGGAUUCCCGCAACAAAAACGAUAAAUUUGUCGGAUGUGUUUACAGUUUUCCUCAUUCCGAUCACGCUGCACACAGUGUUCAGAGAGAAUAGAACACUGGAAUGAGGAAUAAAUGAAAUGUAAGUUAACUUACAUCAGACACACUGUUGAAGAGAUUGGAGUAGAGCUGCCGCAGCCGCGGCCUGAGGCUUCUGGGCUUCGAUUGGAUUACUCGCGAAGCGCGAGCUGCGCUUCUCUCCACGACUCUGUAUCCAAAAGCGCUUUUAUUCCCAGCAGAUCUCGCGCGUGUGCUCUUAUAGCAGCUUCUGCUUCUUCUGGUGUCUGGUCAGGAGUCGUGAUGCGGAACUCGACAGCAGAAGCACUUUUCAGAGAUGAGAAGAGCUCCUGAUGAAGCAGGACAGCAGAAGCAAAAGCUAGUUUUCUUCUGCUGAAGCGAUUCUUUUGCUUUUGUAGAGGCCAUAUCCAUGUCUUAUUUGAUUGAUGAGUACUUAAGUGAAUGGUCCUACGUGGUGUAGCAUAGUGUUGUGUAGUGUUGUGUUAUAUGGAUUAGGAGAAACUGUUGCCUGGGUUCGGUUCACCAAGUAAUCCGUGGACCCUGGGGCCUCCAAUAAUCUAUGGAUAAUGCGAAAUUAUUAUUAGAAUAUAUUAGUCCUCAUAUAUUGAAAUACAAUUUCUUUUCUAUUCAAUGAGGGAAUAUAAAAAUAUUUAAUAAAAAAAUUAUCCGUUAGAGAAAAAAAGUAAUUUAAAUCUUAUUUCCUUAUAUUUUUUUUUUGCAUAAGAAAAAAGAGAAAUCAAAAAUUUUCCGGCCAAAAUGUGUGUCUUUUGACAGACUAAAAUUCAAAAAACGUAUUUUUAUAUAUAGCAUAUAUAUAUAUAUAUAUAUAUAUAUAUAUAUAUAAUAUAAAUUUUAUUAUUGAUUUUUAGUCCAAUCUAAAUACAAAGCCCAACUCAAUUAUAAAAAGACUCAUUAUAUGUAAUGUUUCAACAAUUACAUCACAAUUUAAUGAGUAAGAUCUAAAAAAAUUAUUUCUAUAUAUAUCCUUUAAUGUUCGUGAGCCAGCUCGUAUUCGGCUCAUUAAUAAACGAGCCAAACGCGAGCUAAAUUUUUCAGCUCGAUACUUUAACGAGCCAGCUCACGUUUAGCUCUACACGAGCCAAACACGAGCCGGCCCUNUAGGCGAACAAAAAUACAAAGAUAAUUAUAUUUUACGAACUUCAGUAUUAGAUUAAAAUUCUAAUUUUUUAAUUCUUUCACACUUUUCAAACCUAACAAUCUAACUUACUGUUCACAAUUUGGAUAUUUUAUCUUAAUAUUUUAACAAAAUAGCUUGUGUUCGACUUAUUUAAUAAAUGAGCCAACACGAGUCGAUUCUGCUUCCUCGUGUUCGGCUAACCAAUAGCUCUAAUUAAUAUGACUUUCUAUAUUAUUAAUAUGACUUUCUAUAUUUUUAAUUUUUUUUUAAAAAUCUUCUAUUCUGCUAUAUUAAAGGAGGGAUUUUAAUAAAUUACUCUCAAUUUUUUUUCAUAUAAGUCUUUAUAAAAUAGUUUGAUUACUAAAUAAUUUAAAUACUAAUAAGUUGUUGCAUAAAUUUACGUUGCACAUAGGCCAAUUUUAAUUAUAUUUAAUUAAAUAGAUUUAGUUUAUUGAAUUAUUUUUAUUUAAUUUUAUUUAAUUAAUAAUUAGACUAAUAAAAUUGCAUGAAAAUAUAAAAAUAUAAAUUAAAAUUUAUUAUUAAAAUAUUUUUAUAUCCGCAGUGUGUGUGUAUAAAUUUGGACUUCUUGGAGUUCUUCUCCGUCUCACUCCUGUUCCCUCUCUCUCUCUCUCUCUCUCUCUCUCUCUCUCUCUCUCUCCUCUCUAAACCACUCGAAGCUAGGGUUUCGCCAAGGUGAUCUCGCUCCCUUCAGCCAUGGAGGAGGCCCCGAGGAAGACGAAACCGGAGGAGGAAUCCUCUCCUACAGAGGAUGGAUCGCCUCUCGCACCGGAGCCGAAGAGGAGGCGGAUUUCCGGCGAGGAGGACGACGGCGGCGGCGCCGGAGGAGGAGGAGGGGCGGAGGAGGAGGAGGAGGAGGAGGAUACACAAUGGGAAGAUACGGCUACUAAUGCGAGUAAGGAUAUCACUGGUUGGUGGAUUAUUCUCUUGUUGAGUUAUUAGUUGAUUGGGCAUCUUCUUAGAUCAAGUGUAGCAAUUGUGUCAGAUGCAUAUUUUGACCUAACUUCUUGUUUGGUUUCUCUUAUUCAUUUUGACUUUUAGCUCAAGAUUAUUACUCGUAACUCAUAUGCAUCCGCUGGGUACAAUCAGUAGUGUUCAUCUUUUGUUUGACCGUGAAUGGAAGUUCCGUUUCGGCAAAUUGUGAAAAUUUGAAGUCAUACAAAUUGACUAUGUGAUAGUUUCAGUAAAUGAUAAGUUUGUUUCCUUUCUUGAGAAAUUAUGAAAAGCUCGCUCGCUAUUGUUGCCAAACUUAUGCCCUCGUAAAAGAAAACAUGAAUUUGACCUUCCAAGGGUUUCUUUCGUAUCGCUCAAUUGAAUUUCCCACCUUGUUCAGAUCACCAUAAAUGAUGAGAUUUUCACCGAAACAAGUUUCUAGUGUUUUGUUCCAUGAGACGGGCGUAUUUUUCAAGUUUCUACCUUCUUGGAAGUGAAAUCUCAUCUCCUGUAGAUACUUGAUUGUUUGUGAAUUAUUUUGAUCAAGUGGAUAGACCUCUUUUUGUUUUUGUUUUUGUUUUUUUUUUUUCUUUUGUAUCUCUUUGGUAUUCAUGAGAGCUUGAUCAGUGCUAAUUAUCCUUCUGUUUGAUAACUUCUCCAUUUCUUUUUAGAAGUUUCAGUUCUUUUCAUUUUUCCUGGCAUCCUUUCAGAAGAUUUAAUUUCGCGUGUUUAAAACACUGUUUAUCCUAGUAUAUUUGUUCUACUGCUUAAUGUACCAUGUUGUUUAGCAAAUUUGUCUUUAUUCACAACCGGUGCUGUAACAACCCGACUCGCUAGUAAUUAUAACUCGUUGGUCCCACACCAUCGAUCCAAAAUGCUUAAGUUUAGUUAUUAUUACUAGUGUCUAAAAUACUUAACCCUAGUAAUUUUUACUAAUGUACAUGGCCUCUUAUAUUCCCAAUCAGAGCCCUUUUCCUAUUCGAUAUGGAACUAUUGGGGUAUUAAAAACUCCCCAAAGUUUAGAUCCUAGCGUCCUAGUCAGGUCCAAAACCAAUCACGAAUAUAGACCUCAUUCAGGUCCUGACAUCUUCAUCAGGUUCAAAAUCCAAUUACACAUAUAGACCUGAAUUAGCAGGCCAUGUUAGAUGCUAACGAUGGCUUUUAUGAGUUUAAGAGUUGGCUUCCACCAAACCCAUACACUUUUGGCUGGUAUUUGUCUCCAAUACCAACUAUAACGGUCCGACCCAUUAGCAAUAAUAAUUCGUUAGACCCAUAUUACUGUCCCAAAAUACUUAUGUCUAAUUAUUAUUACUAGUGUACCUCUUAUAUUCCCAAUCAGAACUCCUUUCCCCUUCAGUGUUGGACUAUUGAGGAUUUACAAAUAUUUUCUAAUUGAUAUUGUGUUUCUCAUUGACUUAUGUUUGUUUUACCAAGUUGCUCAUUGGCUUAUGUCUUUCCUACCAAGUAUUGUCUUUUGAGUUGUUUAUUGAUGUCUCCAGGUUCCAAAAAGGAAAUGGAGCAAAUUUUGAAAGCAACCAACAGACUUGUUGACCAGCUUGAAGCAAAAAUUGGGGCAGACACGGUAGGCUUAUUUGAUUUGUAUUAGAGACGUAUAAACAAUAUCUGUUACUGUUUUUUUCCCCCAAAUACGUUAAAUGUUCCUUCACAUCUAUAGUUUUUUCCACACUGGAUGCAUAAGUUUCACUAGCAAAGUUGCAUGUUGUUAAUGUUUUUCAUUCGAAUCUGUUCAUUUCUCAUGUACAGGAUAUCAAAAAGCUCAUCUCUGGAAUCAGGAAUGGCAUCCGAACUGCUCUAAAUGAGUAAUUCUGAAAACUUAUGUACUCGAAUUGAGAGUACUUACUCUUUUAGUGGGUUUUGAUCUCGUUAUCUAAAAAAACAUUUCUUUCAUUAAACAGUGUGAGUCAGAUGACUGAUAAAAUUGAUGACGAUGCUGCAUGUACUGAUUGAUGCAGAACCAGCUAAUUCCUCAUUACCUGAUGAUGCCGAGGUAAACUUCCAGUUGCCCCAUGGUUUAAUACCUGCAAUGCUGGGAAUUUCGACUUAAUGUAUGAAUCCUUACAUUGUCAAAACCAGUUUAACUUUAUCGAAAAUUCAUACUUGUUUGGAAGGGUUAAAAACUAUAGAAUCUUCCAGGCAUAUACAGUGUCUAAAAAGCGUGCCUCAGGCAUCUGCCUAGGUGCGCACAAAGCGCAGGCCACCGCACCUGGCAACCCCUAGGCAGGUGACCUUACCUCGGCGCGCGCUUUGCGAGCCUAGGCUCCAACAGCCCAAUGCGCCUUGGUGCGCCUUGGGCAUUUUCAAACACUGGGCUUAUAUGGGCACAAUUGAUUUUUUCGAACUAAUUUUGGACCAACAAAAAUAUUGUCAAAAUCAUUGUUUAAUUCUAAAGCGCUAAUCCGUUUAGUUUCACUUUAUCUUGAUCCCAUUUUGCAUUUUUCUAUCUUUUCUUUGGAAGGUCGACUCACCCAACAACAGUCAAUAGCAAGCCAGUGCGGUAUGAGAAGAAAUGGGGAUCUGUAGAUACACAGCCACUUUGCGUAAAUACCAACGAGAGCGGUGUAAAAGCCCCAAUACCGAAUACCGAUUUUCCUUUUGAUUCUAUAAUUAGUCAAUUACGUUUUACAUAAUAUGUUUACGUCAUAGUUCGCAGAUUUGAGCUUUUUUUUUUUCCUUAAUGUGUCGGAUUUAAACUUGAGAAAGAUUAAUGAUACAGAGCAAGUGCUCUGCACGUAGCUACCAAAGAUUUACACAGCCCGGUUAGUUUCUUUCUUUCUUUGGUUGAUUUCCUCUCUUUACUCUUUUGUUGAAUUCAAAAAGAAUUCGAUCUUCUCAUAUUCGCUUGAAGAUAUCAUCUAGAGUUGCUGCAAUAUUAUUAUAGCAUUCGUGCACUUGCUUCUUGUCUUUGUCCUUCGCCGCAUAAUCUAGCUGCAAUGUGAAGAAAUGUAAAAGAAAAUCACUUGAAAUUCUUCUCGACAGAACCUAUAUAUGGACACUUCUUUCGCCAUCUGUAAACAGACCCUCAGACUUGCAGUUUCUUUUUUGUUUUUGACUUCCUCAGAUAACGCAUUUGUUGGCUUAAAUGGGCUAGCAUUUUGUCCUGUAGCAGAAGACCAGGUUAUGCGGAGUCACGUUCGGAAUGGUGUGUGAGGCUCGGUUGGGUUGAGUCAUGUUCGAAGUGGCAUGAGGCCGGUUGGACCGAGUCACAAUAGAGAUCCGUGGGUGUUGUGUCUGUACGUUUUCAGUGAAUUAGUUGCGUAUUUCUAGCUGCUCGAGCUUUUAGGAUUAAUGGUUAGCGCCGACAAGUGGUAUUAGAGUUAGAGGUCAAGGGUUUAAUUUUCGCAUGCUAGAGGGGGGAUUGUUGGCUUAAAUAGGUCAACAUUCUGACCUGUGGGAUUAAUGGUUAGAGCCAACAAAGACCUGUGGGCGUUGUGUCUGUACGUUUUAAGUCAAUUAGUUGCGUAUUUCAAACAGCUCGAGCUUUUGGGAUUAAUGUUUAGUGCCAACGAUCCGACAAGUGAUACCAGAUCAGAGGUCACGGAUUUUAUAUAUAUAUAUAUAUAUAUAUAAUUAGGCUACUAUACUAUCUAUUGAAUUGUAUCGGAGCUCUGCUAUUAUAGUCUUGUUUUCGAUCUUAGGGUGCUUAAAUUAACAAUCCACACCGUUAAAUAUGAUCUAGGGUAUAUAAAGUUCUUAGAAAUAAAAUUUUAUUUUUUUUCGACAUCGUUUACUUAGUAAAUAAAUUAUAUCAAAAUGGACGGUGAAAAUUGAAUAAUCUUUCAACUUUGAGCAUAGGAUUUUUAAAUUCAAGAUCAAUAAUGUUAACUUUAAUCUAGAUAGUUUAAAGUAUUUUUUAUCAAAAUUUGAAGAAAUUUAGAUUCUUCUACACCGUUAAACUCCAAACUCGCCAUAGUAGUUAUUGAAAAUUAACAAUUUUGAAAUGGUUUGAUCAUAAAGUAAAUUAUGUCGAAAAAAUAUAAAAUUUUAUUUCUAAAAACUUUAAAUAUCCUAGAUCAGUUUUAACGGUGUGGAUCGUUGAUUUGAACACCCUAAGAUCAAAAAGGGGAUUAUAGUACCGGAAUCCCGGUACUAUAGAUAGUAUAGAAGACUAGCAUACAUACAUAUAUAUAUAUAUAUAUAUAUUAUAUAAAUUUUUACUAUUUGAAGUUUAGACCAACACAAAUACAAAGAUAACUAUAUUUUAUGAACUUCAGUUAUUAGAUUAAAAUUCUAGUUUUUUACUUUUUCCACACUUUUCAAACCUAACAAUGUAGCUUAUUGUUCACAAUUUGGAUAUUUCACCGUAGUAUUUUAACAAAAUAGCUUGUGUUCAGCUUGUUUAAUUAAUGUGUCAACGCGAAUCGGUCCCUACUUACUCGUGUUAUGCUAACUGAUAGCUUUAAUUAAUAUGAGUUUCUAUAUUUUUAAAUUCUUUUAUAAAGUCUUCUAUUCUGCUAUAUUAAAGAAGGGAUUUUAGUAAACUACUCUCAAAUUUUUUUCAUAUAAAUCUUUAUAAAAUAAUUUGAUUACUAAAUAAUUUAAAUACUAAUAAGUUGUUGCAUAAAUUUACGUUGCAUAUAGGCUAAUUUUAAUUAUCUUUAUUUAAAUAGAUUUAGUUAUUGAAUUAUUUUUAUUUAAUUUUAUUUAAUUAAAUAAUUAAACUAAUAAAAUUAUAUAAAAAAUAUAAAAAUAUAAAUUAAAUUUUAUUAUUAAAAUAUUUUUAUAUCCGCAGUGUGCUCGUGUUUCACUCUUGCGGAUAUAUAAAUUCGGACUCCUUGGAGUUCUUCUCCGUCUCACUUCUCUUCCCUGUCCCCUCUCUCUCUCUCUCUCUCUCUCUCUCUCUCUCUUCUCUCUAAACCACUCGAAGCCAGGGUUUCGCCAAAGUGAUCUCGCACCCCCCAGCCAUGGAGGAGGCCCCGAGGAAGACGAAACCGGAGGAGGAAUCCUCUCCUCCAAAGGAUGGAUCGCCUCUCGCACCGGAGCCGAAGAGGCAGCGGAUCUCCGGCGAGGAGGAGGACGGCGGCGGCGCCGGAGGAGGAGGAGGACGGGCGGAGGAGGAGGAGGAUAUGCGAUGGGAAGCUGCGGCUGCUAAUGCGGCUAAGUAUAUCGCAGGUUGGUGGAUUGUUCUCUUGUUGAGUUAUUAGUUGAUUCAGUACCUUAUUAGAUCAAGCGUAGCAAUUUGUCAGAUACAUAUUUGACCUAACUUCUUUGUUUGUUUUCUCUUAUUCAUUUUGACUUUUAGCUCAAGAUCAUUACUUGUAGCUCUUCCUUUUGAAUUCACUUUUAUACAAGUAUAUGCAUCCACUAGAUACGAUUAGUAGUGUCCCGUUAUGGCAAAUUGUAGAAAUUUGAAAUCGUACAAAUUGACUAUGUGAUAGUUUCAGUAAAUGAUAAGUUUGUUUCCUUUCUCGAGAAAUUGUGAAAAGCUUGCUCGCUAAUGUUGCCAAACUUAUGUCCUCUUAAAAGAAAACAUGAAUUUGACCUUCUAAGGAUUUCUUUCGUAUCGUCCAAUGGAAUUUUCCCUGUUGUGCAGAUCACCAUAAAUGAUGAGAUUUUCGCCGCAACAAGUUUCUUGUGUUUUGUUCGAUGAGACAGGCGUAAUUUUCAAGUUUCUACCUUCUUGGAAGUGAAAUCUCGUGUAGAUACUUGAUUGUUUGUGAAUUAUUUUGAUCAAUUGGAUAGACCUCUUCUUUUUUUUUUUUUUUUUCUUUUGGAUCUCUUUGGUAUUCAUGAGAGCUUGAUCUGUGCCAGUCAUCUUUCUUUUUGAUAACUUCUUCAUUUCCUUUUACAAAGUUUCCGUUCUUUCUAUCUACAACAGGACAGAAUCCUGGCACUCCUUUUAGAAUAUUUAGUUUCGCAUAUUUUAAUUUUUAAACACUGUUUGUCCUAGUAUAUUUGUUUUGCUGCUUAAUUUACUAUAUUGUUUAGCAAAUUAGUCUUGAUUCAUAAGCAAUGAUUUCUGAUUGAUAUUGUGUUUCUGAUUGACUUAUAAUUUUUUUUCCUUUUCCUACCAAGUAUUGUCUUUUGAUUUGUUUUUUGAUGUCGCCAGAAUUUAAAGCAUUUGAGCAAACUAUGAAAACAAACAACGAAAAUCUUGCCCUGCUUGAAGCAAAUUUUCGGCCAGACAAGGUAGGCUUCUUUGAUUUGUCUUAGGGACUUUUUUAUAAACUAUAUCUGUUACUGUUUUUUUUCCCCCCAAAUUUGUCAAAUGUUCCUUCACCUCUAUAGUUUUUUCUGCAUUGGAUGCAUAAGUUUCACUAGCAAGAGUGCAUGUAGUUCAUGGUUUUCAUUCGAAUCUGUUCAUUUCUCAUAUACAGGAUUACAAAAAGUUCAUCUCUGCACUCAAGAAGUGCAACCAAGAUGUUUUAAAUUGGUAAAGCAUCAUUCUGAAACUUACACACUCAAAUUGGGGCUACUUACUCUUUUAGUGGGUUUUUAUCUAGUUAUCUUAAAAAACAUUUCUUUCAUUAAACAGUUUUGGUCAAUUGAUCGAGAAAUCCGAGAUGAUGCUGCAUGUCUUGAUCGAUGGUGGACCAGUUUAUUCCUCAUUACCUGAUGAUGCAGAGGUAAACUUCUAGUAGCCCCCUGGUUUAAUACCUGCAAUGCUGGGAAUUUCGACUUAAUGUAUGGAUCCUUGCAUUAUCAAAACCAGUUUAACUUUAUCGAAAAUUUAUAGAUGCUUGGAAGGUUUAAAAACUACGGAAUCUUUGAGGCUUACACAAUGUUUAGAAAAGAGGCGCAGCCCCUAGGUGGGUGACCUCACCUCGGCGUGUGCUUUGGGAGCUUAGGCUCCAACGGCCCAAUGCGCCUUGGUGUGUCCUGGGCAUUUUCAAACACUGGGUUUAUAUGGGCACAAUUGAUUUUUUCGAACUAAUUUUGGACCAACAAAAAUAUUGUCAAAAUCAUUAUUUAAUUAUAAAGUUCUAAUUCGUUUAGUUUCACUUGAUCUUGAUCCCAUUUUGCAUUUUUUUAUCUUUUCUUUAGAAGGUCGACUCACCCAACAAUAGUCAAUAGCAAGCUGCUGCAGUAUGAGAAGAAAUGGGGAUCUGUAGAUAUACAGCCACUUUGCGUAAAUACCAAUAAGAGUGGUGUAAAAUCCCCAAUAGCGAAUACCGAUUUCCCUUUUGAUUCUAUAAUUAGUCAAUUACGUUUUACACAAUAUGUUUACGUCAUAGUUCGCAGAUUUGAGCUUUUUUUUCCCUAAAUGUGUCGGAUUUAAACUUGAGAAAGAUUAGUGAUGCAGAGCAAGUUCUCUGUAAAUCGCUACCAAAAAUUGUACGAGAAGAAAGAGAAAAAAACGAAAUUUACACAGGCCGGAUGGUUUCUUUCUUUCUUUGGUUGAUUUCCUCCUUUAUUCUUUGGUUGAAUUCAAAAAUAUUUCUAUCUUCUCAUAUUCGCUCGAAGAUCUCGUCUAGAGUUGCUACAAUAUUAUUAUAGCAUUUGUGCACUCGCUUCUCGUCUUGGUCCCUCGCAGCAUAAUCUAGCUGCAAUGUGAAGAAAUGUAAAUGAAAAUCACUUGAAAUUCUUCUUGACAGAACCUAUGGACACUUCAUUUGCCAUCUGUAAACAGGUUCUCAGACUUGCAGUUUCUUUUUUGUAUUUGACUUCCUCAAAUAACGCAUUGUCUGAUAACAAUUUCUGACAGAAUAUACUGAAACCUAUGUACUAACUUUUCUUACAGAAGUCGCAGGGUUUCCGAAAAAAAGGAUAAAUUUGUUGGAUAUGUUUACAGUUUUCCUCAUUCCGAUCACGCUGCACAGAGUGUUCAGAGAGAAUAGAACACUGGAAUGAGGAAUAAUUGAAAUCUAAGUUAACUUAACAUUAGACACACUGUUGAAGAGAUUGGAGUAGAGCUGCUGCAGCUGCAGCCUGAGGCUUCUGGGCUUCGAUUGGAUUAUCGUAUACAAAUCUUGCUUCAAGUACAGCAAGCUCUCGCGAAGUGCAAGCUGUGCUGCUCUCCAGGACUCCAUGUCCAAAAGUGCUUUUAUUCCCAGCAGAUCUCGCGCGUGUGCUCUUAUAGCAGCUUCUGCUUCUUCCGGUGUCUGGUCAGGAGCCAUGAUGCGGAACUCGACAGCAGAAGCACUUUUCAGAGAUGAGAAGAGCUCCUGAUGAAGCAGGACAGCAGAAGCAGAAGCUGCUGCUUCUGCGGCUAGUUUUCUUCUGCUGAAGAGAUUCUUGCGCUUUUGGGUGAUGCACUAGUAUAUAUAAAUAUAUAUAAAUAUAAAUUAAAUAAAUUAUAUAAAUAUAAAAUAUAUGUAUUCGAGCUGUUAUCGAGCCGAACACGAGCGAGCUGACCCCAGCUCGUGUUCGGCUUGUUUAUUAAACGAGCCGAAAAAUUCAGCUCGUGUUCGGUCCGUUUACUAAACGACCGAUUCGAUCUCGAACUCAUUUCGAGUCGAACACGAGCUCAGAACAGUUCUCUAUCCAUUGGUUAUCAUCAUUUAAGCGAGAGCUAGAUUGCCGCCCCUAGGUGUAGCAUAGUGUUGUGUUAUAUGGAUAAGGAGAAACUGUUGCCUGGGUUCAGUUCACCAAGUAAUCCGUGGACCCUAGGGGCUCCAAUAAUCUAUGGAUAAUGAGAAAUUAUUAUUGGAAUAUAUUAGUCCUCAUAUAUUGAAAUAUAAUUUCUUUUCUAUUCAACGAGGGAAUAUAAAAAUAUUUAAUAAAAAAAUUAUCCAUUGGAGAAAAAAAGUAAUUUAAAGUCUAUUUAGUUAUAUUAUUUAUUUUGCGUAAGAAAAAAGAAAAAAUAAACUUUUCUUCUGGCCAAAAUGUGUCCUUUGACGGACCAAAAUUCAAAAUGCGUACUUUUAUAUAGAGCGCGUGCGUGUGUAUAUAUAUAUAGAGAGAGAGAGAGAGAGAGAGAGAGAGAGAGUAGAGCUUCUAUGCUAUUAGACGCAUAGUAGCUCAUAUGCUUCCACUUUUUUAGACAUUGGAUUUGCCUUAAGAUCUGUAAAUAGGAAGUGGGCUGUAACAGAGAAUUAAUGCUAAACGUCGUUAACGGAGGUUUAACAAAUGCCUUUUGUAAGGGUUAAAAAACAAACGCGCGCGUUUCUUCCCUCGCUAAGCUCCUCGCCCAUUCGUCUCCUCGCAUCUGAGCUAUCCUCCAUCGACAUAUGAUCCCAGAGCUUCUUCCCACUCGGUCUAUUCAUCUCCCUCCCAUCGAUCUGGUUUUCUUCUGUAGACAUAUGAUCUUAAAGCUUCUCUCUCCUUGAUGUAGACUUUUCCCCUUCAUCUCAGAUUAUGAUGAGUAUGAAAUAUAAUCCCUUGGUCGUUCUAACACGAAUUGGGAAAAAAAAUUUGUAAGUAUCAGAAUUUCUCCCCUCUCCCCCUUUGCCUCUGUAGUGAAGUUUUCGAUUUGAUGAUUUUUUUUUCUGAAUUCAAACACCUUUAUCGAUAGAUAGUUCAUAAUUGAAAUGUCCAACAAAACAAAUGAGAUUAGAUAAGGUAUAGAUAUAGAUUAAUUUUAUUCAUAUUUUAUAUGGUAUAUGUGUCUAAUUGGAAAUUUUCAGAUUUGAUAGGGUAUAGAUGUUUCAUAUUUGAUAUGUUAUAUAUGAAAAUUCAUGUUUAGUACUCAGAAUUGAUAAUCUAUGCAAAAAAAAUUUAUAUUUGGUCCAGUUCUUUGAUUGUUUCAUUUAUCAAUUCACAAUCACAUUCAUAAAUCUAUUCUACUGAAUUUAUAAUAUGUAUACAUUCUUUUAUGCUAGAGGAGUAUUAAAUUUCUGAUAUGUAUCUAUUCAUUUAUAAUAGUUGAGUAUUGCUAUUCAGUGCAUUGACCAUAUGGAGAGCAAAUCAACUGAUGUGGAUGAUGCCAUUACGAUUGGGUCGACUUCAUUCAUGUUAGAUGCCGAUAAUACUGAUCGAGAUAAUAAUUAUUCUGACGCAGAGAAAGACAAUGAUGUUUCUGACAUGGAUACUAUUUUUGAGCAUGAUUAUGAAUACCAUGAUCAUCAAAGUAGCAGAGUUGAAUCAUUAGAUAAUGAGCCUCAUGUUGGGAUGGAAUUUGAUAGUUUUGAAGAAGCUAGAGACUUUUACAACAUAUAUGCAUUUAAAGCAGGCUUUAGUAUUCGAAAAACUUCCCAUUACAAGGCAAAAAAACAUGAUAAUAUGGUGACUGCACACCAAUACUGUUGUUCAAAACAAGGUCACUCAACGCGACCUUCCCACGAAAAUGAGAAGACUACUGGCUCUGAUGUCCAAGGCACACCACAGAAAGACAAUCCAAAUCGACGUACUGGCUGUAAGGCGCGCAUGAGGGUGAGAAUGGUGGAACCACAGAAGUGGAUCAUAGUAACAUUUGAAAAGGAUCACAAUCAUGAGUUGAUUACUACUCCAACGAAGACUUUCUUUCGAUCACACAAGACCAUCACAACUGAGCAGAAACAAUUGAUUUAUAUGUUAAAUGAGCAAAAUAUCUCCACCUCACAAAUAAUGUCCUUUUUGGCAGCCAAAGAGGGAGGGAGGAACUAUGUUCCUUUCACACACAAAGAUGUAAGCAGCGAGGUGGCAUUGAAAAAUAGGAGUUUCAAUGGAAUUGAUGUGUCGAGUGCUUUAAAUUACUUUCGUGAGAUCCGAUUGAACGAUCCAUCCUUUUUCUAUGCUGUCAACGUUGAUGAGGAACACAUGGCACGAAAUUUAUUUUGGGUUGAUGGGAGGUCACGCAUGGCUUAUCAACAUUUCAGUGAUGUUGUAACAUUUGAUACGACAUACAUGACAAACAAAUACAACAUGCCGUUUGCUCCCUUCAUUGGUGUGAAUCACCACAAGCAAUCCAUAUUUUUUGGUUGCGCCCUUAUUAGAGAUGAGACAGCUAGUACAUUUGUUUGGUUAUUUAGAACUUGGUUGCAAGCGAUGGAGGGACAUCAUCCAAAAGCUAUUAUUACCGAUCAAGACCCAGCUAUGAAGAAAGCAAUCGAGGAGGUCUUUCCAAACACCGUUCAUAGAUGUUGUUUAUGGCACAUCAUGAGGAAAGCGAGAGAGCAUCUAGCUUUACUCUAUAGCACAAAGGAGGGCUUUGAAGAGGAACUAAAGUCAUGUAUAAAUUAUAGUUUGACGAUAAAGGAAUUUGAAACUGAGUGGGUCUCAUUGAUUGAGAGAUAUAACUUGCAUGAUAACAAUCACCUAAGUUUGCUAUGGAGAGGAAGACAUCAAUGGGCUCCAGUGUUUUUUCGAGAUACCUUUUUUGCAGGAAUGUCCAUGUCACAAAGUAGUGAAGGCAUGAAUGCUCUAUCGAAGAUACUAUUGGACUCAUGUACUUCCGUCUAUAAAUUUGUGCAACAAUUUGAAAAACUUGUUGCAAGUCGACAUGAGAAAGAGGAUGAACAGGAUUUUAAGACAGCCAGUGGGGAAGCAUCUUUAUGGUCAUAUGAUCCAAUUGAAAAACAAGCUCGAGAUGUCUACACACAUACUUUAUUUAAA